UUUUUUUUUUUUUUUUCUAUCAGGCACAAUAAUUUUGAAGCUGCCACCAAGUUGGUUUUCUCUUGUAGCAGAAAGCAAGGGGCAUGUUGACACCAGUCGCACACUUAAAGAAAUUUUAGGUUCAAAAUUGGUGUUAAAGAAUUAGCAGCAAACUUCUAUAUCAUCUCAAGGGACACGAAUAUGGACAUGAACAGAAACAUGUCAAAGAGGUUUCCCAAUGGUAGCUUCCAUCCUAUAUGAGGCCAAACUUUUUAUCCUCUCCACAAUUGCAAUUCAACUUUCCUACUUUGUCUAUCCUAAGUCCUUUUCUGCUAGUAAUGAUUGCAUAAGAAGCUGAAUGGUGAUACAACCUUAUAUUUUGAGAUAGUGAACAUAAAUUAUAUAACUCAGUAAACCCUGAUUUACAAACUAAAGAAUACUUACUGUGUCUAUGCUCCAAAAUGCAGUCAGUGAUGGCAACUGUAUCAUUUUCGCUUGGCUCAACAUCUAUGCUUUCAUAUUCAGAAUGCUUAUCAGGAAGUUUGUUAGUUAAUUCAUCUUGACUGAUGGCUUGGAAAGUAUCAUAGAUGCUAUCCCACAUUCCACUUUUAAUAGAUGUCACCUGCAAUAUGUAACAAGCAACUUAUCAUUUGUGUUCACAAAUAACCACAUCACAAUCAACUAAAACAGCAACGGUCAGUUAAUACAAAAUAUAGAUAAAAAACAUCUGUGACAAUCAAUAAAGCAGAGAACCAAAUAAGCAUAAGCAAAGUUUAGUAAUUACACAAGCACUCUACUCUUUGGAAACACAAAAACUGAUUUUUGAAAGCCAUACUUCGCCAUACAAAAGAAGAAUAAACAGUGCCCUUCCAUAAAAGGAUAACGUUUCAUCAAGAUCCCAUUGUCAAGAGAAAAUGUGAGCUUGGAAUGCUGGGUAUAGGUAAUUAAACAAGAAUUAUUGACAAUACAAUAUCAUCAUUCUGAAUGCAGGUUCAGUGGUUAACAAACAAGAUUUGCAAGGAGUUCAUGUAGCCAUUUUCAUACUGUACAAUGUCUACGAAUAGCUAAGGGUAAUAUUUUAACAAUUACCAUUGUGGUAAAAGGUUGUAGCUAUGGUAAAAUAACAAAAUUGUCUGAUAACUUUAGGCUUUGGUACUAUCUAUUCACACAAGUAAGGAUUGAAUAGGUUCCACCAAGGAGUAUAUGUGAUAUGAUGUUCAUUUCAUAUAGGGGUUUGGGGACUCCAUUAGAGGAAAGACCAUUUGGCAAAUUGUUUGUCUCACUUUGCUUGGAUUGAGUGGCAAGAGAAUGCCAAAUUUUUUCAAGUAGAGAGGUUGUGGACUUUACUUCACUUCUAUUCCUCUUUUUGAGCCUCAUCCUCAUGCACCAAAGCUUUAAAGGCAUCCCUCUCAGUGUUAUUCAACUCAAUUGGCAUUCAAUGUGUAAAUCAAAAGGCUUUUGACAUUAUUGAGAGGAGCUUAGUCAGAAUUUCAGGAGAAAACAUCUUUGUAUAUUGUGUUGUAGUCUAAACCUUUUGUAUAGACUCCUUGUACAGCGGAGGAGUUCAAUCAUAUUUUGAUAAGAUUUUUUGUAAUUGUGGGGAGGACUUCUCAUCCUUCUUAUGUUUUCUUUAACAUUAAUACACACAUCUCUUGUUUAUAAUAAAAAAAUUGAUAAAAUAAAUAAAUAAAAACCACAGACCCGAAAGAAAAAUGGAAGGAAUAUUUAUGAAUGCAUGAACAGGGAUAGGCAACUGCUGGCCCAGUUGUUUUUCAAGCCCACGAGACUGUAGUGAUGUCGUCUUCAACACUCCAGCGAGUUGGAUCUUCUGCAAUGGCGGUCCCGCUAGUUGCACGCUCUCAAGGUCCAAUCGAAGUUAAGGCUGGCGACGAGGCUUUCUCUGGAGAGGAUGCUCGGGCCUUUGAGAUAAAGGCCCAGUCUCUUCCCAACCCUAGCCCACCUUCAGACUCAAUCGUGGGCUAUAUUUUUAAAGGCCCGUUGUGGUUGGGCCAAAGAAUAGGAGGAGCGAUGUCCUCUGUUAAGAAAGGUUGGUCUCGAAAGGAAGAAAAUGAUGCAAUGAGAAAGGGGAAAGCUUCUGAGGUUCAGACAAGAGGCUCUGCGGAGAAGGAAGAGAAGGUAGUUUCAAAGAAGAUGUGGACCACCCUCUUCCCUCCAAGUUUCGAUCGCCGACAAGGACUUCGGAGUUGCAGCGAGCCUCUUUACCUCGGGAAGUCAUCAUCGGUUAGCAAAGUUCGUCUAUUGGAAGAGGAUAUCAGGACGGGAUCUCAGAUGGAAUGAGGAUUCAGAGCGAGUCCUCUCUUUCAUUGUCAUUUCUCAAGGAAUCGAAAAUGAUGUUCGGGGGAAGGGACCCCGUUGUCAAGAGGCGAAGCGGCUUUGUGCAAUCCCCAUUUCGAAGAAGACAUAGAAGGUUUUUUAGGCCGAGUGGAGUCUGAUCUUCGUGGUUCAUCAGUCAUGGAUUCACCUUCUAGUCUAGAAAUCAAAGGUAAAAGACUCAUCUUUGAGGGGAUUUGUGAAAUACCGGGAGUGGAAAACUUGGAGGUAUGUCUGUCUUCACCUUCUCAGCCACCCGAGUCUUCUUCUAUCCCUUCUUGUGGUCUAGCACUUCCUUUGCCAAGUCCCUUUGGUUCAAAUCUUCCUAGUUCAGUCUCUCUUUCUUAGUCUCCUAUGGAAAAUCGAGUAAUUUCUUAAUUUUUUUCUAAAAAAGACGUUGUUGGCACUGUUUUCCAAAAUUAUGUUGGCAUUCCUGUCCGUGAUGAGGAGGAGAAACAGUUUGCUUUAUCAAACCAGAUGUCCGAGAGUUUUACCCCUAGUAAGUCUAAACCCAGCUUGCCUAAGGAGGUUUCCAACCUGGUUACAGGUAGCCAGGGUGAUACUGCGGUCUCCCCAUCGGGCGAGUUCCAUAUAGAUGGCCUGUCCCCCAGGAAAAUGGCUAAAGUGCGAGAGGUUUUAUGCUCUCUGGAUAUUAAGGUUUAUUCCAGGAGGAAGAACAGAUGCUCCACAAGUAGUUGAGACCUGUUGGCAUUGGUUUGGUGGUUUAGGGUCUAUGAGUUUCUCCAUGAAAAUUAUCAAUUGGAACACUAGGGGUUUGGGAUCAAGGAAUAAGCGAAGGGUGGUUAAAGAUUUUCUAAGGUCAGAGAAUUCGGAUGUUGUGAUGAUUCAGGAAACAAAAAAUGAGAAGUGUGACAGAAGGUUUGUGGGUAGUGUCUGGACGGUCAGAAAUAAGGAUUGGGCUGCUCUUCCGGCGUGCGGGGCUUUAGGUGGGAUUUUGAUCAUUUGGGACUCUAAAAAACUGCGUAGUGAGGAGGUGUUAAUAGGAUCCUUCUCGGUCUCAAUCAAGUUUGCUUUGGAUGGUUGCAGACCUCUUUGGAUAUCCACAGUUUAUGGCCCAAACAGCCCCUCACUUAGGAAGGAUUUUUGGGUGAAACUUUUAGACAUUUUUGGCCUAUCUUUUCCGUUAUGGUGUGUGGGCGGUGAUUUUAAUGUCAUAAGGAGAAGUUCAGAAAAAUUGGGGGGUUCUAGUCUAACUUCAAGCAUGAAGGACUUUGAUAGUUUUAUAAGAGAAUGUGAAUUGCUUGAUCCACCUUUACAGAACGCAUCAUUCACUUGGUCAAACUUGCAAGAGUCUUCCGUGUGUAAGAGAUUGGAUCGUUUUCUUUACUCAAAUGAGUGGGGGCAGCUCUUUCCCCAAGGCCUUCAAGAAGCCGUUCCUAGAAGGACAUCGGAUCAUUGGCCAAUUGUUUUGGAUACCAACCCGUUCAAAUGGGGCCCAACACUUUUUAGGUUUGAGAAUAUGUGGUUGCAACAUCCUAGUUUCAAGGAGAACUUUAGAAAUUGGUGGAGAGGUUUUCAAGGAAAUGGGUGGGAAGGUCACAAGUUCAUGAGGAGAUUACAAUUUGUUAAAGCCAAUUUGAAAGAGUGGAAUAAGGUUUCUUUUGGAGAGCUAAAGGAAAGGAAAAAAAGCAUCCUCAAUGAUUUAGCUAACUUUGAUGCCAUUGAGCAAGUAGGGGGUCUCACUUCUAAUCUUUUAGUUCAAAGAGCCUUAAGAAAAGGGGAGCUAGAGGAAUUAAUUUUAAGGGAAGAAAUUCAUUGGAGACAAAAAGCUAGGGUGAAAUGGGUUAAGGAAGGGGAUUAUAACUCAAAGUUUUUUCAUAAAGUGGCUAAUGACAGGCGAAAUAGGAAAUUUAUCAAAGUGUUGGAGAAUGAAAGGGGAUUAGUGUUGAAUAAUGCCGAGAGUAUCACAGAGGAGAUUUUACUUUACUUUGAAAAGCUCUACGCGAGUCCUACAGGAGAGUCUUGGAGUGUUGAAGGAUUAGAUUGGUCCCCUAUUUCGGAAGAGAGCGCGUCUAGGUUGGAUUCCCCUUUCACUGAAGAAGAGAUUUCUAAGGCCAUUUUUCAGUUGGAUAGGGAUAAGGCGCCGGGGCCUGAUGGCUUUACCAUUGCAGUAUUUCAAGAUUGUUGGGAUGUGAUCAAGGAGGAUUUAGUGAGAGUGUUUGCAGAGUUUCACAGGAGCGGAAUUAUCAAUCAAAGCACUAAUGUCUCCAUAAUUCUGUUACCCAAAAGGAAUUUGACAAAGAAAAUCUCAUAUUUUAGACCCAUUAGCUUGAUCACUAGCCUCUACAAGAUAAUAGUCAAAGUGCUUUUAGGGCGUCUAAGAGGGGUUCUACAUGAAACCAUUCACUCUACUCAAGGCGCUUUUGUUCAAGGGAGACAAAUUUUGGAUGUUGUUCCCAUAGCCAAUGAGAUAGUGGAUGAAAGAAGACGAUCAGGGGAGGAAGGUGUCGUCUUCAAAAUUGACUUCGAAAAGGCUUAUGAUCAUGUGAGUUGGGAUUUUUUGGAUCAUGUGUUGAAGAAGAAGGGGUUCAGUCCUAAAUGGAGGAAAUGGAUGAGUGGUUGUUUGUCCUCGGUUUCUUAUGCAGUCUUGGUGAAUGGAAACACUAAAGGGUGGGUUAAGGCAUCUAGAGGCUUAAGACAAGGAGACUCUUUAUCCCCUUUUUUGUUUACUUUAGUCGCAGAUGUACUGAGCAAGAUGCUAUUGAGAGCAGAGGAAAGAAAUUUGUAUGGAGGGUUUCAGGGUGGGUAGAAACAAAACUAGGGUGUCUCAUCUGCAAUUUGCAGAUGAUACCAUAUUCUUUUCUAACACUAAGGAGGAAGAACUAUAGUCGCUCAAGAGUCUUUUGCUAGUGUUUAGGCAUAUUUCUGGGCUCAAGGUCAACCUUGACAAGAGUAAUAUUUAUGGCAUCAAUCUUGAUCAAAAUUAUCUUUCUAGAUUGGCUAAGUUGCUUGAUUGCAAGGCUUCUGGUUGGCCUAUACUCUAUCUAGGCCUUCCUUUGGGAGGGAAUCCCAAGGCAUGUGGCUUUUGGGAUCCAGUGAUUGAGAGAAUCUCAAGAAGAUUAGAUGGGUGGCAAAAGACUUACUUAUCUUUUAGAGGAAGGAUAACUCUUAUCCAAUCUUGCCUCACCCACAUGCCCUGUUACAUCCUCUCCUUGUUUAAGAUACCCGCUUUAAUGGCUGCAAAAAUUGAGAGGUUGCAAAGGGAUUUUUUAUGGUCAGGGAUUGGAGAAGACAAAAGAGAUCAUUUAAUUAGUUGGGAUGUAGUGUGUAAACCGAAGGCAAAAGGCGGAUUGGGUUUUGGGAAGAUAUCUCUAAGGAAUCUCGCUCUUUUAGGGAAAUGGUUGUGGAGGUACCUUAGAGAGGGUUCAGUUCUAUGGCAUCUGGUCAUCUUAAGCAUUUAUGGAUCACACUCUAAUGGUUGGGAUGCUAACACUUUAGUCAAAUGGUCACAUCAUUGUCCUUGGAAGGCUAUUGCACAAGUCUUUUAGGAGUUUUCCAUGUUUACUCGGUUUGUGGUAGGAAAUGAGGAAAUAAUUCGUUUCUGGGAAGAUUUAUGGUGGAGGGACCAACCUUUGGGAUCCCAAUAUCCAAGACUAUUUAGAGUAGUCUUGGAUAAAAAUGUUCCUAUUUCAUCAAUUCUCGGUUCUACUCGUCCUUUCUCUUGGAACUUUAAUUUCCUCCGUAACCUUUCAGAUUCUGAGAUAGAAGACUUAAAAGGCCUCAUGCGGUCACUUGAUGGUUUGCAUCUAUCACCUCCGGUUUCAGAUGCCCGAUCUUGGCCUUUAUCUCCUUCAAGGCUUUUUUCAGUCAAAUCUUUCUUUCUAGCCUUAUCCCAAUUUUCUGGUUCUCUUCAGGUUUUUCCUUCUAAGUUCGUUUGGAAAUCUCAAGUCCCUUUCAAAGUGAAGUCCUUUGUCUGGUUAGUGGCACACAAGAAGGUAAAUACUAAUGACAUGCUACAAUUGAGAAGACUCUACAAAGCUCUUAGUCCUGAUAUUUGUAUUAUGUGCAUGAAGCAUGGGGAAUCAACAGAUCAUCUUUUCCUACAUUGCUCUCUGACGAUGGGGUUGUGGCAGAGAUUAUUUCAGUUAACCAAGAUGGAUUGGGUUCCCUCGAUGAGCAUCUUUGACAUGAUGUCCAUCAAAUUUAAUGGUUUUGGUUCAUCUAAGAGGGGGAUAGUUUUGUGGCAAGUUGCGAGUGUCGCUUUAAUUCGGGUUUUUGAAGAUAAAACAAGGAAUUCAGAGUAUCUUUGGGAUUUUAUUUUUUUCCUUGCUUCUCUUUGGCCUUUCUGUUCCAAGGUUGUUAAAGGAACUCCCCUUAAUGUAUUACAACUUGACUGGUUAGCGGUGUGUAAUCCCAUUGGUCUAACCUAGAGUGUUCGCUUGUUUUACUGCGCACUUUCUUGUGUUUGUAUUCUUGUAAUUUAGUUUUCUUUGGUGGGAGGAUUUCUCAUCCUUCUCUUGUACUUCUUUUUCUAUCAAUAUAUCUCUUUGUUGUUUCCUAUCCAAAAAAAAUCCCUAUCAAUUCCUAAGAUAACCAUAAAAUUGGUACCAUACAGGAUUUACACUCAAAGACAAAACUUAUGGAACUAGCUUAAACUACUAGAUCAAUGAAUAAUCACAGCAUCUUGACAUUUUUUUUAGCAUUCCAAAUACCUAAUCUUACUUUACUUAAAAUGUUAUACAAAUUCUUGGCUAAUUUAGUGAAAAACUAUAUGGUAGAACCUUCUCAUAAUUUUCCAAAAUCCAAAAUUCUAAUUUUAUCCAUGUUUUGUGCCUUUUUUCUUUAGUUCACACAGCUCCAAAUUCUUUUCCAUCUUGCCUCAUCUCAACUAGGACUGCUUGCUUGAACCCAAAUUUCCAAUUCAAUACUACGCAUAAAAGCAUUACACUUGACUGGGGUCAUGAUUUUAAUUUUCAAAUCUAUUUAUAAAUGUUUACUUUGUUGAUAGAAAUUUCCUGAAUUACACAAUUUAUGAACUAAUUUUGGCAGUCAUCUUUCUUAAUAUUUAAAUAUUUAAUUUCAAGCUUCCUAAUCCUAUUAAAUUUGUUUCCUCUCUCUCUCUCUCUCUCUCUAUCUCUGAUUCUUUUUUGGCUAACUCAAUGUAGCAGUACUUUAUUUUGUUCAUGCAUGGUCUCUUUCUCUUUUUGAAUCUAUUUUGGCAAAUUUAAUGUAGCAGUACUACUUUAUGAUGUUCAUGCAUGUCCUCUUUUUCAAAUUUACAAAAAGGGAAAUUUUCCAUCCAAUAUUUUAAUUUAUUUCAGUUGGUGCAUGGGUUCUACAACAAACAUAACAAUUUUCUAAGAUGCUAUAUAUGCAUCCAUUACUAAAUUUCAAGCUCUAAAAUUCCAAAUAUAAUUAUUAUCGUGCUAUAUAGACUUUGCCUUUAUCAUCACGCUAUAUAGACUUUGUCUUUGAAACUUUAGUAUUCAGUAUUAGGGAUUUUGUUCAAAUUAGUCUACAAGCAAUUCCAAUCCAAAAACCUCCUUCUCUUCCCACCUUCCUGGUCCCUCACCUCUUUUCUAGCCUUCAUAUAUUUAAGGAGAACCAAAGUCUUCACCUCUUAAUCCACUAAAGGCUGUCCAAAAAACCGAAACUUCAUGAACACUGAGAAACUAUUUCCCAACCACACUUCCAACUCCUCUCUUUUCCUCUUGAUUGACUGUAAUUAACCAAGCACUCUAGCGUCCACGGCUCCCUGUCAAAACAAGAGGCAGAGAAAGGCAUCCUCUUCUUGCUCAAAGGUUGCCACCCUACAACCUUUUUUGGCUUCCAUCUUCAUCAACAAGGACACAAUUUUAUUUUCAUAACCAUCCACUGGUAAUCCCAAAAACUUGUUAAAGGAGACAAAAGUCCCAAAAGAUAGAUCCAAAAGAUUCCCAUCUCCCAUAACAUCCCAACUGGGACUACCAUUUCUUAAAGCCACCUCCUCACAACUCAUUUUUAGUUCUACACUCUUGGAAUCUUUAGACUGAUGCUCCCAGAAGUCCACAACUAAACCCUCAUGAGAAAUCAUUCACAAAGGAUCAUAACCACCACCCUUGCAAUCUACUGGAAACCCCUCAUCUUGCUGCCUCCACAGAACCAAGCAAUUGGAAUCACCAGUGAUGAGCCCCCAUCGUUGGAGAAAGAAGGAGAAGAAAUAGGAGGCUGUCAAAAGAGCAAUUGACAAUAGCUUACCUAUAAAACUAUCUGCUUUGAACAAGAGAGUCGCACUAGUAGAUGGCAUUCUGUCCACCUAGCUCAUGCAAGAUGCAGAGACCAAGGAGAAGCUCCUGGAUGCCCAAGCUUCCAUAACCACACAGCAAAAUAGGUCUAUCAAAGACGGCUUUAAGCUAGCCCACACCAUAAUUUUCCAGGCCUGCAAGAGUCCUCGGCUGUCAAGGCCAAGCCCAAUGCAACGAGGGGCUCACCUUCAAUGAGAGAGGAAAGGCCCAUUGAUGGGAACUGGGAUAGGGCAACAAAAGAGAAAAAGGGCUAGAAGUUAGGCCACUGGCCCGCCAGGAACCAUAAAUAAAAGCUUAGAGGCCAUUCCCCCACUUAGCCCACUUAAUGCCACAUCUCUACUGCAAGCAAAAAAGGCUAGUCCCGCCCCUCUUGGACACCACGCCUUGACUUCGAGAGUGACGCAUACCUUUUUACUUUUGACACGCUUCCCAUCCUCUAACCCAUCCACGCAUGGCCUACCCUCACUGUCAUUCCUAACCUCGUACAUCCUAGAAUCCUCCUUCAGAGAAACCAUCAACAUCCAUGUUGGAUCUCCCACCAUAAUUGAACAACGUAGACUAAAGUCUUGGCUGCCACAUGCAAGAACCCUCCUCCUAUCAGAACUUACUAGGAUUCUAGCCCAUUGCAGAUGGAGUCUCCAUUGUAUCCAUAUCCAUAGCCACAAAUCCUCCACACACAUCACCCACCAUCUUAAAGAAUUUUUUUUUCCCACAAGUACAAUGACAACCCAACCACUCUGACCCAAAUUUCUUUUGCACAAACCCCUUCCCUUAAACACCCAGCUUGAGUUUCUAACCUCCAUUAAUCCAAUUGCAAUCCCUUUCCUUCGAAAGAGCCAAAACCUAUAUGCCACAACCUCUCAACAUCUUUAGUGUUCUCAAAUUCCGCAUAAGAGACCCCUUUCUGAGGGGAUUCUUCUACACACUCCCGUAGUUCACAAUCAUAUUCUGUAGGCUCCUUUGUAGGUUUAGGCAAUUGGAAAACACCAAUACUCUUCAAUUUACUAGCUAGGGUCCUCCAGCCCCCUAGAAAGCCCCUUCCUUUUAAAAGAUUAAGGAGAAUCUUUUCCCUUUUGCAAACAAAACAAAACGUAGCAAUAAACUACAAAAUUCCAAUUAAUAAACUCUUCCACAAUCUUUCCACUCCAUCCUUAAAGGCUUUCUAAUUUACCAACACACCAAACUUCAGCGCCCUCCAACAACAUAGAUAGGCCCCUCUCGCCAAAUCUGAUCCAAGAGGAGAGACCUUGCCCUUCCUCCACAAUCAUGUCAACUUCCCUGCAUUUAACCAUCUCCUUCGAAAUCUCAAAGGAUUUUGAUUCAACCCCAUGCCAGCAAUUUGCCCCAUUUUUACAUCUCUACCUACUAGCUUCAGUUGCAUUGACUUUGGUGACCAUAAGAACUAAUUUUUUGUACUUAGUGAUAUAUGAGUCAAUGACAAAUGUUAGCAUGUACAAUACUGCACAUGCUCUCUAAGUUUUGUCACACUUCGCUUAAGCUUGCCUUAGGUUACACCUUGCACCUAAGCCUCAGGAGAUCUAGACCAACAAACUUGGAAGCUGAUAAGUUGACCAAAUAAGGAGCUAAUCUUUUGUGGACUUCAUUGGGAUCUCAUACUCCCUUGAGAAGUCCUGGUGGUUUUUCAUAGAGUCUUUGUUUUCAUAUGUUUGUUUUACUUAUAACAAUUACAAGUAUAAUUCCUAGUUAAAAGUGGCUUGCUAUGAACUCAAUUCUUUGAGAGGGCAAUUGAGCAUCUUUGAGUCUGUAAGGCCUUGCUUCAAAUAUUUGGGCCUUAAUCACAGGCUAGGUUAAUUCCAAUAACAUUUGAGAUUGGGCAAUCAACAUUUUGAAUCUAAUUCAAGUAGAUUUAGGUCAAGGACAGCUGGUUUUCUAAUAUGUCUACCUUCCUACCACUCAUCCACACUCCAUCAAAUUUCCUAACGUUGAACCAAUUUUUCCUCCCCUAUGAACACCAAGAGGGAAUGAGUUAAGUACAUUAACCUAUCGAGUACACUUGGCUCAAGAACAAUUUCCUUCUAUUCAUGCCCUAAGUGCAAUACACUCAGCUCAAGAACGAUUUGUGUCUAUUCAUGCCCUAAGUGCAACACACUCGGGUCAAGAACAAUUUCCUUCUAUCCAUGCCCUAAGUGCAACUCCAACAGACAUCAGCAAGAGAUUUUGAAAUAACUCCCCUUGACGCUCCCUCAAGAAAUAUUUACAGGCUUCAACAAUGGGCCAUCUGAUUAACCCAGCUUUAAGUGCUCCGGGAACUUACUAGUUUUUAACAGCUAUCUCCAAAAAUGAACCUGACUAUCUAACACCGGCAACCCAAUCCCACACAAAAAGAUAUGCGCUAUUCAAUAAAUCAAUAAAUAUUUGCUUAGAUGGUGAAAAAUGGUGUGAUGCACACCAUAUCCUACAUGCUGCCUCUGCAUCAUUCAUGCAGCUGAAACCGACUCUCCUGUUGUGCUUAGAAUUUUGCAGAUCACUGCUCCCGCUCAUAUGCACACAGCAGCUUGGCUCCUCCAUUGCUUAGACCCUCCUUGUGAACCAUACUCCCAUAUGUGCUAGAAGAAAAGGCAUACUAUUCAACCUUCAAAUGCCUUUUUUGCCAGUUUACUGUUCAUCCUUCUUGAAAAAUUGUCCAGCCACUACAGUUGGACUCCUUCAAUAAUACCAUGGAAAAGAGUCUCCUAUUCAUUCAUCUAAAACUCCCUCAAAUUUACCUUCCACACCUUACAACAAGUUUCAAGUAAAUGACCCUAGAUUUACAUUUAAACUUCCAAUAGAAACCAAGAAUCUACCCAAAAAACAUUGCUUUUUCCUUUCUAGAUGCUAUUGAGCCAAGAAAUCUCAUCCUUCUUGAAGCCUAGUGUAAUCAAUGCCUCACAACUCCUCUCUGCAAUGGGGAGCCUAGUCUCCACCACCAUUUUCUUCUUUAAUAUCAAAAAGAUUUCUCUCCACUGCAGGGAAUUGUCAGACCAUGACAAUCUGGCUCCUACCCAUAUCUUAGCUUGGCAUAAGUUUCUUCCACUAAUACCUAUCAAAAAAAUAAUAAUAAGUUUCAUCCACUAAUCCUCCAUACACUUUUCAAUAUUGUAACUCGUAAAGAGACAACAUAUCAUAGUGCUAAAGAAUAGCUUCUGUUCAUGAUAUAAGAAACUUCAAAUGACAUCCUAUUAGCCCAAGAGUAUUAGUGAACUUUUUAGCAGUACUUUACAACUACCACAUUAUUUUAAUGUUUUUAGCCCAUAAGUAAUGUCAUAAUGCUUCGUAAGUUUUGAGUGAACCACCACAUAUGCAAGAUCAUAUAAACAGGAAAAAAUAAGGCAAAAGGAGAUGCAGAAAAUAUGAAUUUACGAUCAUCCAACAAAACAAAGUAUAUAAUAGUCUUACGUAUUUCUAUUAGUCAAAACAUAUUCAUUUAGAGAAACAAGAGUGAAUAGCAUGACCCUUACUACAACGUAAUAAUGUCCAAUCAACUUACAGCAACAUUUAGCAACCCAACAAAUGGGUAAGAUGAAAGCAUUGAUUUCAUUAUCUUUCUUUGUUUAGUUUGUGUGCCGUGGAACUGAAGCAUCCUCUCAAGAACCUACAAGUACAAGAAGACAUCCAUUGAGAAAUAGCAUCUCAUCUUUCAAAGGACAAAAGUUGCACAAAUAUGAAGCAUCCAGCUGUAGCCUGUGCUUAUGUACCUUAACUAGGUUCCUUAUCAAAAGAAAAAAAAAAUAGUAAACAAGAAACAAUAAAUAACAAAAAGAUAUAAUAAAUUAGAAAAUGAAAUGUUGACCUUAAAAAACCACAAUGAAAAAGACAUAAUAGAAGUAAAAAAAUGUCAAAAAUUCACGCCUAACCAAUCACUUAGAUUUUACAUGGGAUAUUGUUUUAGUUUCUAUUUAGGAGCUGAAGCAGGCAAUAUCAAAAUUAGGAAUUAAGCACAUCCCUUACCUCGAACGGAUACUAGCAGCUAGAGAGGAAAGACACACACUAGUUAUCAAUUAGGUUACACCUAGGAUAUUGUUCCAAUCUCCUAUUCCUUGGAUGUUUCAAUGCAACACCAAAAUAAGGAGUGAGAUAUGUCCCUUACCUAAUCCAAACACCAAGAAUGCACCAUUCAAUACAGGGGUGCAAUUCAUGUUGGCGGGUCAUGUUCAUGUCGUGUCAAAACCUGGGUAUUCUACAACAUAGUUUAACCUAAACCCGACACGAAUAACAAUUUUGUCAAAAACACAAACCCAAAUGCUACCUAUUAUUAAACAAGUAACACAUCGUGUAACCCCUUUAUAAUCAAGUCCUAUUUGAUAAUUAGGUUUGGUUAAGUCUUAUAUCUCAACUAAACAUUUUUAUGGAUCAAUUGACCUAUUUAUCUAAAAACAAACUUUAAAAUGAAUCAAAUAUGGGUUAAAUGGUCUAAAGUUAUAAUUAAGUUAAUUAACGGGAUUAUUAAAUGGGUCAAUUCAGGUCAAAUUCAUGUUAUACAAGUUGACCCAAAAACUACCUAUUUAUUAAACGAGUUAUGCAGAUCAACACAAAUUUGACCCAAACCCAAUUAUACUCGAUCCAAACCCACAAAAAGCAUGUUAGAUCUAAGUUAUGUUGGCAAAUCAUAUCAAACUUUACCACCCUUAAUUCAGUAUAUGCCAGCUGUCAAAAAGCUAAAAGCUAGACUAAGAUCCUUAGGCUCCAUCACUUGUAGGCAGGUAUCAAAAGAAAAAUAAAAGAGCACCACCUUCUCUUGCAAGCCAAAGGGCAUGCAGCCUCACAUAUUCAUGACACCAUGGCUUUCUAGCUUGGAGGAGUAUAAAGGUCUUUAGGUUAUAGUAGCACCAUCAGCUAUGCGUGCCUUUUAAAAUGCAAGAUCACAUCUAUGUAGGUAUCUUUAUCUUUUAACUUCAAGAGGACAUAUAUCAAAACUCAAUAACUAAGCUCCAUUUGACAAGCUUCUCAUAGUCUACAAGCUUUUCUUGACUGUUAAAGCCCUCGAAGCAUAAAGUACUUUAGUAGAAGAUAUUUGGAGCUUAAAAGCCCAUUCCAAACAGUUGGAGGCAAGUUCUUUUGCAGAAGAGCUCAAAGCAGAUUUCAAACUUAAAGUUUUAUUUUUACAUUUUACUACAUCAAAUAGGAAGGUAUUCUUUUGCACAGAUAUAUACAAAGAACUAGUUCACUAGAAGCCACAACUAUCAAACCCUCUACAGAUGGAGCUUUUGGAUUUUCAUGCUAUCAGUUUUGCACAAGACUACUUGAACUAAUAGAUGCCUUCGUUAAUAUUUAUAAACAUAAGAUCACGAGAAGCAUAGUGCCAAAAGAAAUACAAAGCUACAAAGAAAGAGAUGAUACAAAUUAAUUGAAAAUAUAGUCUGGCCAUUAAUUCAUACUUGAGUGUAGGAGCAUGAACAAACCUCAGCUAUGGUGUGCUCUUGACAUGCCUCCUUCCAGGUUGUGAUGAACAUCCUCAUAGAAUCAUUAGCAAGCAAAAAAUCCGCUUCAUUCAGAUUGUUAAGCUCCUUUUUCUCAUUGUCAUGGUCCACUGAAAGAGGAACUAGUUCUAAUUUAUUUCUUUUAGGCAAUUUGAGGUAUUUUGAAACAGUGCAACUUCGGUUGCUGGACUUUCUUUUCCUUUUAAAGGGCCCAGUAUUCUCACUGUGCAUUGAACUGCCACUAGCAGAAGGGUUUCCCUCUGUUUCACCUUUCAAUCCAAGUCGGGUCAUCUCUUCAAUUGCUGAUGGGUAGGGGCAGCUACUCACUCUGUCACGAGUUUUGGAAUUUGGUGAUGAAAACUUGCUAUUGCUGCACCCAUCAAUGUCUUCCUCACUCUCUUCAUAUUUAUGAUCAUCACUACCAUCCUCCUCUGAACAUGAUGAAACAAAUAUUGUGUGUUUACCACCAAAAUCGUCGUGUGCUGAGGCAAAUGACUUGACACGCUGGGACAUGGCACUGAAGCGUUCAUCUAACUUCUUUUUCUCUGAAGACCGAAGAGGGUGUUCCCUGAUUUUCUUAUCAGGAAUCUGUUUAAGUGACCCUUGACUCUUCUUUAAAGUCAUAUGUUCUAGCUUCCUAGCUUCACGGAUGAAACUAAUAUGCAUCCUAUGAUCAAAAAGUAGUAAUUCAAUUAGAUAACCAAUAUUUGAAUAAUUUUGAGUUUGCACUCAUUAUUUUUUUUGAUAGGAAGUUUGCACUCAUUAUGGCAGAUGAUGAACACAAGUGCACCAGCACAUACAAUGAACAACACCACCAAUGCUAAAAAAAAAGGCAUAAGAGGUUGCAUUCUGAUCCACUGCAAGUUCUGUUCUCAAAAACUACAAUACCAUAAGAAACUUAACUAAACUAUGAAAUUCAAAUCAUAAAAAGAUAAAAUUUGCAGAAGCAAUCCAUUUUUGAAAAUGAAAGUCCUAUCCUUUUAGCUGUUAAAUUAGACAUGGACAUCAUAUAUAGAUAAAGAAUUUGGUACAUAAAAAUUAGGAAAAAUAUGGCCAAUGCAUUGAAAAAGUAUGAUUCAUAAGGGGUUGCUGACUAGUUUUACUACUAGGUGUGGGUAUUUUUACGCACAUGAAUAAAAGAAAAAGAACAUGUAAAAAAAAUAUAAGUUGAGCCCUUAAGGCCUGGCUCAAGUGGUUCCAAGUUCAAGUCCCAAUGGGGAAAAAAAUUUACUUCUAUAUAUAUUUGAUAGGUAAAUUAGUAAUUCAUUAAAAAGCAAGAGCACAACAAAGCACACCGAAAGUAUACAAAGUGCGCCUAAGAAAACAACAACAAAAAAUGAGCCAAGGAGCAAUCAAGGUGGGAUUACAAAAAGGAUUAAUUGAUUAAAAGGGAUUAAAUCAUCCCAAAUUUGUAAAACUAACCUCUCCCAUUUUUUAACUUGAAGUGUAACCCAUUUUUAACAUAAAUACCUUCAACACUUCCAUUAUUUACAUGUGUGUUUUAAAAGAAAAGGUUAUUUUUGCAAGACAAAAAUGAGGGCAUUUUUAUUCAAAAUGGGUAUUUUUUAGGGUGAAAAAAAGCAGAGGGUUAGUUUACAAGGUGGGGAUGAUUUCAUCCCUUUGAAUCAAAUAACCCUUACAAAAAAUACCCCCCUCCCUUAAUACACACACACACACACACACACACACACACACAUAUAUAUAUAUAUAUAUAUACACACACAAUAGAACAUAAGUUGAAACAACCAAUAGAACCAAAAAAAAGGACAUAACGGUCACAUGAAUAUUAGACAUGUAGUUAUGUAUACUAUUAUCAUCUAAUUAUGUACUAUUAUUGUAAACAAUGCAUUAAAAUGCCUCAAAAGAUUUCAGCAUUUAUUGGAAAAGAGAAGUGAACUUAUACAUUUUGAAACAUUUAAAGAGGGAAUUAAAAGGGAGGGGGGGGGGGGGAGGGGGAAUAGACAAGAAAAAAAAAAACUGAAAAGAGGCUGAAGCAAACAUCCCAACUCUUCCACCACAACCAUUAUAGGAUACAUUAAUGGUAUCCCAGCCCCUUUUUUAUUAUUAUUAAAGUAUCCCCGCCUUUUUUUGUAAGCAAAAAUCAAAAUUUAAAAAUUUUAGUUAUAACUAUAANNNNNNNNNNNNNNNNNNNNNNNNNNNNNNNNNNNNNNNNNNNNNNNNNNNNNNNNNNNNNNNNNNNNNNNNNNNNNNNNNNNNNNNNNNNNNNNNNNNNAAAAAAGGACAUAACGGUCCCAUGAUUUUUAAACAUGUGGUUAUGUAUAUUAUUAUCAUUUAAUUAUGUAUUAUUAUUGUAAACAAUGCAUUAAAAUGCCUUAAAAGAUUUAGGAAAUUUUUGGAAAAGAGAAGUGAAUUUAUAAAUUUUGAAACAUUUAAAGAGGGAAUUAAAAGGGGGGGGUGGGGGGGGAGGGGGAAUAGACAAGAAAAAAAAAAACUGAAAAGAGGCUGAAGCAAACAUCCCAACUCUUCCACCACAACCAUUAUAGGAUACAUUAAUGGUAUCCAAGCCCCUUUUUUAUUAUUAUUAGAGUAUCCCAGCCUUUUUAUGUAAGCAAAAAUCAAAAUUUAAAAAUUCUAGUUAUAACUAUAACACAGAGGUUAUGAACACAACAAAAGAACAUUCUAUUAUGAAUAUCAAUCCACUGUAUGGUAUUUUGCAACAGUUAAGAGAUGACUGUAUGUGGUAAAGGUAAUAUAAAAAUCCAUGAAAGCCGCAAUUACAACCAUUAAAAUCAAAAAGUUGAUUCAUACAUCAUUCAGGCUUGUCAAAAACCAUGAAACAGAAACAUUAAAAACUAAACAAAGAAGAACACAGAGAUUGCCUUGAUGUGAUCAUAGGAAAUAUAUCUAGGUCACAUAUUUUGUUCAAAAAUAUACAUAGAACUGUUCAGCAGAGUAAACAAAUUGGCAGGGAUGAAAAAAAAAAGGGAAGAAGAAGAAGAAGAAAAUUGUUUGAGAAUGACUUUAACUAUGAGACGAUUCUGGGAGAUAAUUGAUGAGUUUCAAUUGAGGGAUUUACCUCUCACAGGGGGGUGCUUUACUUGGUUUGGUGGUCUGAAUAACAGUUCUUCUUCUAGGCUAGAUCGCUUCCUAGUUUCUGAAGAUUGGGAGUCAUUUUUUAAUGGUCUUUGUCAAAGUUUGCCGCCCAAGCCCACUUCUGAUCAUGCACCUAUUCUACUGGAUGGAGGAGGAAUCAGAGGUGGAAAAUCACCCUUUUGUUUCAAGAAUAUGUGGUUGAGAGUGGAAGGAUUCAAAGACUUGGAUAGGAGUUGGUGGAUGGUUACACUUUCAAUUGAUCAUAUAGUCACAUCUGAGCUUACAAGCUAAAGGCACUGAAGCAGGAUCUCAAAGUACCCUCAAGAUUCCAAGGCCAAAAGAAGGGCUGUGGAGGAUUUUAGCAAAUGGGCAAGCAUGGAAAAGAUUUCCUGGAGGCAAAAGUCAAGAGAAGUGUGGCUGAGAAAAGGGGAUAAAAACUCAAGCUUUUUCCACAAGAUGGCCAAUGCACAAAGAAGAAGAAAUUUCUUGUCGACUGUCAAAGUGAACGGAAGAAGAUUGACAAACGAAGAUGAGAUAAGGGAGGAGGUGGUUAACACUUUUCAUAGAAUCUUAUCAGAGACGGAAGAUUGAAGGCCAGGCAUCAAUGGGUUGUCCUUUUUUGCCUUGAACAAGGAGGAAUUAGGGCCAUUAGAGGAUCCUUUUUUUGAGGAAGAGGUUUUUGCAGCUCCUGCUAACUUGAGUGGAGACAACACUCUUGGUCCGGAUGGGUUUUCCUUAGCCUUUUGGCAAUCUUGUUAGGAUAUUAUCAAAAAUGAAGUUAUGGGUUUCUUUGUUAAGUUCCAUGAUCUAGGUCACUUAGAAGAAGCCUUAAGGCCACUUUUAUUGUGCUCAUUUCUAAGAAAGAGGGUGCAAAGGAUUUGAGGGACUUUCAUCCCAUCAAUUUGGUGGGGAGCCUUUAUAAGAUUCUAGCUAAGGUUUUGGUUAACAGACUAAAAAGAGUUGUCAGGAAAGUGAUUUCAAACUCCCAACAUGCUUUUGUGGAGGGAAGACAAAUCUUGGAUGUUAUCCUUAUAGCAAAUAAGGUGCUAGACUCAAGGUUGAAAAGCUCAAAAAGUGGGGUCAUUUGCAAAAUGGAUAUUGAAAAGGCCUAUGACCAUGUGAAUUAGGGAUUCUUAUUAGCAGUCUUGGGGAAAAUGGGUUUUAGGGCCAAAUGGGUAAGGUAGAUGAAGUGGUGCAUAUCCUCGACUCGGUUUACAGUUUUGAUUAAUGGGACCCCUAUAGGUUUCUUUCAAAGUUCUAGAGGCCGAAGACAGGGAGAUCAUUUUUCCCUUUUUCUCUUUAUUUUGGCAAUGGAGGCUCUUUCUAGUAUUUUGAAAGGGCUACAGAGGGUGGCUUCAUUAAGGGUUUCUCGACCAAUGGGAGAGGUGGUGUCCCAUCUUCUUUUUGUCGAUGAUACACUAGUUUUUUGUGACUCAAAUAAGGAGCAUUGGGAGGCUUUGAGUUGGGCUUUCAUGUGGUUUGAAGCGAUUUCUGGUCUUAAAAUUAAUUUGGAUAAGAGUGAGUUAAUCCCAGUGGGAGAGGUUUCUAAUGCAGAAGAGUUGGCUAGGGUGGUGGAAUGUAAAGUGGGCUCUCUCCCUUCUACUUAUCUAGGUCUACCUUUGGGCACUUCCUUUAAGUCUUUACCAGUUUGAGGUAGUGGAGGAAAGAUUUCAAAAAAAAAAAAAAACUCACUAUGUGGAAAAGACGGUACUUAUCAAAAGGGGGGAGAUUGACUUUAAUCAAGAGCACUUUAUCUAGUCUACCAAUCUAUUUUAUAUCUUUAUUUAUAAUCCCACGUAAGGUGAGCCUCAAAUUGGAGAAGCUUCAAAGAGAUUUCCUUUGGGGGGGGAGGGGGGGAAAGCUCCAAAGAAAUCCUCAUUUAGUGAAUUAGUCAUUAGUUAGCUUGGAUAAAAAGGAUAGAGGUCUAGGGAUUAGAAAGUUGUCCACUUUGAACAAAACCCCCCUUGGAAAAUGGAGUUGGAGAUUUGCUUCUAAAAAUAAGGUUCUAUGGAAGUUGGUGAUUGUAAGGGAGUAUGGAGAGGAAGAAAGGGGGUGGUGUUCCAGAGUUUCGAAGAAAGGUCAUGGGGUCGGUCUUUGAAAGGCAAUCUGGAAUGGGUGGAAAGAAUUCAACAAGAAGGUUGUUUUCAGGAUAGGAAAUGGUAGAAGGGUGAGGUUUUGGAAGAAUAAGUGGUGUAGGGAGGAUCCUUUAGCAAUGGCUUUUCUAGAGUUGUUUUCAAUUACCAUUGAUAAAGAAGCUUUAGGUAAACCAAAUGUGGGAGCAGGUUGGGGAAGGGGGUUGUUGGAACCCGAUGUUCAUAAGAUAGAUAAAUGAUUGAGAAUUGGGAAAGGUGGAAGAGUUGCUUAAUGAGUUGUAAGGACAAGUGAUCAAAAGUGGCGUUGAGGAUGUCAUGGCUUGGCGAGUAACAAAGGGAGACACCUUUAUAGUGAAAUCCUUUUACUACUCCCUAGUAGGGCGCCCAUUAAAAGGCUUCCCAUUAGGUAUUGUGUAGAACCCUUUAGUCCCAAUGAGAGUUAGUUUUUUUGCUUGGGAAGUAGUUUAGGGAAAAAAAUUAACUCUAGGUCAACUAAAAAAGAGGGGUUGGUGUCUUCCAAGCAAAUGUUAUUUGUCUAAAGAUAAAGAGGAGUCAUCAAACCAUAUCCUUCCCCACUGUCCAAAGGCGACCUGGUUGUUGCACCUCAUCCUUGCUCUUUUUAAUGUCCAAUGGGUAAUGCCUUUCUCAAUCAAGGAUGUCGUUCUUAGCCGGUAGGGAUCCUUUGUUGCAAAAAGGAAGAAAGUGUGAAGAGUAGCUCAUUUAUGAUUAUUUUGGACCCUUUGGAAAGAGAGAAAUCAAAGAGCCUUUGAAGAUUCAAACUUGACAAACCAUACUAUUUUACGCUCCUUCAUGCACAUGUUUUUGGAGUGGGUCAAGGUAUAUUUAGGGUCUAGCACUUUUGUCUUUAUUUGACUUUAUUGAUCGGUUGGGUUGUAAGUGAACCAAGGGUGUUUUUUUUUGUGAAUUCUUCCCUUUUUUUGGCCUUGUAUACAUCAUGUAUACUUUAGGAGCAUUUUAGGCGCUUUUAAUACAAUUUCUUUUACAUAUAAAAUAUAAAAAAAUAAAAAAAAUAAAAAUUAAAAAAAAAAAGAGAGAGAGAGAGAGAAAACAAGGAGAACAUUCUUGGAUGCCUAUGCUUCUGACUUUGAGUGAGAAUGAGAAGUUCAUGCACAUUCAUCAACUCCCACAAACAUAUAUAUAAAAAAUAAAUAGGAUUAGUUAUAUUUAUGUCAUGUUUACUAAACUUUUGAGGAAACGGAAUAAAAUGAAAGGAAAUAAAAAUUGGAAUGAAGGGAAAUGAAAAGAAUCAAAAUUAGAAAUCCUAUUUAAGUGUUUACUAGAAUAUCAUGAAACAGAAUGAGAAUGGAUCUAAUUAUUUUUUUAUCAGAAACAACAGAUGUAUUAAUUAAAAGUGAAUAAAAACAUGAAGGAUGAAAAACCCUCCCCAUGACAUACAAACCUGAUCAAAAGACCCGAAGAAACCUCCACUAUACAAGAAGGGUUACACAAAAGGAACAAAAAAACAUAUACAAGUAUAACAUCUCCUGAAGCUCAACGCUAGGGUGUACAUAUCAAAAGCCAACUAAGCUCAACCCCAUGGAUCUAAUUAUCACAGUGUCCUUAUACAAAGAGAUAAGAAAUUUUAAUAUUAAUAUUAUUCUUUUUAAAAUAAUCCCCAUAUGAAUGUUAAAUUUCAAGAUGAUUAUGUCUUCAUAUGUAUAUCCACGACUAGUUUCUCUGUUUUGGUCAAUGGAACCCUUUCAUGCUUUUUUCAAGGUUCUAAGGGUUUAAAGCAAGGAGACCCUCUUUCACCCUAUUUAUUUAUGAUUGCAAUGGUGGCACUCAGUUGCCUCUUAGAGAGCAAUGAAUGGAGGUUUUUUUCGGCUUGUCAAGUGAGGGGUGGAGGUGGUGAAGGGGUUUAGGUAUCCCAUUUGUUCGCAAAUGAUACAUUUGUCUUUUGUGAGGCUUCUCAAGAUCAAAUGACCUAUUUAUGCUAGUUGCUUAUGUGGUUUGAGGCCAUUUCGAGGCUGAGAAUUAAUUUGGAUAAAAGUGAGUUAAUUCCAGUGGGAAGAGUAGAUAAUGUGGAGGAAUUGGCUUCAAAGCUUGGUUGUAAGGUCGAAAGUCUCCCUUCCUCUUACUUGGCGAUGUCGUUGCAUGUUCCGUUUAAGUUCGUGGCAGUUUGGGAUGGAGUAAAAAAUAGGUUUUACAAGAGAUUGGCUAUGUGGAAGAGAUAAUAUAUUUCUUAAGGAAGGAGAAUCACCCCGAUGUGAAGCACUUUGUCUAACUUGCCUAUUUAUUUCAUGUCUAUGUUUUCCAUGCCAAGGAUGGUCAGAUUAAGGUUAAAGCAGAUUCAAAGGGAUUUUCUGUGGGGAGGUGGGGCUCUUGAGCGAAACUCAUUUAGUAAGGUGGGCGACUUUUUGCUUAGACGAAAGGAAAAGGGGAUUGGGAUUUAAAUGUCUUUCUACUCUCAACAAGGCUCUUCUUUGCAAAUGGAGUUGGCACUUUGUGAAUAAGAGAGGGGCCUUUUGGAAUCAAGUGAUCAAGGGGAAGUAUGGGGAAGAAAAAAGGGGUAUGUUGUAGGACUGUGGAAAGCAAUUAGGAAGAAUUGGGACCUUGUUAGGAGUAAACUUUCCUUUGUGGUGAGUAAUGGGCAAAGGGUGAAAUUUUGGAAGGAUAAAUAAUAUGAGGCUACACUUUUUGUGUUUCCUUCCCCUCUUUAUUUACUUUAGUCAUCUCUAAGGAGGCAUGGGUAAAGAAUGAUUGGAAUUCCUCAAAUAUAGGGGAGAGUUAGAGCCCUCUCUUCUCUAAACCUUUUAGCAAUUGGGAGGUGGAUGAAGUAGAGAGUUUCCUAUUAUGCCUUUAUGGGAAGAGAGUGCAUAGGGAUGAGAAGGACAAGGUGCUUUGAACAUAGACAAAGAGUGGCAAGUUCUCUAUUAAGUCUCUCUACAAAGCCUUGGAUUUGAGCAAUUCAAUUUCUUUUCCAAUGAAAAUCAUUUGGAAUUCGUGAGUGCAACCCAAAGUGAGCUUCUUUGCUUGGAAAGCAACGUGGGGAAAAGCUUUAACCUUGGACCAAAUUCAAAAAAGACGAUGGUCUUUCGCGAAUAGAUGUUAUCUUUGUCAAACACAUGAAGAAUCCAUAGAUCACAUCCUUCCCCAUUGUGUCAAGACAAAGGUUUUAAGGGAAAUGUUUUUUACUCUUUUUGGAGUGUCUUGGGUGCUACCUUCUUCGAUUAAAGCAACGCUUUUAGGUAGAAAUGGUUCCUUUGUGGACAAAAGCACAAGAAAGUUUGGAUAGCAAGCCCUUUAUACAUUUUUUGGAAAGUUUGAAAGGUAAGGAAUAGAAUUGCCUUCAAAGACAACACGUUUUCCAUCCAAAGGCUAAAAGGAUCUUUUGUUUACUUUCUUUAGUCGGAAACUAAGAUGUUUGUAAAAGUUGGUCCUUCGACGCUAAUUGGUUUCAUUGAUUACUAGGGCUCUCAUUGAGGAUGGGGAUGUUUUUUGCACCUCCUUUUUAGCAAUUUCUUUUUUGUUUGAGUUAUGUGGAGGUAGGUGCAUUUAUCUUAUACACUUGGGUCACUCUUUUGGCGCCUCUUUUUAAUAUACAUAUUCUUCUUUAUUUAUCAAGAAAAAAAAAUUCUUCAUAUGCAUAAUUAAAAUGAAAUUUUACACUUUAUCACUUACAAUAAUUAUUAAGAAGAUAUUUUUAAUCUUCUUUCCAACAAUUUCAUAAAUGAUUAUUAAUAUUUAUAUAAGUAAAAUAAAAUGGUUAUCAAAAUAUUGUUUGUUAAUCUACCUUCUAUGUGCUAAUCCUCACUUUUUUAAUAUUACUUAACAUACAACCAUCCUAAAUUUAGUAAAAAAAUUUAAUAUUGAGCCAAAUAAAUAAAAAUAUGAAUUAGGUUUGAACCUACCCUAUAAUAUAUAAAAUCUCUUUGAUGAUUAAAUAUGUUAUUAUAGCAGCAAUAUGUUUCCAGAGGGAGGGUAACUUUGAUUGGAAUUACUUUAUUCAAUUGACUUAUUAAUUUUAUGUCUUUGUUUUGUAUGCCACGGGUUAUUAGAUUGAGGCUAGAAUAGCUUCAAACGAACAUUCCAUAGGGUGUUAGGGCUUUAAAGUGUAAACCCCAUCUUGUUAAGUGGGCGGUUGUUUGUCGAGACAAGAGUAAAGGGGGCUUGGGGAUCAAAAGUCUUUCAGUUCUUAAUAAUGCUCUUCUUUGCAAGUGGAGUUGGCAUUUUGUGAUAGAGAGAAGGGUCUUUGAAAUCAAGUUAUCCGUGGUAAGUAUGGGAAAGCAAGAAGGGGGUAGGCAAAUCAAGAGGUAAAGAAGGGAUAUGGGAUUGGGUUGUAGAAAGCAAUAAGGAAGGAUUGGAGUAUUGUGAGUUUCAGGAAUUCCUUGGACAUGAAGACUCUAUUGAUCAUUUGUUGCUCCAUUGUGAAAUGACAAGGGUUUUAUGGAAGCUAAUUUUUGUAUUUUUUGGGGUGUCUUAGGUGUUUUCUUCGCCGGUUAAAGAUGCUUUGUUAGGUUAGCAUGGUUCUUUUGUGGGCAAAAAGCGAAAAAAGAUUUGGCAAUCAAGCUCUUUGUGUCUGUUUUGGAAUUGUGGAAGGCCAGGAACAACAUUACUUUCUUUAAUGAGAUUUUUUCUCUUCAAAAGUUGAAGAGGGAGUUUGUUUGUUUUUUGUGGUCUAAGUCUAAGUUGUUUCUAGAAAAGUGACCAUUGACUUUCGUAGGUUUUUUUGAAUGGUUGGGUACUUGUCGAGAUUGUUAAGGUUCUUUCUAUACUCUGUUGGUUGAGCUUUGAUGAUGAAGGGAGGUUUGUUUUCUUGUAUACCUUUGGGUCGUUUUUCUGGUGGCUCUUUUCUCUAAUUUAAGUCUUUAUUUAUCAAAAAAAAUGUUAUUAUCUCAAUUAAAAUUAAUUAAAAUAAUUUUUUAUCUUUAGUUGUUAUGCUAUUAUUUUUAAUUUUUUAGAAAAUAUUUUAUUUUUUUUAAUAUGUUAUUAUGUCAAAUUAAUAUAUAAGUUUAACAUAAUUAAAAAUGUAAUUAUAUUAAUCUCAAGGGCAUUUUUGUCCAAUUUUCAUUCAUGAGGAAAUAGGAAUUUCCUUAAGGAGCUUCAAGGAAACCCUUACUCCACUUUGAAGAAUGAGACUCUUUAAGAUUAGGUCAAUCCCACACCUUUCACUGAUUCCAAGUUUAAGUAAACACUUGGAAUGGAGGGAAAGGGAAUGACUCUCUUUUCUUUAAACAUGUCAUUAAAUAUAAAAUACCAUACACUUAAAGAAUACAUAUGUAGACUGAUCUAACUUAUAGGGUAUGCUUAUGGAGUUGUCGGUAGUUUCAUUCACCCUUCACUACUGCUUCCAGCGCUUUACAACAACCAACUCCAAAGUAUUUCUUUUUUUAAAUGCUUCAAAUAUUUUGUGGAGCAGUUACAAGGAAAUUGACCAUUAGCUGUAAUGCCACAAUGAGAAACACUAACACCAUAAAUGACUAAACUCUAUUAAUGCUGGUACCAAACUUUCUCAAAAAAUGUGUUAUUUAUAUCAAAAUGUAACAAUAGUAAGAAAUGUAUUGCAUACCCCAAGCUUUGAAUUCGCACACCAAGCCUUUCCCUCCCUGUGAGGGAUCGCUUCUUGGCAAUGUACUCCAGGAAUUCUUCAAUAAUAAUAUGUUUAUCUUGGCAAGCUUCCAUAAACUCAUCAAGACAAGAUAUUAUCUCUGCGCUAGUUAUCUUAAAUACUCCUGAUGCAUCAGAACUGAUCGAAAAGUAAUGCAUGAUAAGUGGAUGCCGUACCAAAGGACCCAAUUCAAGAUCUUCAAACUGCUCAACCCCCUCAUUCUUGCAGAUUGCCAUUUCCAAAUCAUACAAUGAAGUAAUUCUUCGAACCCCAACAAAGCAGUGGAUAAAUGAAUUGAUCUAAAUUACACAACAAAAAAAUCAAACAGUAAAUAGAGAGGAUGAAAGAAUGUUAACAUGAGAAAAACUUCACUUAAUUGCUUAAAGAAGAAAGAAAAAUUUGACCGCAGAAUUUUGAUUCUUAUCCUUUCUUUUGCUUUCAUUUCUUAAAAAUAAAGACCCAUUUAAAAAUGCGUAAGGAUCAUGUACAUUUGCACCCUCAAAGGUAGUCUGAGUCACACAACCAAUCAAGUUUAUGCAGUGUUUCAAAAGAAGUGUUGUGUAUAACAUUUGUGACAUAAUGCAAGAACAUUUUUGCAGGGUCCAACUUAUCUUUGCUGGACCAGGAUUCUUGAAUAUUUCCCUACAUACGGCUUUAUCAGUCUCUCUCUCUCUCUCUCUCUCUCUGAUAGGUCAAUGAAAGAACAUAUUAAAAGUGCCUAAUAAGAGAGUGCAAAAAGGUAUACACGUUGUAUACAAACAACCUCAUUCAUUUUUUCUCCUUGUGCUCAUCUCCAAACUCUCUCUCUCUCUCUUUCUUUUCUUUUCUUUUUUGAUAGGUCAAAGAAAGAAAAUUUUAAAAGCACCUAAUAAGAGAGCAUGAAAAGGUAUACACGUUGUAUACAAACAGCCUCAUUCAUUUUCUCUCUUUGUGCUCAUCUCCAAAACAAUGAAGACAAAUUCAAAAUUCUAACUACUGUUCCUCCCAUCCAAUAAAUUCAUUUUUCACUGCCAACCAAGGUUAACCUCACAUUUGCAUGCUAGAAAACUGGGGAAAACAAAAGAAUAGUAUUAUGUUUUCUGUUGUUUUGGCUUCCAGAAACUGAAGAACUUAUUCAACUAAGCCAGAUUUGAAUGCCACACAGUUGGGCGAGAGUUCAUAGUUCUGUAAAAGGCAAGACAUUAAAAGCUCUAGCAUAAAAUUUUACAUUUCUUUCCUUAACCUACAUCUCUUAAGCAACGAAACAGAACCUUUGUCACUCUCUUUAUAAUUUCCUCACAGAACACUCACUUCCUAUAUUUUAAUUUAUUUUCUUGUUCUAAACUUCCUCAGCAACCAAACACAACUUCACCCUCUACUUCGUUGCCAAGAAAACGAAGGGAAUAAAUACAAACUAAUUAAAUAUGUUCUUUCAUUGACCAGAGGGAUUUUUUGUGGGGUGGGGGAGCUCUUGUCCAAAAACCUCACCUUGUCAAAUGAAACUUGGUUUGCUUGGAAAAAAAGAAAGGUGGGCUAGGUGUGAAAAAUUUAGCUUUGAUGAAUAGUGCUAUUUUGUGCAAAUGGAAUUAGAGGUAUGCUAAUGAAAGAGAGGCGUUGUGGAGGCGUGUAAUUAACCUCAAGAAUGGCGAAGAGGAGGGGGGAUGGCAUACUCGGGAUGUAAUUGGGAGAAACGGUGUUGGGCUUUGGAAAACAAUCAGGAAGAAGUGGUGGUUGUUAGAUGGUAGGGUAGCUUACCAUGUGGGUAAUGGGCAAAGAGUGAGAUUCUGGAAAGACAAGUGGUACGGAGAUGGGCCACUUUGUGAGUCCUUCUCCUCUCUUUUCUCCAUUUCCAUGUCUAAAAAUGCUUGGGUUUCGGAGGUUUGGAAUCCCGUUGGAGAUGGGGAUGGUUGGACUCCUCUUUUUGCAAGGGUGUUUAAUGAUUGGGAGAUCAAUUUGGUGGAGCGUUUGUUGCAGAAGAUCCAUGCCUUUAGGGUUCAAAGGGAUGAGGAAGAUAGAGUGAUCUGGUCAGCUUCAAAUGACGGUGCUUUCUCAGUUAAGUCUCUUUAUUCUAUGUUGGAGCGGGGAGGUUCUUCUAUGUUCCCUAGCGAAAGAAUUUGGAGGGUAAGAGUGCCUCCAAAGAUAGCUUUCUUUGCUUGGGAGGCUUCCUGGGGUAAAGUCUUAACUUUGGAGAAUCUUCAAAGGAGGGGGUUCUCUUUGGCAAACAGGUGCUUUCUUUGUCUUUCCGAAGCAGAAACCGUGAAUCAUCUCUUACUUCAUUGUGUUAAGACGCGGGUCUUGUGGAACCUUCUUUUCUCCCUUUUUGGUGUAUCUUGGACUCUUUCGUGUACAGUGAAGGCAACCCUUCUUGGAUGGAAUGAAGUAUUUGUGGGGAAAAGACGCAAGAGGGCUUGGAAAAUGGCUCCUUUAUGUAUAUUUUGGUCAAUCUGGAAGGAGAGAAAUAGACUAGCUUUUGGGAAUGAGGAACUCUCGCUUCAAAGAUUGAAAUAUUCUUUUGUAUGUAAUCUUUGGUCUUGGGUCAGGGUUUCCUUAGUAGAGAGCUCUUCUUCUCUUAUAAGUUUUUUAGACUAGAUAAGCUCCUAGUAAGGGAAGGCGGUGGGUAUAUUCCCUAUAUACUUCAAGAGCACUGGUUUUUUGGUGUUUCCUCUUUUUGAUUAAUAUACUUACUUUUUACUUAUCAAAAAAAAAAAAUACUGAUGGAUCAAAUUUUUUGGUUUCUCGAACGAUAAAACUUAAGUCAGCUCAAUGUAGCAGAGGCUUUAUCAUCCAUAAUCCUCAAUAUAAGUUUGCUUUCAAAAUUGGUUGUUGCUUUUCCUACAACUGCUCAACAAUUUAACUAAUCUUUACUCAGUUUAAUAGUUUGGAGAACCCAACAACCUCUUAGUUUUCAAAUAUUAGUUGGUUACUUUUCCUAUCCUUUCUUAGCAACCAAAAAGAAAAACAAAACAAAAAAAACUUGCAUUACCUUUCCCUCUAUGACUAUAAGGCUGUGAAGAGACGGAACCUCCUGCAUCGGAAACCCCAACGAUUCCCAGGAAUCAACCUGUAGCGCCAACAACGCUGAUUGAGACACCUUCCACGCCGACACGCUUUCACCGGUGGCAAUAACGUCUCGGCGAGCCUUGACAACGGCGCCGUCGACCCUGUCCAAAGCCUCUUUGUUCCGCUUUGGGGGUUGAGGCCUGAACCCCGUGAAAUUAGUGUUUUGGAUUGCAAAACUAGGGUUUUGUAAUGGAAAACUAGUGUUUUGCAUUGGCAAAUUAGGGUUUUGCAAUGGCAAAUUAGUGUUUUGCAUUGGCAAAGUAGGGUUUUGCGUUGGCAAAGUAGGGUUUUGGAGGUAUGGGAGGCCGAGGUUGGCCUGGAAAGUAGGAUUUUGGAAGUAGGGAUUUACGUUCUGGAUGAAAUAAUUAGGAGUCGGAGGUAGUGCUUGCAGUGGCGGCACUGCCCCACCACGACCGCUGCCACCGCCGGCGGCGGUAGGGCGGUGGCCAGGAGGGUUGUGUCCGUACAUGGCGAAAUCAGUUGAAGAGAAAGGAAAACAUUUAGCGGGGUGUUUUGAAUAUAUAUAUUCACUGGAAUCUCGCCACGUCAGCAAAAAGAAAAGUUGCUAUGUUGAGCCAAUUUUACUUCUUUUUUUUCUUACUAAUUUCUUUUAUUAAAUAACAUUGAUUAAAAACUAUUCAAAUUUUGAAAUUAUUUAAAUUAUGAAUUUUUUUUUAUAUUCUUCUAUACAUUUUUCAUUAGUAUUAGUCUAUUUAAAUAUAUGAGUUAUGUUUCAUUUGAAAAGUGUUAAGAAAGGAAAAAUAAUAAUUAAAAUAACUUGCUUUUUCAUAUUUGAUUUCAUCGUGAAAAAUAUUAAAAAUAAUCAAAUAUAAUUAAUUAAAAUCUAUAUAUUUUUUAAUUAUAUAAAUUUUACAUUGAGGAUGAUAAAUAAAUAAAAUAAAUUUAAAAUAUUAUAUAUAAAUAAUUUAUUAAUUUGAAAUUUAAUAAAUAAACAAAUGCUUUUAAGGUUUACCCAAUUAAUGUAAAACAUAAUAUUAGUCCAUUAUUAACUAAUAACUUAAGUCUUUAAGUCAAAACCCGAUAUCAUUUUAUUAGCUUUUUGUCUUCACAAUAUAUAUAAAGAGAGAGUCAGUUUGGAAAUUGUUUUUAAAAGUUUUUUUUUCUAAAACUAUAAAAUUAUUUUCCAUAUUCAAAAAUAGGUUUAAUAAUUUUUUUUAAUAAAAAACAAUGUUUUUGAGAACUUUUUUUGAAAAUAGUGCAUUUUUUAUAAUAUAUUUAAAUUAUUUUAAGUUAAUUUCACUUGUGUUUUUUGAAAUUGUUUUAAAAUUUAAUUAUAUAAAUAUGGAGAAUGAUUAAAAUAAAACAAUAAAAUAUUUGAAAACAUGAAAAAUAACUGAGAAUAUUUUAAGUUUGUAAAUAGACUUUUACUUUAUAAAACAUAAAAAAUUGUUUUUGAAAGCUAUUUUUUGAGAAAUGUUUAUUAAAACCAUUCUUGUACAAGCCUUGUAUCUUUGCGUAGAUUUUCAAGACUAAGAAUGAUGCAAUCAAUUUGGAGUAGCCUUAAACCUAAAUUGAUGAAGAGAUAUUGAGAAAACCCACCUUAGGAUGAGUGAUUAAGGUUAUGUCCCUAGGAAAGUUAUUUGGAUGUUGUUUAAGUCAUUGUGACUAAACUAUUGAAUCCUUAUGAUUUAAUUAUCUUAAUAACACAUAUAGUUCCUUUAGGUUCCACAUAAGUUACCCAUUUAAUUACUUGUCUAAGAUAUAAUUUUCGCAAUAAGAUUUUACAGUCUGUCUUAAGUGGAGUGUUGUGAUGUGUUCAAAAAUAUAAGACGUAUAUACAAAUAAGUCACCAUGAUUUUUUACAUGAAAAAUCUCUUUGCUAGGUGAAGCUAGUCUUCUUCGCAAUAAAAUAUUCCACUAUAAUCAAUCAAAAUUACAACGUUAUUACCUUGUAAGUUCUUUGAUCCUCCACAAUCAAUUAUAUUGUAUAUAACCUCUUUUUAUAACUCUUUCUUAAUCUCCCUCUACUUUAGAAUUGAACUAAAUUGAUCCAUCGUAAAGCAUAAGCUCUUAUCGAAGUGAUCUUUAAAGUUAUUUUGAAGGUUGAAUUGUUUCACAUAUAUAACCCUCCGAAAACUAUCAUUUUGUUGAUAAUUCACUUUGUGGGUUUGUAUUUUUUUUUUUUUUGUGCAUCCAUGCUAUGGUAAACCAUUUUUGGAUUUAUUAUUUAUUUAAAAAUUGAUUUUUUUUAUUCAUUUGAAGGCGACUUCUUUUAAUUAUUUUUUUUAAAUAAAAACAUAAUAAAAAAAUAAAAUUUAAGUAGAUGAAAUCACAAGGAUCCCAAGUGAAGAGAAGUAGGGAAUGAAUGCUCAAUACCUUUUACCGAAGAGAAGGUAACAGUCAGCUAGGUUCACCCAAUAGGGAAAAAGAAAGGGACAAGUCAAUGCAGACUAGGUCUGCAUGUUGAGCACUCUUAUAAUCACCAAAUUCCCACUGCAAUUGAUGAUUUCUCUUCUACUUGAUGAGAACACACUAACUCCUUUAAUAUAUAUAUAAAAUAGAAGGUAAAGUCUACAUAUCAAACAUAGGUUUGAGAACUAGGCUACUUAGUGGAAGAGUGUUAGACCAUUAAACCCGAAGCACUCUUAACAAUUUAUCAAUUAAUUGAUAAGCACAAAUAUGAAAAAGAAAGUAAUGAAAUGCAUACAGUGGGUCACAAAUGAAAAGAGAAGUAUAGGAAUUGCAUGACUUGAAUUAUAUAAAGGGGAUCAAUCUAAGUAAUGCCAGUUGUUCUCAUACCAUGCUCAUUACACAAGGCAUAUUCAAGGAUUUGAAUUUAUGAAAUCUCACAUUUCUAAAGACAAAUCAAGGUCCAUAAAUCUCAAAAUUUGGUUUCGUACAACCAAUGAACUAAUAUCCAAUUCUUGAAGCUUUAUUAAAUCUACACAACAAUCAAAGCUAGAAUAUCGGUGCAUCUCCUUAUUUUCUCAUCCAUUACUUUUCUCAAUAAAUGAAGGUUAUAUUUGGUUUCAGAAAAGUACUAAAUAAAACAAAAAGAAAAAGGAAAAGUUAAGAAAAAUGAUUUUCUCAUAUUCAAUUUUAUUAUGAAAAUUUCUAUAAAAAAAGUCAAAUAUAAUUAGAAUUAUUAAAAAAAAUUACAUAUUUUUAAAUUAUUUAAUUUUGAUAUAAAAUGGUUAAAUAAUAAAAAGAUUUAAAAUAAUUUAUAAACUUUAAAUUUAUUUUUUUUAUUUUUUUUCUAUUAUCUUUAUCUCACAUUUUUCUUUAAAAUUUUCGAUAACCAAACGAGAUAAACACUCUCAACAACGGAGUUUCUCUCUCCAAUGCCCAAGAAAUUCCUCAUAGUUUCCCCUCUCCACCCUAAAGAAGUGUCUCUCCCCUCUCGACUCUAUCAAAUGAAAACUAUAGUUCUUUUUAUAGGCAAAAUGCCCAGCUUCAUCUCUAAUUCGACUCCUCAAAGCACUUGUGCAUUCUAUUUGGGACCCCCAAGGCAUCUUUAUGCACCUCAUGUUAUUUGUUACAUGUUCACACAACUCUGAAUUGGUCCAACACCUUAACCAAGUCCUCUACCAGAUCAUCUCACUUUCCUACAGUUUAGGAACAUGUUCCACAAACUGUUGAUAAUGGUGGCAAAUGGCAAACGACGUGGUUUGAUGGGAACCCACAACUCGCUAUAUUUGGUUUUUGGCCCUGAACUCAUCUCUCUAUUGUUAUGUUCAUCAGUGAUACACCAUCUAACGAGAGAGAUCAGAGUUUGGAAAAUAAAAAAUCUGCAGCAACUAGUCAGUAUUGAAUUCAGAAACAGUGGUUGGAGGUAAGUAACUGAUCUUAGAUCUUUUCAGAUUUGCUAGUAUGACAAAAGUUUCAUAUACUUUGGAUUGAAUGUAUUAUUACAUUUGGUAUCAAAACCAUAUGAAUCUUACUUCUACUUUGGUAUUGAUUUUUUGCAUGAGAAACCUUGUUAUAUUUUCUGAUCUAUUAAAUCACUGCAUAAAAUGAAAUACCUUGCUUGCUGCCGGGAACGUAAAAAAAAAAAAAAAAAAAAAAACCCACUUGCAAAAUGCGCUUUCUUCAAUGACUAGAAAGUAACAAAUAAGGGAUGGCCAAACCUCCACUUGGAUCCACCACUUAAAGCCCAAAGUAGGAGUCCAGGAUAUACAAAUCUCCUAUUUUCUUGUUAAAUCGCAGUCUUAGCAACCUUCCACAUAUAUGUUCCAUCUCCGAAGCAAACAACCUCACACACUCAUUCCUUUCAGAAGUGGUGAUAGCAAAAUCAAUCUAUUUGCGACCAUCUCCUUUCCAUUAAGAACUCGGUUGUCGCCAACGCCGAUAUAGGGGCCUUCUCAUUUGGGGUCGAAAGCGAUACUCUCCAAUUCGAAGGCUCCGGUGACUUGGAUUACUUCUGAGGCGUGGAAGGGCUCGCGAGCGGACUCCUAGUGGAGCAAGCGUUGAGGCGGGGAUGGAGAAGUCGGGGUUGCACUCAGCCGAAACCACCUCGUCCCAUUUGUGGUGAUCGUUGACGCUGUCACGACCAACCAUGUUGAUCUGGCCUGUGAGAAUAUAGGUUGUUCCUGUUGGUGAUGCAGGUGGCUGAAGGGCACCUGUGAGGUUUUUCCUGCCCGUGUGAUGCAGGCGGCUCCAAGGUUUGGACUGUUGUCGGUGUUGGAAGGUUGUCGCGCUGAGUUUUGGUGUGGUGUAGCCGGUGAUGGAGCAGUUCACGCGAGUGGCGAAAAAAUAGGAUCAUAGGUUUGGUGCAGGUGAUAUUAAGAUGUUGAACUUAGAGAGAGAUUGGGUUUCCCUUGAAGCCCACUAAAGUUUUGGGCCAUGAGAAAAAUGAAAAAUUGGGUCAUGGAUAAAUGUGAAAGUUGGGCCAGUUUAGGCCCUUAUGGGCCGGUUUGAAAUAUUUUGUUGGGCUUGGAAUUGAUUGUUUUUUAUAUGGACUUGGGCACCCAAUCAAAAUCUGAAAUCUCUUUUACUUAAAAAAAAAUUAAUUAAUUAAAUUAUUUUGUGAUUUUUAUACAUGCAAAUUAAAUUAUUUUAUGCUAAUUUGUAUGUAGUAUGUGUAAAUUUGUUGCUUUAAUUGCAUGAAAUGUAGCCUAAAUUUGUGUUAGAUAAAUUAAAGUUAUGACAUAUAGUUUUAAUGUCUAGUGAACCAUAUAAUUUUAAAUAAUUAAAGAAUAGCCACAACAUCUUUAAUUAUGUAAAAUUAUAUAUGAAGUGGAUAAAGAUCACAUAAUAGACAUUAAUUGUAAUUAAUUAUAUAAAUAUAAUGAUUUUACCCCAUAGGGAUUUCAUUAUGUUUAUAUAAUUAAUUAGGAUAAAAUGUUAAAAUUGGUUUUUCCUAAUUUACCCACAAGAGUUAGGAAAAAUUAAUUUAAUGGUUUAUUAUAAAGCUUAAAAAUAGAAGAUAUCAAACUAUAUUCAUAAUAAAUAUUAUAAAUUUAGUACAAUGGUUUGAUAAAAUCUAUCAUAGAGAUAAUGAAUAUGAUUGAAUUAAAGAUUUAGCCCACAUGCAAUUUUUAAUAAAAUUAGAUUCAUUUUUAAGUGUGUUUUACAUUGGUAAAUCAUGAAUUUAUUUAAAGCCUCAAUUAUUAAUAAGCUUGUAAUCUUUUUGUGCAGUUAUACUUCACAUUUUUGAUAGUCGUUGUGAGGUUCUCAAACUUAGGAGAGAUAACUUUAAGUUAUGGAAUGAGAGAGUUCUUCUUCAAUUAGGGUGCAUGGACAUAGACUAUGUCAUAAGGAAACAUGAACCACCUAAGAUCACUGAUACCAGCACACCUGAUCAAAUUCUAUUGUACGAACGCUGGGAGAAAUCUAAUCGCCUCAGCGUGAUGUAUAUUAAGAUAAAUAUUAGUGUUGGUAUACGUGGUUCAAUCGAGCAGCAUGAGAAUGUCCGCGAAUUGCUAAAGGCUAUUGACGAACAAUUCGUCACUUUAGAUAAAGCCUUGGCGAGCACCCUAAUUAUGAAGUUCACAUCCCUGAAGCUCACUGGUAUAAGAGGUGUACGCGAACACAUCAUGGAAAUGAGGGACAUAGUGGCUCAAUUGAAAAAACUCGAGGUAGAAAUGUCUGAAUCCUUCUUGCACUUUAUCCUUAACACUCUUCCGCCUCAGUAUGGACCUUUUAAAAUCUCUAACAACACACACUUAUCCUCAAUGAAUUGAUGACCAUGUGUGUUUAAGAGGAAAAAAGGUUAAUGAUGGAGAAAGGAGAAAGUGCCAUGCUGGUGACACAAAAGAAAUGAAAGAAAGGAAAAUCUCAAGCCAGUCAGAAAGGGAAGCAACAAAUUCCUAAAAAAUCUAACAUUAAGAUAGACGAAAAGUGUUUCUUCUGUAAAAAGAAAUGACACGUGAAGAAGAAAUGUUUGAAAUUCUAGAAAUGGCUUGAGAAGAAAGGUAACUCUACCUCAUUUGUUUUUUGUGAAUCUAAUAUGGUUAAUGUAAAUACCAACACAUGGUAGAUUGAUUAUGGAUCUAUAAUCCACAUUUCAAAUUCCUUGCAGGGUAUGCAAAACCUAAGGAAGCUAGUGAACAGUGAGCAAUUCAUCUUAUCCAGAAACAAGAUGGGCUCGCAUGUGGAAGUAAUAGGGACAUGUUAUUUAACUUCAAAUGGUGGUUUUGUUUUGGAAUUGCAAGGACCUUUUAUGUACCAAGUUUCUCACAAAACUUGAUUUUAGUUUCUAGACUUGUACCGUUUGGAUAUUCCUUUCAUUUUUCAGAAACAUCUUUCAGUUUGACUUUAAUUAUAAAUCUGAUUGUGUUGGGAAUGGUAUUUUGUUUGAUGGUCUUUAUCGUAUAUUUUUAUAAAAUGAUAUCACUUAUAAUUCAUUACAUGUCCAAACUAGCAUUAAAAGAUGUGUUGUAAAUGAAGAUUUCUCUAUAUUAUGACAUUGGAAAUUAGGUCAUAUCUCCAUAGAUAGAAUCAAAAGAUUGAUAAAUGAUGGGGUACUUAGUACUCUAGAUUUUACCAACUUUGAGACUUGUGUGGACUGCAUUAAGGGAAAACAGACCAACAAGUCAAAGAGAGGUGUUACUAGGAGUUCCACCAUAUUAGAGAUCAUACAUACUGAUAUAUGUAGUCUUUACAUGGACACUCAUGGUCAGAAAUACUUCAUCUCUUUCAUAAAUGAUUUAUCACGAUACAUGUAUCUCUACAUACUUCACAACAAAAAUGAAGCAUUAGAUGCCUUUAAGGUUUUCAAGGCAAAAGUAGAGAAACAAUAUGGUAAACAAAUUAAGAUCAUGAAAUCAAAUAGAGGUGGAAAAUAUUAUGGUAGAUACUUGGAAGAUGGACAAACACCUGGGCCAUUUACGAAGUUUCUUCAAGAGCAUGGGAUUGUUGCCCAAUACACCAUGCCUGGUUUUCCAAACCGAAAUGGUGUAGCAGAAAAAAGAAACCGAACUUUAAUGGAUAUGGUGAGGAGUAUGUUGAGCAGCUCAAAACUUCCUAAAUUCUUGUGGACUGAAGCACUUAAGAUGACAGUGUAUAUAUUAAACCAAGUUCCAACCAAGGCUGUCCCAAAGACGCCAUUUGAGUUAUGGAAAGUGAGAAAAUAAAGGUUAUGCUUAAUUAAGAAAAACACCCAAAAGAGGGGGGGGGGGGGUGGAUUAGGUUUUUUAAAUUCUUUUCAAUCACAAUAUAAACAAAAUAAAGAGAUAGAGUUAGAAAAUUCAAAUUCGGCUUUUAUAGUGGUUCAACACUUCCUUGCCUACGUCCACUCUCCUCAAUCUCCUAACCGAGUGAGGGUUCUACUAACUUGAAGCUUCAACCAAGCUUCCAAUCUUCUUACACUUGGAUUCCGACUCCAAUGGGCUCUUACACAAUCUCUUCAAGAUUCAAACCUCUUCAUUAAAUCCUUAAAAAUAUGGUAUUGGUAACUUAAGGAGUCUUUGAAUCCUUUAGAAUGGUUUGAGUACUUGAAACUAACCUAAUGAUUUAAAUUUAUUACUAGCUAGUACCACAUUCAAAGACUCCUUUGGAAUGUUAAGUUCGAGUUCUUAAUAGCUACUAAUCCCUUAAUAAUGACUAUAACAAAAGUGAAGGGAAGUACGUCGAAGCCUACCCCCACUCCCCACCCCCUUGGAUUUUUUAUUUUUAUAUAAGCAAUACUUAAAAAAAAAAUAAAAAAUGGACCCCCAAAGUCCCAUAGUUGUCAAUCGCCCCUCAACCUUAAAUCCUAACUCCGUUAUUACUUAGAGCUUUACACCUUCAAGAACAAUAAUUUCUUGAAUUUAGAAUGAGUCUUAUUAUUAAAGAAUUCACAAUUUAAAAUUUCCCCAUGAAGAAACUUCAAAAUUAAACUCAAUUUUGUGUUAGAUUUGUAUCAAAGAAUUCUCGAAGGCAAGAAUUCUUUCACAUGAUUAGAGCAAUCCUUUUUAUAUUCGACAAUGUUAAGGGUUCAAUAGACAACAUUUCCUAAUUGUUUUCCAUCUUAACUUAAAAUUUAUUGAAAACUUUAAGUUAAAAAGACAAAUCCACGCAAAAACUUCUUUCAUCAUAUUUAUAAAAAAUGACUAAAAGAAAUAUAAGAAUCUUUCCACAAUAGUGAUUUGAUGUAAUAGGAAAACAUCCAAAAUCGAGAUCAUCACCAAUAUGAUUGUGGUCUCUGGACAACCAUUGUUCUAGCCACCAAGCCAAUGCCAAACAACCCUCAUUCCAUAACUAAAUUAAACCUAAUAACUAAGCUAUAACAGCCCAAAAACCUAACUUUCCAUCAUUUAAAAAAUAGAACCAAACUAACUUGAAAAUUGAUGCUAAACCAAAUUAAAAUGGAUACCAAACCAGCCUAAGAACUUAUGCUAAAUCAACCUAAUUUGAGUGUGUGGUAAAUUCUAAAAAGACUAAAUUUAUUCUUUUAUAAAUAGAUUUCAGCUUAAUGACUUUCAACUUUGCAACCAUACUAAUUGUUUUUUCUUUUAGAUAUUAGUGUAAAUAAAAGGAAGGAUUUUUCAUUACCUUCAUAUAUGUCUAAAAAAAUUCAAUAUGAUUGUUUUACUAGUAAGUUUUAUGCCCCAAAAUGUGAAUGAAAUUUCGAAUAUGACAACCACUCAAAGUUUCAUAGCCUAAGAUUUUUUUUACCUUCAUCUUCACAAAGAAAACCAAAAGAAAAAAACUUUUAAAGAAGUGCUUAAGGAGAAAACCCUAUUAUGUUGUUUUUUUUUUAUUUAAAAAAAAUGAUAUCUUCUUUUUAUUUCUUUCAUUUUUUUUCAAUGGUAGUAUGGAUAGUUAAAAAAACUCUCAGAAGUUGCUUCCUCUAUUUUUUAAGAUAUUGGAUCGGGUUAUGUUAGCCCACUUGAGUCCAAACCCAUGUCGAACAAUUACAUGCAACUCCUUUGACUAGGGACUGUGGAAAUAAAAAUUCUCUUUUAAUUGCAUUUUUUUAAAAGCAUAAAGUUAAACAAUAAAAUUUAAAAAGAGUGCAACAUGAGGGAUUCUUCAAACUUACAUAGUUUUGAUGGGAUAUAUAUUUUAAAUAAUUAAUUUUUUUUAGAAAGAAAAAAAUAAAACAAUAAAAUUUCAAAAAGGAUGCAAAAUGAGGGAAUUUUGAAACUUGGGAUAAUUUUAAUGUUAUGACUUAUAAUUUUGCCUAUGACUUGUAAUGUUAUGCAUUUUUAUGUACUUUUAAUCCAUAGGUUUUCUACUAACAAGUAAAUCAAAAAGAAAAAUAAGACAAUGUUUCCAUGUUCAAGUCUAUGGUUUACUUUGGAUGGAUUCUUAGAGUGUGUUUGAUAAUGAUUUUUAAAAAUAAAAUAACACAUGUCCACAGUCGAAUUUAGAUGGAUUCUUAAUCAACUUAAAAAUUGAAUCAAAUUAAUCAAUAUAGAUUAAGUCAAAACUGAUUGAAUCGUUUUAGUUAUUAAACAAAAUUGAUCCAAUUUACUAUCAAUUGGUAUUGGUUUAGUUCAUUUAGAUGAGCAAAAUUGGAUUUCAUAUUACAAUAUUGAAACAAAGAUAUCAGAAUAUCAAAAUAUUGAAACAAAGUGAAACAGAGAUUCAAAUAUUGAAACAUAAUUUUGAAAACAGAGAUGAUAUGCUGAACAACUAAUAGUUGCAACAACCCUAAAUAUUUAGGUAACUAUGAAAGAUCAAUUAGGUCAAUUCUAAAUUGUCACUUCCUAUGAUAAUAAUAUCAUCCACAUAGACUAGGGCCCGCAAUGGCAUAAGAUUUGGUUGUAAAUCGGAUAAAAGCUUUAGAGGAUGUAAAACCAAGUUGAAGCAAGGAAGACAUAAACCUUUUAAACUAAGCUAGAGGGGCUUGUUUCAAGCCAUAUAAUGCUUAAAGUAGCUUGCACACUUGUUGUUUGUUUUGUUUUAAACUAGGUGAUUGCUGCAUAAACAUGUCUUCUUGCAAAACCUUGUUGAGAAAUGCAUUAUUAACAUCAAGGUGUCUAAUCUCCCAUUUUCUUGCUAAAGAAAAUAUAAGAGCAAUUUUAAUUGUAAUUGAUUUCACCACUAGGCUAAAGGUUUCAGCAAAAACAGAGUCAACUUGUUGAUGAAUUAGCCACUAAACAGAGCUUUGUAUUUAGAAAUUGAACCAUUAGGAUUUCUUUUGAUUUUGAAGACCCACUUGUAGCCAAUAACUUUCCUAUUAGGAGGUAAAUCUACAAGGGACCAAGUUUUAUUUUAAAGCAAGACAUCCUAUUCAUCUAACAUAGUAGUAUUCCAAUGAUUACAACUUAAGGUCUCAUUAAUAGAAAUGGUUUCACUUGUAGAUAGAUUAGUUGUAAUAUAGACUUCCGACUUAAAAAUCCCUCUUUUAGUAAGGAUGAAAAUAUCAGUUUUUACGGAUAUAUCGGUCAUUUGAUUUUAUGAACAUAUCGACGUAUAUCAGGAAAUAUCGAUAAAAUUUUUUGUACAAAAUAUCAAUGAUGUAAAAAUUGAUGAAAACUUAUGAAAAUAUUGGGAAAAGUAUAAAAAACGAUAUAAGAAAUAAUGAUAGGCAUAUUGGGGUUGUUUUGUUGAAAAAGUUAAUAUAUGUAUAAUAUAAUUUAUAAUAUUAAGCAAUAAUGUUUAAAACAUAUUUUAUAUACAUCUAAUCUAAUUUGGAUGUAUUUAAUGAGAUAGAAGAAAUGAUGUUACAUACAUAAGUAUUUUUUAUUAAAAUAUUGAUAAUUUUAUUUAUUAAUUUAUAUUUAUUUUGUAUUUUAUUAUUAUGUAAAUGACAUGAUAAUUAAAAUUUAUUUAUUUAUAAUAAUUGGAUUCUAAUUAAUUUAUGAUAUCUAUAUACACAAAUAUAUAUAUAUCAAUGUUUAAAUAUAUAUUAUAUUAUAAAAAUUAUAUAUUGCAUUCUUAAAUAUAAAUAUAUAUAAAAUAUCUCAUUUAUAAAUAUAUAUAUAUAUAUAUAUAUAUAUUUAUAAAUGAGAUAUUUUGUAAUAAUGCUCCACUACCUACUAACAUACAUCCUACGGUUACUCAUUCUAAAAGACAUGGUCCAAAAUGUUUGGGCCUAGUUCUUAGCCCAUUAUUUAAUAAUAAUAAUAUAUAUUAUUAAAUGAGAUAUUUAUAUUUAAGAAUGCAAUAUAUAAUGUUUAUAAUAUAAUAUAUAUUUAAACAUAGGUCCAUUAACCAUCAAUCUAAAAGUUGGUUGGGUGGCACUUUAAAAGUUGAAAUGCAAUUACAUAUCAUAAUAUAAUAACACCCAAAAUGUGUAUUUAAACUGAGAGUAACUCUCUUGUGCCAACCACAUCAAACUACACUAGGCUAGAUGUGGAGUGGGCAUAAUGGGCUAAGAACUAGGCCUAAACAUUUUGAACCAUGUCUUUUAGAAUGAGUAACCGUAGGAUGUAAGUUAGUAGGUAGUGGAGCAUUAUUACAAACUUGAAUAGAAUCAAACACAACAUGUGUAGGGUUUAAUGAUCCAUAUCUUUUAGAAUGAGUAACCAUAGGAUGUAAGUUAGUAGGGUAGUGGAGCAUUACUACAAACUAAAAUAGGCUUAGACAGAACAUGUUUGGGGUUUAAUGAAGAAUCAAGUUCCAAAGUUAAUACAGGUGAAAGGGAAGUAACAAGUGUUGUAGUAGGAGAUUCAAUAGGAUGGUGGAUAGGUUGGUGACUAGAUGAAAUCGGUACAAAUGAAAGGGAAACAAUAUAUAGGUGUUGUAGGAGAUUCAACAGGAUGGUGGGUAGGUUGGUGACUAGAUGAAAUUGGUAUAGGUAAAAGGGAAGCAAUAGGUGUUGGAAUGGGAGAUUCAAUAGGAUGGUGGAUACAGGUAACUAGAUGAAACUAAAGGUUGGGGUAUAGAGGAUGGGAGGGGAUGCAUUGUGUUGUCAAUGGUAGAUGAGGAAAAGUUUGGGUAGUUGGUUUUGAAGCAAAAAUAAAUGUAAAUUCAUCAAAUACAACAUGUCUUGAGAUGUAAAUUAUACCAUUAUGAGUUAAGAAAUGUGCAAGGAAAAUAAUGAUAUUGUAAUUUAUGAUUAUUGUAAGGUCUUAAGUGAGGAUAACAAGUACAACCAAACACCUUAAAGAAGUUAUAGUAAGGUUGAAUGUGAAACAAUACUUCGAACGGUGAUUUCUACUGCAAAAUUGUGUUAGGCAAUCUAUUAAUAAGAAAUACAACAAUGACAAAAGACUUAGACUAAAAAUUUUAAAGGUAAGGAGGCUUGAGCAAGAGUGUAAGUCCCAAUUCAACUAUGUGACGAUGUUUACGUUCAACUAGACCAUUUUGCUUAGAGGUACAGGGACAAGAAUGCCCAUGAAUGAUACCACAAGAGUUAAGGAAAAGGGUGAGACCUCUAAACUCAUCUCCUAUGUUGGUGUGUAAGAUUUUGAUUUUCUGAUGUAGUUGUAGUUCAUCAACUCAAGUCUUAAAAUGAAGGAAAGAUUGGUAUACAUCAUAUUUGCACCUAAGGAAACAUAUAUAUGUGUAUCGAGAGUAAACAUCAACAAAUGACACAUAAUAUUGAAAACAUUCAAAGAAAGAAUAGGAGCUAAACCCCUCACAUUAGCAACAAGUAAUUGAAGAGAUGUAGUGCAUUUGGUGCAAGAUUUAAGAAAAUAGAGUUUAUAACUUUUUCUAUUUGGCAAGCUGAACAAAUUAAAGGAAUUUUAUUGAAAUAAUGUAGUAUAUUGUAAAAAGUUAGCACUUGUUGUACUACUUUUUGAGUAGGAUGUCCAAGCCUUUUGUUCCACAAAUGAAUCAUAGAGUUAUUAAAUUUAGGGGAAAUUGAAUUUAGAUCUAGGCUUAAGAUCCUAGACUUUAUUGAAUAAUCGAUUUCAAAAUGUUGAAGAUGAAUGACAUUAAGUUGACUUGAAAAGGAAGAAGAAACUUUAGCACCACUAUGAUGAGUUGUGAGAUUGAAUCUAUACAAUGCAAAUUUCAUUUGGGAAGUGUUGAUCCCAUCACUUCAUCAUUCACAACAUAAAACAAGAGGUAAAAUUUGAAGAAAACAUGAUUAUCUUUAGCAAAUUAUGAGACACUAAGGAGGUUUUUGGUGAUUGAAGGAACAUGUAAAAUUUUUUUUAAGAUGAAAUUGAUUAGAAGAAAAUGUUGAAAGAGAAACUAUAGAAUGAUCGAUAUAUUUAAUAUGUAAACCUACUCUAUUCCUUACAUGUAACUUGUUCUUACCAUGGUACUCAUUCCAAAGUUCAAAUUAUUUAGGUCAUUUGUAAUGUGAUUCAUUGCGCCUAAAUCAAGAUACUGGUUGUCAUCAUUUACAAUAUUAAGAGUAGCAACUAUUACUGUCAUUGAGGAUGAUCCAGAAGCAUGAUUAUUAUUUAGUCCUGUAAGUGAGUUGUUGAGACGAUGGUAGUAUUUGUGUAUACUAUGUCGAGACUUUAUGCAUAGUUAUCAUUAUGGUUUCUAAUUCCCCUAGAUGGGUCCUCUACACAAAUAUUGUCAUAAUCUCGAUUGCAACCACAAUUGAUUUGAAAAUAUUUGUUUCCUCCUUGACCUCCUUGGAAGUGUUAAUUGUUUCCUUGACCACUAUGUGUAGAUAGAUUUAUAGAUGGCUAAGUGUUUGUGAAAGAGGUUGAAUUUUGUUUGGCCCUAUGCUCUUGAGCAUGUAAUAAGGAUGAAACAACUUUCAAGGAAUAUGAAUCUUCAUAGAAAGUAAUCACAACAACAACAAAAUUGUAUUAUAGACCAAGACCAGUUAAAAUUGUCAAAAUUUGAUCUUCCUUGGAAAUAUCAUGUUUGGAUGAUGCUAAUAUGUUUGAAUAGGUUUCCAUUUUAAUAAUGUAAUCUCUUAUUGAUAAACUACCUUUCUUUCGAUUCUACAACUUAAAUUUGUAUUGCAUUACCUUUGCCUUUAAUUGAAAAGAAAAAAUUUGUUCUACUAUUUUCCAAACUUCUCUAGCAGUGUCACAUCCAAUGAGUUGAGACAACAUUUUAGGGCUCAUUGAGGCUAAUAGCCAAGAAACAAGAAAAUUUUCUUGUUUUUCGAAAAUAGUAUACGUAGGAUUGAUUACUUUGGUUUCACAUUCCUCAAGAAAUUCUAAAAAGGGACCUGAUUCUAAAAUAAAAUUUGCUAGUCUAUAACCUUUGAUUGUACAAGAACUUGAUGUUUUCGAGAAAGAGAUAAUUUGUAUCAUCCAAUUUCACAGUAACAAGUUGACUAAGAGGAUUGGCUAUUUGAAUAGCAAUUCAAGGUAGCUUUGUUACUUCAAAUGAAGUGACAACGUUUGUGGAAAAGACUUUUGCCAUGACUAGGCUUCAAAGCUUUGACACCAUAUUAUAUUAUUAAAACAAAGAUAUCAGAAUAUCAUAAUAUCGAAACAGAUUGAAACAAAGAUUAUAUUCUAACAACUAACUAUUGCAAUGACACUAAAUACUAAGAAACUACAGAUAUUUCUAACAACUAGCAACUGAGUGGUUAUCUCCAAUAUUUCAUAAAUAUUUUUCAAUAAGGAAAUGACAAUCCAAAAAACCUAUUCUAUUUAUAAAGAUGAGUAAACACAAAUAGUAUAAUACAAUCUAAAAUUAUGGUAAUUGAAUAUAAAUAUGUGAUAAUUAGAAUAUUUUUAUUCAUAGUUGAAAAAAAUAUUUUUAUCAUGGUCGAGAAAAAGAGUGAGAAAAGAAAAAGGAAAGUGUUAGUAUUGACUUUAAAGGCAAACUAAAUGCAACAUAUUAUGGUUUGUUUCGCUUCAAAUAAACAAAAUAUUUUGAACACAAAAACCAAAUAAAUAAUUUUUACUUUUCAUCAAAUUUAGUCAAUAAAUUUUGAGAAGUUUGAAAAAUUAGCUCUAUUAUGUAGGACUUUGAGUUAUUUGUCCAUCUGUAUGUAUUUUUGGCUCACUCUAAAUUAAAAAAAUAGAGUUUGUUUGGCCGUGUGAUGUAAUUAUGUUUGUAAAACAUAUAAACUAUUUAAAAAAAAAAAUUAAUAUUGUUUGACAUUUGUUCUCUAAAAAUAUAUAUUUUUAAAACAAAGCGAAAUAGAGAAUAAUUUUUAGGAAAUAAGCAUGAGAUGUUUUCACCAAUUUUUAAAAACAAAAGGAAAAAUGGGCCCAUUUAGCCAUGUGUUUCUAAAACUUGUUUUUAAAAAUGUUUUUUAUUCUUUAAUUUAAAAACAGUUUUGAAAAACAAGUUUAAGAAAACAUGGUCAAACGGGUCCAUAGUUUAAAAAAUAAUAAUUUUUGGUAAUAAUUAAAAAAAAAUAGUUUUGAGAAUAUUUUUAUAAAUAAAGUUUUUGAUGUUUUCUAAAAUAUAAGUUUUUUGGAACUUCAAAUGUUUUAGGCCUAUUUUUUUAUAUUUUUUAUGAAGUGUUUUAUUUUUGAUAUUUCUAUAAUUACUUUUUUUAAAUAAUCUUUAGAAAAUAAAUAAAAAUAAUUAAAAUAUGUUUUUACCAUAUUUUGAGAACUAGUUCUCAUUUUUUUAUCAAAAAAAUUACUUAAAGUGCUUUUGAGUCUCAAAAAUAUGUUUUUUUUUUAAGAACAAAAACCAUUGCCAAACAGAUGUUUUAGGUUCAUACCUCAACAUCAAAGUUUAUAUAUAUCUAUAUAUAAAUUCAUUGAAUCAUUUUUUUUUUAAUCAUGUGAAUGCAAUUUUUGAAUGAUACACAGUGGGCAGAACUAACUUUGUUUAUUGGCUCAACACUUCUCUUUGAAAAGAAAAAUACUUAAAACAAUAUUAGGUUUAUUUGGUAACUGUUUUUAAAAAUAAUUCUAAAAACUGUUUUUGAGAACAAUUUUUGAAAAUUGUUUUUUUAAUGCUUUUUAAAACAAAAGUCUAUUUGGAACCUAAAAUACUUUUAAUUUAUUUUUAAUAAUUGUAAAUAUAUUUAAAAUGAUUUUUAUAUUUAGAACUUUAUUUUUAAUUAUUAUACAUGUUUAUAUAAUUAUUUUUUAAAACAGCUCUUAAAAAACAAGUAAAAACAAUUAAAAGAUGUUUUAUAAAAACACUAUAUUUUUUGUUCUUUGAGACAAAGAAACAAGUUGAGCUUUUCACACCACUGAAUUUAAAAAAAAAUAGAAUCAAAUUUUGAAUCAACCACCACAUGUUGUCUCCAUUAAAUAACUAAUGACUUUACUACGACUUGUCAAUGUGGAAAAAUUAACAUUCCAAGGAAGACUUAUAUAUUAUUUGGUUAGUACCCCUUUGUUUGAUCAUUUUUUCUAAAAGUUUAAGGAAUUUUUUUUACCAAAAAUAAUUAUAAAAUAUUAUCUGAAAACAUCAUGUUUUUUGUUCUUGAGAAUAGAAAAUAGAAAACAGUUUUUUGGUUGUCGAACUUGUUUUUUAGUUUUUUUGUUCUAAAAAAUAUAAAAUUGCUCUUGGAAACAAUUGUCAAAUAGAAUCUUAGUUUUUGUAAAAGUCAUCAAAUUAUGUCAAAUAAUAAUACUAGUUUCUAUAUAUAUAUAAAGUCAUCAAAUUAUGUCUUUGAUGUGAAUGCAAUUUCUACCCAAUAUCUCAUAGGGCAAACAUCGAUUCCAUGAAUUUAUUAUAAAAUUUAAUGUUAAUAAAUAAUAAUGUUUUUAUCUUUUCGAAAGAGAAGUGUGAACCUAAAGAAACAAGUUCAGCUCUUCACAUCGCACGUGUAUGUGAAUUUCAAAGAAAAUGGAAUCAAAUUUUGAACCAACCACCACAUUAUGUUGAACUAAUGACUUUACUACGGCUUAUUAACGUGGAAAAAUUAACAUUCCAAGGGGCCUCAUUAAUGAACCUAUACGUGUUUAUAUAUAUAUAUAUAUUGGUCAAUGAAUUUCGAGAAGUUUGAAAAAAACAUAUUGUAAUAAAGUAUUAUAACAAUGUAAGAAAACAAAGUUAGAUUACAUUUGAUGCAUUGCCCGAAGCUUCAUUUGAUACUUCCUAAAUAUUUCUUAAAUUUUUUAUCAUACAUUCCUGAUCUUAUGUGAUACAAGUUUUUGGUGUUUUUUUAUAUUAAAAGCCUUUGAACUUCAAAUGUUUCUACAAAAGUCAUCAAAUUAUGUCUUCGAUGUGAGUGCAAUUUCUAGCCAAGAUCUCAUAGGGCAAACAUCCAUUCCAUGAAUUUAAUUAUUAUAAACUUUAAUGUUAAUAAUGUUUUUAUCUUUUCGAAAGAGAAGUGUGAACCCGAAGAAACAAGUUCAGUUCUUCACACCGCACGUGUAUGCGAAUUUCAAAGAAAAUGGAAUCAAAUUUUGAACCAACCACCACAUGCUGUCUCCGUUAAACAACUGAUGAAUUUAGAAGUUGUCAUGGUGGAAAAAACAAUUUUCUUAAAAUUUAAGUUUACAAAAUUUCGGUAAAGCUUCGACUCAUAGUACAAAUAUGCACAAACGAGAUAGAGGUUUUGACAAAGAAAUUGGAUCGAGUAGAGGACAAUACUGCACAUUGCUAAAACACAAAUGGAUCUGUCCACUUCCAACCACGUUGCAGAUCAAGAUCAUGCUACCCAGACCCAGAUAUGGAACCCGGCUGCAGCUCAAUCUGAGAUCAUAGCCAUGGAUUCAAGUGUGUACAGGGCGGCAGCGAAGGGAAAUGUCCAUGUCCUCAAGCAAUUGUCAGAAGAUGAUCUUCAGAUCCAAUUAAGCCCAAAGCAUAAUUCAGUGCUCCAUAUCGCAGCCCAGUUUGAUCAACCAGAAUGUGUGAAUUGGAUCCUUACGUUACCUUCAUCUUCAUCUUUACUGCAACGGCCUAAUCUGAAAGGGGAUACUCCGCUUCACCUUGCAGCAAGGGAAGGGCAUUUGGAGGUCGUGAAAGCUCUUUUAGAGGCUGCAAAAGCACUUCCUAUGGAUAUUGAAAGUGGGGUUGGAGCAGAUAAAGCGUUGGUGAGAAUGAGAAACAAGGGGAAAGAUACAGCCUUGCACGAGGCUGUGCGGUAUCGUCAUUCUGAUGUGGUGAAGCUCUUGAUUAAGGUAGACCCUGAGUUUAUGUAUGGUGAAAACAUCUCUGGUGGGACUCCUCUUUACAUGGCUGCAGAGAGAGGAUUUUCUGAUUUGGUGGAAAUAAUCAUAGAAAAUACCUCUACUUCACCGGCUUACCAUGGCCUCAUGGGUAGAACGGCUUUGCAUGCUGCUGUCAUUCGCAAGGACAAAGGUAGUGUGCUUGGGAUCAAAGAUGGGAGCAAAACAAAAAGGCUUCUCAUUACAUUUUUAGUCUUCUGAAAUUAACUUAUACUUAUCUCUAAUGUUCAUUUAUUUAUUUGAUCAGUAAUGACUAAGAAGAUACUGGAAUGGAAGCCAGCACUAACCAAAGAAGUGGAUGAAAUUGGGUGGUCUCCACUUCACUGUGCUGCAUACCUAGGUUGUAGUCCAACAAUAGUGAGAGAAUUGCUACAGAAAUCAGAUAAGUCAGUACCUUACCUUGGAAUCAAAGACGGCAACAAAACAGCCCUUCAUAUUGCAGCUAACCGUGGGCAUAUGAAGAUAGUAGAGUUGCUGGCAUCACAUUCUCCAGAUUGUUGCGAGCAGGUCGAUGAUAAGGGUAACAAUGUUUUUCACUUUGCCAUGUUGAAGAGACGAUGGUUGGCUACGGGUAAUCUCUUAUAUAAUAGUUGGCUAGGAGUUAGAGGAGUUGUGAAUGAGAAAAAUGGUGAAGGAGACACUCCUUUCCACCUGAUCUCGUCUUACCAAAUUGAUGACCCAACGUUCAUAUGUAACCUUGGAGUGGAUAAGAUGGCUUUCAACAAUCAAAACUUCACGGGUAUGGACAUACUUUCAAGGGCCAAUGACAUUUGUGGAAGAAGGGUACGUAAGCUGGCUUUCUAUUAUCACUUAGUCUAUUUGUUUAUCAUUUUAGUCAAAAUAUAACAACAAUGGAAUCAAUCCACUUCAAAGAUAAUGGGUUGGGAUGAAGACAAGCUGGACAAAAGUACUAAUAGCUAGAAUGAUUUAAGUAAGAAUGUUUGUAAAUUAAUCCAAUUCAACACCUUCCAUCUUCAUAAAGUUCGUGUCCUUUCAUUAUUGUUGAUAUAUAAUAAGGUGUUAAGCGGCUCAAACUAUAGCACAUGCACUAUAUUUGGCUUCAUGAAUGCUUGUUCCUUUGAUAAGGCCACAGGGCUAAAUGUUCCCUUUUUUAUUCUUCCUUUUUUUUUCUUUUCUUUUUUUUGUAAAAGUUGUUUAUACAUUUAUAUAUCACCAACUUGCAGGAUUUUGUCCUACGAAGAUUUUACCGAUUUAAAGAAGCGUAUGUUGGACCUUUGUGGUGGCGGGAGGAAAUAAAGGAAGACGAUGGUAGUAGUGAAGGCAAAGGCAAAGGCAAUGAAGGGGACAAAGGCAUUAAUAUUAAAAACGGAUCUUCUGACUUCUCAAAAGUCAUUCAGAGAAGAGGUGAAAACCAUCUGAUAGUGGCAGCACUCAUAGCAACCGUAACCUUUGCGGCGGGUUUCACCUUGCCUGGUGGCUACAAUGUCAAUGAGGGCACGGCAACUCUAGCAAAGAAAACAGCUUUCAAAGCAUUUGUGGUGAUGGAUACCCUAGCCAUGGUGCUCUCAGUGUCUGCUAUAUUCAUUUUCUUUUUUAUGUCAUGGCAUGUGAAGAAGGCGUCUCUGAACAAACACAUAAUCCCUGGCUUCUUCCUCACCAUGUUGGCAAUGGGGGCAAUGGUGAUGGCCUUCAUGACAGGUUUAUACGCUGUGCUACCUGAAUCCUCAUGGCUUCCAUUAUUCACUUGCAUCAUUUGCUGCUCCUUUUUUCUCUCCCUUUAUUUUGAACUUAAUGUACUUUUGAAAGGGUAUAAAGUGAUGUUUUACUUCAAGAAGAAAUACAAGCUUGGGAAGGCUUCCCAUUGAUUGUAUUUUUGAAUAAUGAUGAAGGCAAUAACGUAUCUAUUUGAGAAAAUUAUGUGAAGAUGUAAUUGAAUGAAAAUUUUAUACAAAAUUUGAUUGGACUUUUUCUUUUUCACUUUAUUUCAGAUAAAUUAAUCUCAUUUUAUUAUUGCAAUGUUUGGUAGGUUAACUAAUUCAUUUUUUAGAUCUAAUUAAGGUGUGUAAUGGUCUGCUCCUAACUAUGUACAUAUUGCCCGUUUUGAAUCCAAAGAGGCCCUCACUACUUUAAAACGUGUAUACAGGGUUAAGAAGAGUUUAUACUAGCAUAAAAAACUUCCUCCCUAUCCAAUGUGGGAUGUCACAAACACCCCAUUCUCCCCCACCAUCCCAUGUAGACACAACGUCCUCAUUAUGUUCCAUGGGAUUGUGGGGCCAAAUAAACAAAUACCCUUUAUGGGACCAAACAAAUGCCCACAUUAGAGUCGAGGAUCGCCCCUGAUACCAUUUGUUGGAGAAUCACAAAUCAUACAAAAUGAUUAUAGAAACUGAUCAUUUAGAUAAUAAAUAUGUCAAAAUCUCAUGCUAAAUCUAUUGGAUAAUAAUGUCGGAAGACAUACUUGAAUCCAUUGAGAUUAUGUACUUGAGUCUUGUUUUUGCACGUUUGAAAUGAGUAUUGCAGCCUCAAAUCACUCAUUGAUGGGAUGUGAAUAAUAAAUAAUUUUUUCUAUCUCCUCGUUUAGACUGGGAAUCAUAACCCUAUUUAUAUCCCUUAUUAUUUUAUUUUAUUUUAUUUAUUAACUCAUCAUUAAUAAAUAAAAUAAAAUUGGUCUCUACACAUUGCAAAACCCAUAUAGUCUAUAUAUAUAAAGAGAUGCUUUAAAGGCUCAUCAUUAACUUAAUUGAUCUACUUAGACCAAAAAAAUAAAAUAGCUUAAUGUACAAUGUGUUAAUAUAUAGGCUCAUAAUUACUAAAAUAUCCAAGAGGGUGCACUCCAUCCCAUCAUCCAUACAAAUCACUGUAUUUUCCACUAACUUUACUUUCAACUUUAUUUUGAAAUUCUUUAAAUUUUCUCAAAAUUUCUUAUUUUCACUUCAUAAAAGACACCAAUACAUACUUAGUGAGAAAUUAAUUAUUGAUGAAGGCCACCAUGUAGCACAUUCGUUAAUUAAUGUUGGUUUUAUUAAUAUUGGACCAAAACCACUUAAAUAAUAAAGGGAUAUUUGGUUAAAAGGGUUCAAAUAUUCUUGAAAUCAGAAAUAUGACUUCGUAAAUCAUUUCUUUUUUAGAGAAAUAGCCUAGCUUAGAUAUUUUUAUCCUUCUUUAUUUCCUUUAAAAAUAUCAUUUCCCUUUCAUCUCUAGCCCCUAUCCCUUCCAUUUUUUUUGAUACCUAGCUUUCGUCCUCUCUCUAAGUUCAUGUUCUCUUUCUUUUUUAGUAAACUCCAAACCCUAAAACAGAGAUCAUUGGAUAAAACAAAUAUUAGAGCCUUCUCCAUUCAAAAGUUGAUUAUAACUCAAACUUAACACUUGGAUAGCUUUAAAGAGCUUAUUGUUGCAUGUUUGAGGCACUCAUACUACUAAUACAUCUUAUUGUCACUAGUAUCUUAGAGAAAUAUUUUUGAUGCAUUUUGUGAGAAUUUUGUAGAUUUUAAGACAUUUUUAACCAUCAAAUCUUUCCUAGGAAAUGACAAAGAAAGAAAGCCCAAUUAAGGUAGAAUAUAGAGAUUGUGCACCUCUUAACUACGCAGAACCUCCAUAGUGCACUUGCUUGAGCACAAUCCUAUUUUGUGCACUUUGAAAGCGCAAGGUAAAUUGUGCAUCCUAGGGGUACCAAUCUGAAUAGCAUACUCAGAGAGGCAUACUUUCUUAACACACCUUUGAGUGAUUGCUUACAUUGCACCUUUAGAAAAGCCAUUUACAUUGUGUAGUUGUGGCACACGAUUUGAGUUGUGCCCCAUGAGUGUGUUCUUUUGGUGCACUUUGAUGACUAAGUGUUUGCCUCUCAAGCACACAUUUCAAGUGCGGUAAAUAAGAUUAUGCACCCUACUUAGGCACCUCUACAUUUAUGCACCCUUUAAGUGUGUUAAACCAGGAAGCACACUUUCUCUACCUCAACCAACAAACUUCCCACAUAGUGUUCCUCUUUAGGACCUUAACACUUCCCUCAUUAAAGACAAAGUGCACUUAUGGCUGCACCAACACCAUUAGGUCUUCAACAUGGGCGUGAGGCAAUUCUAGACAAGGUGUCAUUAGAACAUUUGGACAAAGGGGAUUUUUGCCUAUAAAAGAGGGAUUAUGAAUAUACAAGUAGAAGGAGAUGAUGGAUAGGGAAUAUGUUAGAUAGUUGUGUUAGAAUAGAGCCCUUAAAGGCAUGACGUGAUGUAACAUAUUUGGAAUUUAUUGUUUAUUUAAUGAUAUUCUGGUUUCACUUUUAUUUAUCCUUAUUCCAUGCAUUAUACUUUAUGAACAUUCUUGCUUAACAUAUUUUGGAUUGUACAUGACUUUGGUGUAUUAGGAGUUGCAUGGAAGAUCUAAGUCAUGGGUUCCUUACAAAUAGAUGAUUUGUUAAUAAUCAGUUCAUGAAUAUAAACCAUAUAUUUGAGGUUGUAGUACACUACCUCCCAAUUAGAAGGAUGGUUGGUCUUGACUAUUAAGACAGGGUUCCCAUGGCGAGUACAGUAGUAUGUAUGAUAACACAUUGGACAAAACCUAUGGUGAAUCACGACGUAAGGCUAUUGGGCAGUUAUGACUUCACCAAGCUACUAUACUGUACUAUUUCUCAACCUUAAGAAAAUAUUAUAGUUUGCAGUGGCUUUGACUUACAACUGAUAUCCUAAAGUAAUCAUAUAGAUUGGAUCAUUGUUGAUGGAGACCAGUAGCAUAAAACAUUCUCAAUAAAGGCACCAUGAUAUUUCAUGGACUUUGAGAUAGUAUUGUCUCCUUUUAGGUGAUCUUAAGAGCUUGUAAUCAUGAAAUCUAUGGUGUCAUAGUAAUUCCUUUGAUUCCCUUAAAUGCAUAAGAGCAUUUUAAUAAAUGUGCAAGGUUGCACAAAAGUUAAUGAAUGGUAUCUCUAUAUUGGACUAAUUGAUUAAUCGAAACUUUAUUGGAUUAAUUAAUUAAUUAGAACCCUUUUUGGAUUAGAUUAGGUGAUCAAAGCCCAAGAUGGGUUCAAGUCACUUAAACCCAAUGGAGAACCUGUAAAUAUCCCCUUAGGGGUUAGGGAUUUAGAUUUUUAGCUACUUCUCUCUUAAGUCUAGGGAGAAAACCUUAGCUUAGUUUUUUAGUCACCACCCCAAAGAUUUCCACCAUCUCAAUGUCUUGAUUUAAGGAGUCAUCGAGUAGAAGAUCAGUGGUUUGUGAGACUUCCAAUUAUUAAUGUGGUAUUUUAUUAUGCUCUUCAUUACAAGGAAUUGGUUUGGGAACAUUUAAAUCUUAGGUAUAUAACUUUAACUCUAAAUCUAAAAAAUAGUAUGGUUUCUAUUGCCAUAUUAUUCAGCUAUAAUAUAUCUAGAGAGUCUAGGAUGAGAUUGCAUGUAUCCUACGAGAUUUAGGACUAGUGAACAGAGUAAUCUGGUUUUCGCUAUAAGUCAUUCUUAGGAGUAGAAGUAAUUUAGUUUUGGUUGUAAUCUUGCAUUUAUUUUUUAUUUUCUUUUGUAAUCUUUCCUAGUUUUUAUGUUUAAUGAACUUUCAACCCUUUAAUUUCAGUAUUCUAAUUUCAACUUGCAAAUUAACAUUUCCAAUUCUUUACUAGUUUCAACAUGUGUAGGUAGUCUUUACACUCCAAGGGGUGAGAAGAGCUAAGGUUUCCCAUUUCCCAAAUUUGCUCACCAAUGAUUUGAUUAUGCAUAAUUUAAAAGAAUAUACCUUUCAUCAGUGGUUGAAUGACCAAAAGAAGUAACCAUGAGAAUAAUGUUGUAUUGGUUGUGAGGGUUGCAAGUCAAGCAACCCUACUUAAUUGAAAUUAUUAAUUGAUUUAAAAAAAAAAAACCUAUAAGCAUUGUGAAUUCAUAUUGCUACUUUAUUUGACUUCUAAAGUUGGUUUAUAACAUUGAAGAUGCUAAGAAUACAAUAUGAUAACCCACAAAUGUCAGUUUCGUUAAAAAAAAAAAAAUCCAAUAUUUUGCAAAUUGGAUAUGUCAAAAUAUACCAUAAUGUUAAUAUACUUGUAUUAUAAUUAUAAUGCAUUUGUAUCUUACCUAUAUUUUAUAACAAAAGUAACAGUUUUACAGAAACAUUUAUAUAACUAAUUGACAUCCAACAUAUCAUACCGGUGCAGUACUCAUACAACAUAUUGAUCGGUCAUCACCUUAUCAAUUUGAGUUAAGUUUGAGUUUUUUUUUGGACCGCACCUAUAUCGAUCGGUCAUCUUCUUAUCAGUUUGAGUUUAAGUUUUUGGGACCGCAACUAUAUCAAUAUGUCAUCACCUUAUCAGUCUGAGUUGAGUUUGAGUUUUUUUGGGAUUGCACCUAUAUCGAUCGGUCAUCUUCUUAUCAGUUUGAGUUUGAGCUUUCGGGACUGCACCUAUAUCGAUCGGUUAUCUUCUUAUCAGUUUGAGUUUGAGUUUUUGGGACUGCACCUAUAUCGAUCGGUCAUCACCUUGUCAGUCUGAGUUGAGUUUGAGUUUUUUUUUUGGGACCGCACCUAUAUCAAUCAGUCAUCUUCUUAUCAGUUUGAGUUUUAGUUUGAGUUUUCGGGACCGCACCUAUAUCAAUCGGUCAUUCAUUUUCCAUGUCAGUUUGAGUUUAGUUAGAGUUUUCGUUCCAUGUUAAUUUGAGUUCAGUAUGAGUUUUUCAAGACCGCACCUAUAUCGAUCAGUCAUUCAUUUGUCUUGUCAGUUCAGUUUGAGUUAAGGCCGCACCUAUAUCGAUCGACCAUUUUCCCAUUAGUUUAAGUUUCGAGACCGCAACUAUAUUGAUCGGUCAUUCAUUUUUUUUGUCAGUUUGAGUUGAGUUUUUUGGAGUCACACCUGUAUUAAUCAAUCAUCGUCUUGUCAGUUUGAGUUUGAGUUUUUGGGACCACACCUAUAUUGAUCGGUCAUUCAUCUUGUCGGUUUGAGAUUUCAGUUUUUGGGACCGCACCUAUAUUGAUCGGUCAUUGUCCAUGUCAGUUUGAGUUUAUGUUUUUUGGAACCGCAUCUAUAUCAAUCGGUCAUUGUCUUAUCAGUUGAGUUAAGUCUGUUCGGUCUUGAGCCACACUCUAUCCUCUCGAUCUUUGAGUUCACGACACAUAUUUCGGUCAUGUUGUUGGGCACCCUACGCUUAACGUUUUCAUGUGGUUCAUAUAGUCGUUCUCUUUGAAUGCAUUCUUUCCUGUACUCUAAGGUGGUUCGACCGUUACUCAUCUUUGACAUUGACCUACGAGUCACUUUUGGAGACGUCUUAAGGGGAGCUUGAGUCUUAAGUGCAGCUUUAGAGGCGCUUUGAGAUAUGUUUUUCUCUUAGGAUUAGAGCCCUUUUGUUCAUCUGUUGGCCUAAGUGAGUUCGUGUUUUACUAGUGUCCCUUUGAGGGUCUCCUUUGUUCUUCGGUAGAGUUCAUUUCAUUCCACUCACUAUUCACACUCACUUUUCACUUCAGUGUUCAUAUUCCUUGCACUCGUGAGCUCUACCGAAGAGGGGCAUAUUUGUAGACCUCCAUUUUGGGGGCUCAUUUUUCUCACUUUUCUACAGGUUUUUCUUACCAGAUGGAGGGCUCUCAAGGAGCCACGUGUCACCUUGUGGUUAGCUACUAGGGUAUCAUGUUAGUGGUUUGAAGAAGCAAUAGGGAAGGGACACGUAUUAGGGAAUAUUUAGCAAAAGAGCGUAUUUUUUGUUAUAGGGACAGUGAGGCUGUUAAGGAGGGAAGUGACUUGGUUGCUGGUUAAAGAGAUAUUUUGGGAUAGCUUGGAGGGCAAGAUAGGAGAAGACAUGAAAAGGAGGAAAGGGUAUUGAGAGAGGAUGAGAGGGAGUUUUCUAAGAGCUAGACGGGAUUUUCUGGUGAAAAGCUUGAGAAGAUUAGUUGAGCAAGGGAAUGGGUUUGAUGGGAUUUUGAUGUAAGACUAGAGAAAGAAGGUAGAGAGUUGGGUGAGGUGCAUUUCAAAGGAGAAAAACCAGAGAAAGAGAGAGUUGCAAACAAGCUAGAGAGAGGAAGAAAAUGAGCUUGAAAGGGGAAUAGCACAGAUCUGAUUUCUAUCAGAUGGAUUCCUUUGUUUUCAUACCAUUUUGUUAUGUUUUCCGAGAAUAAUAGGAUUUUUAUUUUGAUGAUUGGAUGUGAAUAUUGGAGACUUUUGCAUGCUUUUGUGGAAUUUGAGCUUGCUUGCCCUCACUAUACGCUUGAUUUCUAACCUGUUUUCUUGGCUUUAUUUUUGGCAUUCAUGUCUUGAUUUUUGCUUUGAAACCCAUUUGAGAUCCAUUUUGGCCCACCCCCAACAUCUAAGCCUGUUGAUUAAUACAUGAAACGAGGCUUACAUGGGUUCAUUUUGUUCCUAUUAUUCGUGCUCUAUUUUUCUAUUUUCCCCUGUUCCUGGUACCUAUUCAGAGGGUGACACAGUUUUCUCAUCUGUGCCUGAGAGAGUAAGGGACUACAAGGGGUGUAUUCCCAGUCCGUGGGUAUGAAAAGUUGUUCCACAGCCCGAGUCCAAGUAAGGAAAGUCAUUGAAAGCUUCUAUUAGGAAGUGUCUUCGCCGUGGUAAUCUUGGAGACUCUCAGGAUACAGAUUAUGGGGUAGAAAAGCUACAUGGAUGCUCAAUACUCUGGUGAAAUUGGUAUUGGUACCCUCCUCUCUCUCUCAAACGUUCACGGUAAUCUUUGACACUACUGGCUCAAACCUGUGGGUUCCAUCAUCCAAGUGCUAUUUCUCGGUUCCUUGCUGUUUCCAUUCAAAGUACAAGCAAUGCUAAUCAAAUACCCAUUGGAAGAAUGGAAAAUCUGCUGAUAUCCAUUAUGGUACCUGAGCUAUCUCAGGUUUCUUUAGUCAAGAAAACGUGAAAGUUGGUGUUCUUGCUGUGAAGAAUCAGGAAUUUAUUUGAGGUAACUAGAGAGCCCAGUGUCACAUUUUUGGUGGCUAAGUUUGGGAGGUAUAUGAGGAUGGAUUUCAAGAGAUUCCAGUUGGUAAUGUCGUCUCAGUGUGAUGCAACAUGGUGAAACAACUGGGUAUUGUGCUGGGAGGUUGUGCAGCAAUUGCAGAUGUUAAGAAUCAGAAGAACCUGAAACUGAUGAAAAACACCAAGAAACAGAGGAUGCAAAAGAAAAUGGAUUGCAGAAAAAACUAACUAAAAAAUUACAUCAGACUUGAGUCCUAUUUAUAAUACAUCAAUGACACAAUAACAAAGUAAAAAAAAAAAAAACUGAAAUAACAACUUUUCUAACUAACUCUUCUCAUCUAACUUGCUUUCUAUUUUAAUUCUUUCUUCUUUCCUUUUUAGUUUCAUGCUUUCAAUAUGAGAUGCAACACUCCAACACCCCCCUCAAGAGGAACAUGGAUGUUAAUGAUGUUCAUCUUGCAAAGAUUGUGAUGAAAAGGUAAAGAACCGAGAGGCUUUGUAAAGAUAUCUGCGAGCUGUAAUCAUGAUGGAAUAUGGAAGAGCUUAAUAACAUGUUGCUGCAAUUUUUCACGAAUAAGAUGGCAAUCAAUCUGGAUAUGCUUUGUUCUCUCGUGCUGAAUUGGAUUUGUGGCGAUGGACAUUGCUGAUUUACUGUCAGUGUAUAGUAAAGCUGACUGUGAAUGUUUGAUAUCCAGGUCUUGUAAGGCAUACAAAAGCCAUUGAAUUUCACAAGUGGUAGUUGCAAGGGCUCAGUACUUUGCCUCUGCAGAGGAUCGACUAACUAUAACUUGUUUCUUUGAUUUCCAUGAAAUCAAUAUGUUGCCAAGAAAAAUUGCAAAACCAGUGACACUCUUUCUAGUAUCGACACAGCCUGCCCAAUCACUAUCGAAAAAUCCUUUAAUUGAAAAUCUGAGGAAAAAGGAAAAAAGAGACCUUGCCCUGGUGUGGCCUUUAGAUACCUCAGUACUCGAAUGGCUGCUUGAUGGUGACUAACAACAGGUUUUGCUAAAAAUUGGCAGAGUACUAGUACAAAAUAGGCUAAGUCAGGCCUAGUGAGAGUUAAAUAAAGUAAUCUGCCAAUGAGUCUUCGAUAACCUGAUGGAUCUUCAUAGAAAUUGGUAUCAUUUGCUGAUAACUUGAGGGUAGAUUCCAUAGGGAAGGCAGCAGGUUUGGAUCUAGUUAAACCAGUGUCUUCAAGUAUGUCAAGUAUAUACUUUCGUUGGCAUAAGGAGAUACCAGUCUUGGACCUUGCAACUUCCAAGCCAAGAAAGUAUUUUAGUGGGCCUAAGUCCUUAAUAGUGAACUUGGCAUCUAAAAAGGUAUUCAACCUUUCAAUUUCCAGAAUGUUAUCACUUGCCAAUAGCACAUCAUCCACAUAGACUAAUAAGGCCAUAAAAGAACUUUCGGAUUUCUUAAUGAACAGAGAACAGUCAGAAUUACCUUGAAUAAAUCCAUAGGAAAGAAGGGUCUGGGAUAGUUUGGCAUACCAUUGCCUGGAAGCUUGCUUCAAGCCAUAGAGGCUCUUUAAAAGAUGACAAACUUUCUGUUCACCUUGGACAGCCAACCUAGGAGGCAAUUCCAUGUAUACCUCUUCAUGUAAAUCACCAUGUAAAAAUGCAUUAUUGACAUCUAGUUGAUGAAGAUGCCACUGUUUGACGGCAGCCAUAGCAAGUAGUAAGCGAAUGGAUGUAAUCUUGGCCACAGGAGAGAAAGUAUCAAAGAAAUCAAGGCCUUCUUGCUGAGUAUACCCUUUUGCCACCAAUUUAGCUUUAUGUCUUUCUAUAGUUCCAUCAACUUUAUAUUUCACUUUGAAUACCCAUUUACAACCAAUAGUCCUUUUAUUUUUAGGAAGAGUAACAAGCUCCCAAGUUUUAUUUAACUCUAAAGCAGUAAGUUCAUGUUGCAUGGUAGUUUGCCAUUCAGGGAGGCGAGAAGCUUGGGUGUAUGAUUUGGGUUCUAGAGAGUUUGUGAUAGAGGUGAGAAAAGCUUUAUGGGAUGUAGACAGUCUAAUAGUAGAAAGAAAAUGGUGAAGAGAAUAGAAAUUACCUUUAGUGGGAGAACAGUCAAUUGAAGUAGAUGUCUGAGUUGCAUUUUGAGAAGAAGAGACAUUACCACAAUAAUAGUCCUGCAGAUAUAAAGGUUUUUGUUCAAUUCUAGUUGAUUUUCUGAGCUGUAGGACUUUAGGGUAAGUUGAAUCCAGAUGAGAUGGAGAGGGAAAUGUAGGUGAGUUGGAUUCAAGAAGGGCAGGAGGUUCAGAGAGAGAAGGAGAAUUAUUAGGUGGUGAUGCAGAUCCCACAUUAUGAUAGGAAUUGAAGAAGGAGGUGGUAGAAGGUGAAUUUGAAAAGGAUUGUGAAAGAGGAAACAUAAAAGAAUGAGUUUCAGGAUGUUGGGGCAACACUUGGAAAGGAAAAAUUGUUUCAUGGAAUAUGACAUUCCGAGAAACAAGGAUCUUAUUGGUGUUUAGAUCCAUGAGUUUAUAACCCUUAAUAUCAGAAGGAUAUCCUAGGAAGAUGCACUUUGUGGCUCGUGAAUCAAAUUUUUGUCUAUGACUAGUUAAAGUGGAUGCAAAACAAAGGUAGCCAAAAACUCUUAAAUGAGAAAGGUUAGGUGUUUUGUUAAAAAUCAUUUCAAAAGGGGUUUUAUUUUGAAGUAGAGGAGUGGGAAUUCUAUUAAUUAUGUGGGCAGCAGUAAGCACACAGUCACUCCAAAAAAUUAAUGGUAGAUUUGCUUGAAACAUUAAGGCUCUAGCAGUGCUUAGUAGAUGUUGAUGUUUUCUCUCCACAACACCAUUUUGUUGAGGAGUUUUGACACAACUUCUCUGAUGCAAAAUACCAUAUUUAUGAUAGAAUUUUGUAAGUAAGAAUUCUGGUCCAUUAUCAGACCUUAUAGCUUUGACAGAAGAAGAAAAUUGGUUUGCUACCAUUUUACAGAAAGUUUUGAUUAAAGAUGGCACUUCUGAUUUAGCUUUAAUCAUGUAUACCCAAGUACACCUUGUGAAGUCAUCGACUAUAGUUAAAAAAUAUCGAAAAACCAGAAUAAGAAGUAGUGCCAAAGGUACCCCAUAUAUCACAAACAUUUGUAUGAUCAAGAGUGAUAGCAGAGUCAAUCUGUUUGAGGAAAUGGAAUCUUGAACUAGAUACAUCUCCUAAUCUACAAUGCCAUAUAUCUAAGUGUUUGUGAAUAGAGGACAAAGCAAGAGGAGCAUAAUUAAACUGAAAUGAAUUGCAGGUUUUAGCUUGUGAUGAAGUUGGAAUCAGAUGGUAAAGUCUUUCUUUUUCAAGAACAAUCCCAAUCAUCUUCUCCAUUGACUAGUCCUAUAAAAGGCAAUGAGAAACAAUAAAGGUAAGAGAAAGAUUAGAUUGUUUAGUGAGUUUGGAAACGGAUAAUAGAUUGAAUGAAAAAUGAGGAACAAACAGGACAUUAUGUAAAAAUAAGGAAUCUGAGAGACAUACAGUACCAAUGUGUGUGGCUGGAACUGUAGUACCAUUAGGAAGAUUGAUGGAUGCAUUAAUUGGUUUAGGUGUAGAAUGGUAUAAAAGUGGUGAACAAAUCAUAUGGUCUGUUGCACCCGUAUCAAGAAGCCAAUAUGAAGUGGAAUUUGGCUUAGAAGUAACAAAAUUACAAGAAAAAAUUGGUUUAAGUGUAGGUUGAACUUUACCAGAAAAGUGAGAGGUGGUGACAAGGUUAACAGCUGGUUGGACAUUAUUCUGAUUGGAAGAAUUGGGUUGAACUGAAUUUGCAAGCGCCACUAGUUUAUGAAAUUCCUCUGGAGUGAAACAAAACUUUUGUUGCUCAUUGCUAUUUUGAUUGGGAACCUCUGGAGUAGUAAUGGCAGCAUGAGCAGAAGCCAUAUUUCUUUUUCCUUUUGGUCCAUUCCAGCCAGGGGGAUAACCAUGAAGUUGAAAACAUUUGUCCACUGUGUGACCAUUAUAGCCACAAUGAGUACAGUGUAGGGCAGAUUUCUUUGGUUUGUCCUUGAAAGAUUGUGGCUGGUAUCUCUGCUGAUUAGAUUGCUUUGCCAUCAAAGCAUGAGUCUCAUUAUAUGUAGCAGAAUUUGUGAGUUGCCUCUAACUUUCUUCUUGAAGCAGUAGAGAGAAAACCUUGGACAUGUUUGGUAAUGGAACCAUUAGUAGCAAUUGGCUUCUGAUAGAGGCAUAAGAAUCAUUUAACCCCACCAAGAAUUUGAGUACAUAAUCAGAUUGCUGUCUGAUUUGUAGAAAGUUGAAAAGUUCACAAGUGCAUGUUGCCAUCUUGCCACAAGUGCAUGUUGGAAAUGGCAUAUAGCUAAUGUACUCAUCCCAAAAGGUCUUAAAGGUACUGAAAUAUUCAGUAACAGACAAAGCACCUUGACUGAUGCAACUCAAAGAUUUCUCAAGUUGGAAAACCCUUGGUCCAUCACUCCUGAGAUAUCUUACUUUAAGCUCAGUCCAAAGAUCAACAGCAGAUACCACAAACAGCAAGCUAUUUCGUAUUUCUUUUGAAAUGGAAUUCAUCAACCAAGAAAGAACCAGAUUAUUUGCCCUUAACCAGGUUGUGUGUUUAACAAGCUGAUCAAUAGAGGGAGAAACAAUUGAACCAUCUAUAAAUUGUACCUUGUUUUUGACUGUCAAUGCAAUGACUAUCGAAUGACUCCAUGCAACAUAGUUUUCUCCAUUGAAGAUUUCUGAUACUAACAAAGCACUAGGAUUGUCGCUUGGAUGUAGGUAAUACGGACUCGAUGAGUCAUCUGAAGGAUUGAUAAGAGGCUGAUUAAAAGAAUUAGAUGAAGAAGGAUGCACAGGAGAGGGAUUGACAAGAGGAGAAUCACCAAAACUCAUUUUCAAGAAUUUAUUCAAGAAAAUGCAAGAAGCUGGAAGACAAUCAAUGUAAGAAUUCCAUAGCAGAAUUUCGCAAGGCAGAAGUUGAGAAGAAAUUGAUUGAUUUAGGUUGCGGAAGCUUUAGGGUUUGGCUCUGAUACCAUGUUGAGAAUCAGAAGAACCUGAAACUGAUGAAAAACACCAAGAAACAGAGGAUGCAAAAGAAAUGGAUUGCAGAAAAAACUAACUAAAAAAUUACAUCAGACUUGAGUCCUAUUUAUAAUACAUCAAUGACACAAUAACAAAGUAAAAAUAAAAUAAACUGAAAUAACAACUUUUCUAACUAACUCUUCUCAUCUAACUUGCUUUCUAUUUUAAGUCUUUCUUCUUUCCUUUUUAGUUCCAUGCUUUCAAUAUGAGAUUGCAACACUCCAACAGCAGAUUUUGGAACUUCUUUGUUGGCAGGCCUAACAGCCGCUGUCGUUAUGAUAUAGUCAUACCAUUGGAGCCACCAGAGUUAUUAGCCAAGCAUGUAAGGCUGUAGUUGCACGGUGGGCAAACAAUCAUGGAUUUACUGCUAUUAGAGGCAUCACCCCUGAAGAUUUGCUUGCAAAUUGGGUUGGGCACCUUUAAUGAGACUCGUGGUGUUGACAUGGGCAUUGAGGGUGUUGUGGAUGAGGAGCAAUUUGAUGAUGCUAGUCAUGGGUUGAAGCAGCUGCAUGCUCUCGGUUACCCUCCCACUUUUGCAUGGCCAUGCAUGGCCCCACCAAGCCUUUGCAAAGCUUUCCAACUUCAUACUCCACCAUACUCAUCACUGUUCAUGCUCACUAACCUCCACUACCCAUUCCACAUAUCUCAUGUCCAAUCCUCCUACACCAUUCAUAACCCCCCUGCGUAUCACUAUUUCUUUAGUACCCACUAACCCAUUUCAUCCUUCAUCCUUGAUCCAUCAUACCCUCCAUCAAACCCAUCACUACACUCUCACCUUGAACCGCAUUCACAUGUCCAAUUACCAGCUGCCACUACUCAUUUCCCACUCAUGCACGCAAGAAUUAUGCAUCCAUGUCUGUCCUUCAACACCACGUACCCUUCAUACCCAUCUCCCUAACCACACCACUAAACCCACUUCUUUCUCUAAGUCUUCAUCCUUCAUUACCCAUUAUCUCCACUGUCAAACCCAUAUCUCAAGCCAAUCUUCUUCAUGUCCAACAUCUCAGGACAAACCCACCAUUCGGCCAUCCUUGAUGUUCAUCAACUCACCACCAUGCUCCUCAUUUCCGUCCCAUAUUCUGGAUUGCCUUCAGGCAACGAGGUCCAUAACUAUUUAGUUCAAGGUGAUGAUCCAUAACCCUUCGUCACUGUGAUGGUCAAUGACCGAAAUGGAGGAACAGAGCAGUUGUGGAGCUUAAACAAUUCAUCAAUGGCAGCCAGGAGUGAGCAUGCAGUGGAUAACCUAGAUGCAGUGGUUUCAAUGGCAGACAGAGCGUUCGGAACAGCACAGAAAGAAAAUUAAGUUAUUUCUUGUGUGGAAUGGGUAAUAGGUUAUGUUUUGUUUUUAAAAAAUUUGAGAGAAAAUGUAAAAGAAAGAAAACAAAAAGAAAAAAAAAAAAAUAAAUAAAUAAAUUAUUUAAAUUUAAUAAAUUAUUUCCAUUCACUUUUUUAAACUCAUUUGACUUAUUUUUCAUAUUAUAAUAAAAUUAAAUAAUUUUAAAAUAUAUAAAUUUUAAAUUAAUUUUAAUUAUAUUAUAUUUUUUAUUUUUUAUUGUGUAACCAAAUAUGAAAAAAUUAUUUUUUAAAAUAUUUUUUUUUAGUAUUUUUAGGAACCAACAUAACCUAAUUAUUUAAAAUAAAAGAAAAUAUGCAUAAAAAUAGAAAAAUAAAAAUAAUUAUUAUUAGAGCAAUAAAAAGAGAGUAAUACGAGAUUUUCAAUAAUUGGCGCGCUCGCGCAGAAACCCAAGCCCUACGCCAACUCCCUUGGAGAAAUCGCCUGCAAAAUCCAUAGGGAUUUUCUUCAUAGGGUACGUUUUGACUGCUGAAAAGUUCCGGGUUUCUGUUUGUUUCCCGAGAAAGUGGGCAAAAAUGGUGUCUUUUUCUUCUUUUCUUUUUUCUGGUUUGUUGAGCAAGGUAGGGGGUUUUGUGUAUGGUUGUUCUGAAAGUGGGGGAAAGUAAGAGGAAUCGAAGUUUUUGUUUUCUUUCUUCCCCAUUUUAUGUUUUAUGUUUGUUUUGGUUGCUGAGAAGUGAAGAAUUUUGUGUUGGUUGCUGAUAAACCGGAGGAAAUGAGGAUUAAAUGAAGCUGUUCUAUUUUUUCUUUUUUCUUUUUUUAACUACUUUUAGUUUCAAUGUUUUCGGUUGUUUUGGUUGCUAAUCAUGUGUGUAUUUUCUGUUUGGUUGUCUAGAAAAGGCUGGAAAUGAAAAGAAAAUUUAGUCUCUUUAUUUCAUGUCUAGUGUUGUUUUGGUUGCUAAGACAAUUAAGGGAUUUUUGUUUUCUUGUUCUGGAAAUUGAGAAAAGGAAAAGGACCAAUGAAGUUUUGUUUUGUUAGUUUUAAGUUUCAGGUUUUCUAUUUCUGUUGGUUGAGAGAGUGAAUUUUUUUUUCCUUUUUCUGUUUAGUUUCCUAGAAAUGCAUGAAAAGAAGAGAAAAUGAAGUUUCUUUAUUUCAUGCCUUGUGAUUGGAGGAAAUGAGAAGUUUUCCCAGCAUGUUUUAUGUUAGCUUUUGGAGAUGAUCUCAAGGAGAUAAAAUGAAGCAACUGACUAUGAUAUGUUUUAUUCACUUUCAGGAUGGCAAAUACAGGGGAAGAUUUAUCUCAAUUUGAUAUUUCCCAAGAGGUGCACAAUGCUGUCUUAGUUCCUCUUAGUGAGUUCAAUCUCUUUAUAUUGCUGAGCUGAAUGAUCCUUUGUUUUUUUUGGUGCAUCCAGGAAAAGGACAAGCUUGUGGCAGAAGUAAUUCGCUAUGUCCUAUUUAAAACCCACCAAAAUUCAGGGUGCCCAAUCAAGAGAGAUGAACUUACUCAACUCGUUACUAAGAAUUAUCGCCAGCGUGCUCUCCCUGCUCUUGUAAUCAAUGCAGCCAGAGAGAAGCUAUCCACCAUUUUCGGCUAUGAAAUGAAGGAGCUUCAACGAUCUCGACCUUCAUCCACCAAUCAGGGUCGCACUUCACAACAGAGUUAGAAGCUUUUCCUCCCACUUAAUUUUUUAUGGUAACAAUUUUGUAGCUUCAACAUAGUUUUGUGGAUCGGAUGUAAGUUGAUUUGAUUCACAUUGUUAAUGCAUGCUUGAAGUUUGAAGUUGCUCCUAGAUUCAAUGGGUUUCAAUAAAUUGGGUUAAAUUUGAAACCUACUGUUAAGGAAUAUCCAAUCUCAUUUGCUAUUGAAUAGGUGAAAUCUAAAUACUGCAAGUUCUAACCUUCAAAAAAGAAUGGAUAGCUUCUUGUGAAUUGAGAUCCAUGAAUUACUAGUUCUGAUGCACGGUUUGGCAUGGAAAGCAAUCUAGGGAAUGGUUGGUUCCCUUGUGCCAAAUAAUGGGCCUGAGCUCAUAUAACAGGUUCUUUAGCAAUGUUACACAUAGGCUAAUUGCGCAUGCAUCAUAUAUUUAGUCAGUUUUCAGGAUAAAUCUAGUGAAAUAUAAAUGAAUUUAUGCAUCAUUAUCUAUUCGGGGCAGAUCUUUUUCAUGUUGAAUUUAGAACAAUCAAAUUGUACCAGAUCACUGACAUAUGAGUGUAUAAUUUGUAUGAUAUGUCCAUAAAAGUCCACCAACAUCAAGAUCAUGAUUCAUUUCAUUGCUGCAAUAAGUUGUUGCCAGUGCUGUUGUGGUUCCCCUGAACUGCGACUUCCACUACUGGUGUAUUCUCUUUCAUCCCAAGGCCAGUGCCACCUUAGUAAAUCUGUUCUACCCACAUCAUCUUUACAACAUCGCUGGUCAAUGUCAAUGUUACCACCUCGCAGCCAGCCUCUCUACCUCAAUCGUUGAUAACAAAUUUAAUUGUCGUCUCCACAUAGCACUCUUUCAUCUUCUGUUUCACCAUUUAAACUAGAUUUACCCUGGUAGCGGUUUGUAUGCAUGAAUAUGUAGGUGCAUUUAAAAAGUAGAAGAAAAUACACUAUGUUCGGAAGUUCUGCAUCCAGUAAACUAUUUUAAAAAGAUCUUUGAAGUGGCGCUGUUAGGAAAAUCAAUGCCUAAGUAUGUAGAACUAUGAAAAUUUGGCUUCAGUGGCAGGUGUACCUGCAUCCCUUCAUUUCCAAAGCCCUCUCAAUUUGUUCUUCUGAAGAAAAAAACCUGAUCUGAAUGCCCAUCUAUUUUUCCUGAUGAAAAUAUGCAUUGUUGAAUGAUAAACCUAUCAUUUUUUCUUUGCAUGAUUUUACAGAUAUAUUUAUCCCAUACAUUUUAAUGAGCAACCAAAAGGAUCAGGUUGUGUGUGUGGAUAUAUUAGGUUCCACCAUUGGUAAUGCUGGACAGGUGCCUGCCCCUUUUUGUGCUUGCUUCUUCUGUUUUGGCUCUAAUUAUGGUCUAAUGAUGCAUUUUUUCCAGGUUUUGCAGAUGUAAAAUCUUAUGUGAUCAUAAGUCAGCUACCUGCUGAUGUGUAUCGGAAAUAUGUUGAGGAUGUAAAUACAGCACAUCUGACUGGAUUUACCUUCGUCAUUGUUAGUAUUGUAUAUCUUGCUGGAGGGAAAAUUGCAGAAGGUAUACUUUCUAAUUGAUUUUUUUUUUAAUUUUUUUAUUUGAUAGGUAAAUAUGAUCAUAGUAUGCUUUCUAAUUGAAUUGUUCUGGAAUGCUGAUCUUUUGGAUGGUAUUUCUAUGUAAUAUGAAUGCCAAGAUAGAGAGCAAUAAUUUGGGUUGGAACCAUCCUUACUCCGUUCAGCCUGGAUGUGUAUGUGGUUGGAACCUGAAUCUGUUUGGAAAUCUGGGCCAUCAGCUCAGUGGGUGUUCCGCUUUUCUAUAAAUUCAUUAAGAAUGUGUAUAAAAAUUGAGCAGAUGGCUAGGAUUUAUUUUUCAACUUGAGAAUCCCAUAUGAAUUUUGAAGGUCAAAAUGUCGUUAUUAUAAUACCCUGCUUCUAGUUCUUUACCAACAUGACAGAACCUACUACCAUUGUGGUGAAAGCAUUGCAGAUGGUCUUUGGCAUCAUAUGAGGCGGAUGGGAUUGUAUGAAAAUGAAGAAAACCAUCCUGUCCUUGGAAACAUUAAGCAGGCGUUGGAAGCACUUGUCCAGCAAAGGUUAGACCAAUUUGAUAAGGUGGAUUUUAUAUUUAUUAUGAGUUCCUUCACUUGAUGGACCUUAGUUUGCUAAGCCCAUAAUUGAACUGAUCUGUAGGUAUUUGCAGAAGGACAAAGUGAAUGGUCCUGAGGGCAAUACUUUGUUUUACGAGCUUGCUGAAAGAGCUUUAGAUGAAGCCAUUAGCAAGAAGAUUAAAGAGUAUAUAUCACAGGUAUUAUUUGGAGAAUAAUAGGUUUGUUAAUGCUUUUGGUGGGUUUAUUUAUUUCAUGUUUAUGUUUCAAUUCUACUGGCAGACUGAAUUCCUUUGGGGAGUGUUAAACCCCAUCUUUUGUAAAGCUAUUCCCAUUGUCAUCAAUUUGGCAUUCUGAAGGAAUUUUGUGAUGGCAGAUUGUGCAGAAUGAUGGUGCCUCGGCAGAUGUUGAAUAGUGUCUUGCACCUAAUUUAUGCAGGUAUGCUUGAUAGUUUUAGUUUAUAGCUGAAUAGCUUUCACUCGAUGUACAAAUUCUAAUUAACAAAAAUGAGAUGUUUCUGAUGCAGAAAGAUGUGGUGGCUGAUAAAUAGUGAGGAGUUGGAUUGACGAGGACAUGCUCAACAGAAUGGAUAGAGCUGCAGCUGAGAUGCCCAAUUGCCCAUUUUUGCUUGAUGAGUCUUAAAACAUCUUUGUUUGGGAAUUUUGUGGAAUUGUAGUUAUUUUAUAUGCCCUAGUGGGACCCCUUAUGUUUACAUUUGCCCAAAAUUAAAUCAGAACCUUCAGAGUCUCAACUUGGUGCUAGUCAUAGCUCAACCAUUGCGACACUCCUUGUAGAAUCUUACAAAAGAUGAAAAGAAAAGAAUUCUGACGAGAAGAUAUACAUCAAAUAAAUGAAAAGAAAAGAAAAAGAGAAUAAAUUUCAGAGACAACAAACACUGAACCGCUAGAGAGAAUCCUUAUGGCAUCCCAGUGUAACUUUUAAGAACAUGGUUGCACGAUAUAUGCAGAAACAAGCUUCAGAUGAAUUGCUUUAGAAACUCUGUAGCUACAAGCCUCCCACGUGUGUUCACCGACAAUUUCAAUUCGCUUAUCUCUUUAUCGAUAUCCUGCAAUAUGGGAAGAUGCAGUUUGAGAAACUCAUCACAAAGAUACCAACAGUAUCAGAACAAAAAGAAACUGUUAACAAAUAACCAACAGGAAACAUUCUAGUUUGAUACUCAAAGAAUCCUAUUUUGUAUUGCAUGCUCUGCAAAAAGGAUCACCCAACAAUACUUGGAUCUCACCUUUGACAUCUGAACGGUAAAUCACAUCAGAUUUCAUCACAUCAAAUGGUGAAAGUCUGAGUCAAAAUGGGAAACGAAAAUCUAGGGAUUAAGUUUUCUGCGCAUGUUGGUAUUUGAAGAAUGAAAGAAGUGCAUGUUUUAAGGAAUGGUGCUUAAGAACCCAUGCUUCUGGCCCCAUGCCCGGAUUGCCUAUCAUUCUCCAAUUCUAAGUAAAAGAUUAGCAGUACUAAAAAUACUAGCAAAUAGAGAAAUAGUACUGGUCAGAGAGCAAGCAUGUGGCUAAUUAUCUUACGUUCCCGUGGGCCCUGUUUUCCACUGUCAUUGUGGUCUGGUUGCUCCUGAGCUCAGUAAAUGAGUCUAAGUAGAUAGCAUGGUAGCUUAAUGGAGUUGAGGAGAAAAGUGAGGGACACAUCCCCUUGGCCUUAGGUGCAUUUGGAAGGUAACAAAAAGGAGAAUUGUUGAGGGGGAGUCAUGGAGGAGCUACAGGUAUAAGUUUUAAAGGACCAGUUUCUCAAGCCUUUGUUACUCUGGUCCAAGGAUUCUCUUGGGGAUGGUGGUCUAUUUGUUUGUUCAUUUUAUUGAUUUUAUUGAUAGAUUAGGGUUGACAUAAGUUGAUUCUUAAUGUCCAUUUCAUUGUGGGGUGAUUGUUUGUUACUUUCUGAAUACUAGGGUUUGCUGCCCUUUAUGGUGCUUUAUUAUAUUAUAUAUUUGCUUAUAAAAUAGACACAUGUGAUUCUCGACUGUUUCGAGUGAAACCCACAAUCUUUUGAAAAUAAAAAUAGAAAGCAAACAUUCCCCAACCAAAAAUACUGGUUGUUUUGAUCAUCCUCUUAGGAAGGCAAACAAUGAAGGAAAAUCUGACAUAAACCCUACUAAUGUGAACCAUGACCAAACUUGUAACAACCCACUCUCAACCAUGUAAAUAUUGUCAGUGCUAGGCCCAAAGUGUCAUCAUAGUUUUAAAAUGUGUCUAAAAGGUUAAAAGAGUUCAUACAUAUACAACAUCGGAAACUUUUUCCCCUAUUCAAUGUAAGAUAUCAUAAUCACUAUCUCCCCAAUGUAAACACAACAUUCUCAUUGUAUCCCAUAGGAUUAUGGGACCAAACAAGCAGAUAAAGUUUCACAUUGGGAUCAGGGAUAGACUUUGAUACCAUUUAUAAUGACUCAUUCCCAACUGUAUAAAUAUUGUCUCCUUCAAGUCCGAAAGACCAAUAUGACUUUAAAUGAAUCUACAAGAUAAAAAGUUCAUAUAUAUAUAGUGUCAAAAACUUUUUCCCUUAUCUAAUGUGGGAUAUCACAAUUGGAUAUCAUUAGUUGAGGAUCAAAGAUGAGGAUAUACCAAUACUACUUUUCAAACAAGAUAUGAGCAUUAUGAGUUUUUGGUGAUACCUUUUGGUUUGACUAAUGCAAUUACUAUAUUUAUAGACUUAAUGAAUAAGGUAUUCAAACCCUAUUUGGAUUAGUUUAUGGUGAUUUUUAUAGAUGAUAGUUUGGUUUUACUCAGAGUUGAGAGGUACAAGAGUAUCGUUUGAGCAUUGUAUUGCAGACUAUAAGGGAUAGGUUGUAUGUUAAACUAAAGAAGUGUGAAUUUUGGUUAUGCAACAUCUCUUUCCUUUGGCAUGUGGUAACCAAGGAUGGCAUCUCAAUUAACCUUAAAAAGUAGAUGUUGUAGCCAAUUGGAGGAGACUCUGUACCAUGAUUAAGAUUCAAAUUUUUUUGGGACUUGUCGGUUACUACAAGCGGUUUAUUGAGGGGUUUUCUAAGAUCACCCUACCUUUGACCAAAUUGACACAGAAGGGGAUUAAGUUUGAGUAGUUUGAUAACUAUGAGCGUAGCUUCCAAUAGUUGAAAAGCAAAUUUGUGGCAAAUCUUGUUUUGACUAUUCCUUUAGGUUUAGGAGGAUUCGUAAUGUAUAGUGAUGCCUCCCACCAAGGUUAGGGAUUGAGUUCUUAUGCAGCAUGGGAAAGUUGUGACUUAUGCUUUUAGAAAGUUAAAAUCUUAUGAGUGAAACCACCACAUCAUGAUUUAGAGGUAGUUGUAGUGGUUUUUGCUCCUAAGAUUUGGAGACAUUUCCAUUUUGGUGAAACUUGUGAGAUAUUCAUGGAUCAUGAGAGUUUGAAGUGCUUGUUUUCCCAAAAGGAAUUAAACAUGAGACAGAAGAAAUUGAUAGAAUUACUUAAGGACUGCAUUAUUCAAUAUCAUCCAAGAAAGCGGAGUGUUGUGGUUGAUGCCUUGAGAAAGAAAUCAAUUGGCUUCUUAGCAACUAUAAGUGUUGGUUAGAAGCGAUUAUUAGGAUUUGAGGUGUUUAUAGGUCUAUAUCAGAGUUUUGGACUAAGGAGCUUAUGUGGCAAAUUUCAUAGUACAACUAGACUUAGUUGGGAGAGGGAGAAUUAAGACCCUACAAAAGAAUGACCCUCAAUUAGUGCAACUUAUGGAGACAAGGCCUUGAGAUUUGGGACAAAACUCUAUGUCCCAAAUGACGGAGACUUAAUGAGGGAGCUUUUAGAGGAAGCUCAUUGUUCUAGGCUUACGAUCCACCUUGGAGAGACGAAGAUGUACAAAGAUUUAAGACAUAAUUAUUAGUGGUCAAGCAUGAAACAAGAUAUUGCACAUUUUGUGGCUAAGUGUUUGGUGUGCCAAUAGGCGAAAGCUAAGCAUGAACAACCAACACAGUUUGUGCAACCACAUUCUAUUCCUAAAUGGAAGUAGGAACAUAUUACCAUGCAUUUUGUGACAAGGCUGCCCAAAACCUUAGGAGAUAAUGAUGCUAUUUGGGUAAUUGUUGAUCAAGUAACAAAGUUUGCUCAUUUUCUACCUAUGAAAGCCAAUUUCUCCAUGGACCGACCGGUUUCUCUUUAUGUCUAGGAGAUUGUGAGAAUGCAUGAGGUACCCAUUUCUAUGGUAUCCAAUAGGGAUCGUCAUUUUACUUUCAAAUUUUGGCAUAGUUUUUUUUUUAAAAAAAACUCUCAAUAUGAAGUUUUAGUACUACUUUCCAUCCUUGGAUCGAUGGCUGGUCAAAGAGAGUAAUUCAGGUUUUAGAAGAUUUGUUGAGAGCAUGUGUUUUGGACUUGAAAGGUAAUUGGGAUGAUUACUUACCUUUGGUAGAUUUGGCCUAUAAUAAUAGCUUUCAAACUAGUAUUGGGAUGACCCCUUCAAGGGGGAUGUACGGAAGGAGGUAUUGAUUAUUUGCUUAUUGGAUGAGGUUAGAGAGAGGAAAUUUUUUGGUACUAAACUUGUGUAGUUAAUUGUUGAAAAAUUUGCUUUAGUUAAAGAAAAAUUAAAACCAACUCAAAGUAGACAGAAGAGUUAUGUUGAUAAUCACGGGAUGAGAUGGAAUUUGAGAUUGAAGACCAAGUGUUCUUAAUAGUUUUGCCUAUGAAAUCUAUAAUGAGGUUUGGGAGGAAGGAAAAGCUUAGUCUUUAGUUUGUGGGAUUGUAUGAAAUAUUAGAAAGAGUAGGCACUUUGGCAUAUAAAGUGGUCCUACCCCCAAGCUUGUCUAAGACCCAUAAUGUAUUCCGUGUAUUAGCUUUGAGGAAAUAUGUUUUUAAUCCCUCUCAUGUUAUAGAGUUAGAGCCUAUUCAAAUUUCAAAGGAUUUGACUUAUGAAGAAGUAUCCAUUCAUAUGGUAGAUAGUAUACGGUACUAUGUCAUACUAUUAUCAAGUUGGUAAAGGUCUAGUGGAUCAAUCAUAAGUAUUCAAGAGACUACGUGGGAAUUAGAGGAAGAGGUGAGAAGCAUUCACAUCUAUUUUGAGUUUUUGGUAUGUCAAGUUUAGAAAACUAAAUUUUUGUUAAGGAUGAGAGGAUGUAAUGCCCAAACUUGAUUUUAGGUGUAAAAUGGUCAUUUUAAAAAUAAAGAAAUUAAUUAAUAACAUUAAAAGGGUAGAAAGGUCUUUUCCUAAUAAUAAAAAACCCUAGGUGUAAAUAAUAAGUUUUCUUUACUUCUCUAUAUAGACAUCAUUCUGCAUAAAGACCAAAGAGAUAAGAGAAUAUAUAGCUAAAGAUUUGAGAGCCUAGAGUUCGAAGAUCAGUUUUUCAAGUAAUAUUCUAACCCUUUGAUGAGUAUUUUCGAUUCAUUAAAUGGAUUUGAGCAACUUAAAUGUUCUUUUAAAAAUCCAAAUUUAGAUUAGGCCUAAAAUAUAUUUAAAUUAAAUCAUUUGAAAUAUAUGGACAUAGAUUGGAUUUUUCUUGGAGAUAGGGAAUUCCAACCAUUAUAUAUAUAUAUCAUGGUUGAAGUGAUGAAAGUUUCAAAGUGGACUGGAACCACUGUGAGGAAGAAAAAAAACAUUGUGUGAUGAUUGUAGGAAAAGAAAAUAAAUAAAAGAAAAAAAAAUGAUUGUGUGGUUUUGCGUGUGAUGAUGGUAGAUGGCAGGAAAAACAGGAAAAAACAAACAAACAAACAAACAAAAAAGAAAGAAAGGAGUGUGUGCAUGUGAUCACUGUAGGCAUUGGAUUGGAGAAAAAAAAAAGGGGAAAGAGAAGAAGGAAUGGAGUGCAUGAAUAGGAAAGUGAAAAAAAAUAUAUGCAUUAAAAAUGGAAGGAGGCAUAUGACAGCUGGUAAGAUGUGAAGUGCAGUGCAUGGCUGUGAUAGUGAAAAUUUGUCAGCAUACAAAGCCUAACAAAUUUGCAGGAUUUCUUGGAAUAUGCCUGAAUCUUUUGACAAGAAAACUGAGUAUAAGCAAAAAUAAAAUUUUGAAUCCAAACUUUAGUUUCUUCAAAAUUCAAAUUUUAUUUUUUCAUUAAUGGUCCAUUUGAUGAAGUUGAGACCACAAUGGACAAAUCUACACCAAUAAUUCUUUGUUCAUUUGUGGAGAAAAUUGACGAAAAGAAAGGAAAAAAAUCUCUCAGUCGUGUUUCAAAAAAGGAAGAAGAAAGAGAGACACAUACAAAGAAAUAAAAUUCAUCUCAACCAAGUGGCAGAUCAGCCACAAUGAUGACUUCUAGCAGCUGCAGACCUGUGGCAGAGGUGAUAACUAGUAGCCUCUACCAGUGACAUGGUGAUUUGAAGUAGGAUUAGUGAAGCAAAGGAUGGAAUGAGGGAUUCAGGAAAAUCUGUUAUUUGUGAGUGGAUAUUUAUUUAUUUUUGAUAGAUAAACAACAAUAUAUAUUAAAAAAGGGCCAAAAAGCCACAAGUAUAUAGGGGUAUACACAGAAGCCCAAAACAAGAAACUGAAAGAAGAAAGGGGAGUAACCUCGCCCACCCUCAAGUGGCCGCGAGCCACUCCAAAAAGCCUAAGAGAGAAUAGGUUUCCUCUCCAAUGUACACCCUAGCCCAACUCCACAAGUUACAUACAAAAGAAUUUUUGAAUUUCUGAAUAGCUAACGACCCCCCCCCCCCCCCCCGAGUGUGGAAGGUGGUUAAACAUUUAAUUUCAUGCUAACACGUUCUCACUACGCUUCUUCUUACUCGAUCAAGAGGUACCUUUAACAAUCAGCAGGGGAGUUGCCUAAAGAUAUUUCUAUCACACCUAGGGUAAAACUCCACUACAACACUUUCCUNNNNNNNNNNNNNNNNNNNNNNNNCCCCCCCCCCCCCCCCUGAAAGCUAACCUAUUAGUGAAAAUUUGUCAGCAUACAAAGCCUAACAAAUUUGCAGGAUUAGUGAAAAUUUGUCAGCAUACAAAGCCUAACAAAUUUGCAGGAUUUCUUGGAAUAUGCCUGAAUCUUUUGACAAGAAAACUGAGGAUAAGCAAAAAUAAAAUUUUGAAUCCAAACUUUAGUUUCUUCAAAAUUCAAAUUUUAUUUUUUCAUUAAUGGUCCAUUUGAUGAAGUUGAGACCAUAAUGGACAAAUCUACACCAAUAAUUCUUUGUUCAUUUGUGGAGAAAAUUGACGAAAAGAAAGGAAAAAAAUCUCUCAGUCGUGUUUCAAAAAAGGAAGAAGAAAGAGAGACACAUACAAAGAAAUAAAAUUCAUCUCAACCAAGUGGCAGAUCAGCCACAAUGAUGACUUCUAGCAGCUGCAGACCUGUGGCAGAGGUGAUAACUAGUAGCCUCUACCAGUGACAUGGUGAUUUGAAGUAGGAUUAGUGAAGCAAAGGAUGGAAUGAGGGAUUCAGGAAAAUCUGUUAUUUGUGAGUGGAUAUUUAUAUUAAUGGAUCAGUGAAGACAAAUAUAUUUUUGUAUAUGAGAUGGGGCAUAAAGAACCAUACCCUGCCUGAACCUGGCCCAGUUUUUAGAAAACCACCAUAAUCCCAUCCACACCCUGAUUGAAUCCUUCAUAUUUGGGACCGGGCUAGGCCAGGUUACCCAAAAAUCUGGUUCAUUGUCAUUGCUAGGCAAAACUUUUUGAGGCAUCCUUAGCAUCCAGAAUAGUGUAUGAGCACGAAACCUGAGAUUGCAAGAGAAGUUGGGAGUGUGGAAGGUGGUUAAACAUUUAAUUUCAUGCUAACACGUUCUCACUAGGCUUCUUCUUACUCGAUCAAGAGGUACCUUUAACAAUCAGCAGGGGAGUUGCCUAAAGAUAUUUCUAUCACACCUAGGGUAAAACUCAUCUACUACACUUUCCUUGAUGAUGCAUAGUUCUAUCUAUAUACCCAGUUGAUCCAUGCUUACUUGAGUUCGGAACCAGAACCCAACAUGAACUUGUGCUUGUAGGUGAGCUAAGCCAGCCUACCACCAAGUUCACAAUAUUGUUUGAAGACCCCAAUAGGGCAGCUAGAAGUGGGUGCCAUCAAGCUGAUAAUAGUCAGAAACUGCCUGAGUUCAUGUCACUGAUUUAGAGGGAGUUGGGGCCACUGGCUUUCAUGGAACACAUUGUAUCAUUGCAUUUUCCACUAGAAAUGUCAGCUAGCCGUCCAUUUAAUGUUAUCUUGUUAAUCUAUGAACUCAUAAUUCACUCAGCUCUCAUUCUGAAAACCCCUAUUCAGAAUGACAAGGAUUGGGACUAAAGAGUCUCACACCACCUUCUUAGAAUUGUCCAAGAAUUCCCCAUUUGUAAGACCCUUGAGGGGCUUCUGCCACACCUGCCAACCAACCCCAUCUUAGUUCUCAGCCUGCUUCCCUUUCCAUUCGAAUUUGGCUAUCUACAAGAUCGACUUCCUCUCCUACUAAGAACCCCAUAUGGACAAUGUGAAAGAUAAAGCCCUUUGCUUUGAAUUUCAACCUUUUAUUUAUUUAUUAUCCAAGUCCAAAGGACCAGAAACUGAAGACUAUAGCAAUGUACUCUGAACCCUAGAUCUCAAAUUAAAUUCAAGAGGAUUACAAGGACUUUAGAAUCAAUUUCUAUUAAAGUUAGCUAAAUAUUGGCAGACUGCACCAUCAUCUGGGCAGUCUACAUGGGCAUCAUAGUGACAAAUUUUAGAAGUCAGGGAUCAUUACAUGUAAAAAGACAAGUUUCAGGGAUUAAUUGGGAAAAGAUAGUGAAAAAGAGAGGGAGGAAAUCAACUAUCCAGUGAUUAUGCAAGAAUAAUGGGAAUAGCUCUGGUAAAAAAGAAUCUAGAAUGAAAUUGAGACCCAAAAAAGAAAACACAGUUAAAAUGAAGUAUAUUGAAUCAAAUUGGCUAAAGAAAUUUUGAAAUUUUAGUUUCUUUUCUUAUUUUUAAAAGUGAUAAAAUAUGGUUGUCUACUUAGUAAAAAUUAAGUAUCUACUCAUCAAAAAACAUUUUACAAGUUGCUAGAUCUGUAAUUAUGUGCACAUCAAAUAGAAAUCAAAUUACAAAAGGAAGACAUACCAGAGCCACCUAAUAAAUAUAAGUUAGGAAAAGAAAAUGGUAAAAAAAAAUUCAUUAGAGAACUUGCCUCCAUAAAUUGCACGAUAAAAUCAAUAAGCUUGUGUUUUUGCAUAUCCUCACAGUGAUAGUUUGUUAUAAGAAAGCUAAUGUCAUAACCCUGCAAAGUGAACCACCAGAGAAACAAAUGAAACUAAGCAAAAAUUUGCAAACAGGAAACUGUUCUAAGUAAAAAAGAAAGAAUUCAAGAGCUAUGACUUAUCAAAAAUGGAAUUCAAGUGAUAUGACCUACAUUAUAAUCCAGAUAUUGAUGUACAAGAUCAUUAAUCAAUAAUAUCAAACAAAUAAAAAAAACAUCAGAAUAAAGAAUGGGUAACAAACAAACUCUUGCACAUGAUAGCUAACACAAGAUGCACAAAGAAAUUCAUCCCAGGUUCAGGUGUUCAAGUCAGGUGAUGUUCUAGAAGACCAAGCUUUAAUCACUAAAGAGAUUUUGGGGUUCUUUUCCCCAGUUUUACUUGGCCAAGGUUGAGCAUGAUUAGUAUCAAAAGAAAGGAUUGGACAACCAUUUCUUGUGGUGUGAGGUGUCCAGACUUACUUCUGACCAAAUCAUGCACAACAAAGCUAUCCGAAUCAAAAAUACAUUAUACUCAUUAUUGGCCCAUGCCAGCAUUGUAAUAACCCAAAACUUCCAGCACAUACAUCUUUUUUUCCUCAGAAUGUUUUGGUAAAAAGGUCCUUCUAAAGGCAAAUUACCACCAAUCACUCUGAGAAUCAGGAAUUUAAAGUGCAUGUUCUAUGCCAACUCAUGGAGAUGAGACCAUACAUACCUGCACUGGUUUUCUCCUCAAUACUUGAAAUGCUUCUGCCCUCAUUGACAAAAAUCUAAGAAAUUUCUUAGUUAAUAUAUUUUCUAGUUCAUCAGCCUGCUUUACCUAUACAACCAAAAAAGAUAUGCAUAUAAGGAGACAGCCGCAUGGCAAUUCAAUAGAAUAAUAAUUUUAUAUUACUAUGAAUUCUUCAAUACGAAAGAUGGUAUGCAAUCCUAAUGAUAAGGAAAAGAAAAUGACCACAAAUGAUCUAUUAUCUGCCAAAAUGCUGUUUUUGAGCCAAGUUCCAGUUCAAUUGCAAGCUAAGAAGCCAAUUCUGACACAAGUUUCGGCCAAGGUAGGGUGAAAUGGUUUCAGUGGUAAACGCAUAUGAACCCACAUUUGACAUUCAGCAUUAAUUAUCUAGUGUAAUAGAAAGUUACUCUAGAAGGUGUCUAAGCUUUGUGCCUUGAGCUUUGCCUUGAGGGGAAAUACAAGGGAUAAAGCCUCCACUUUCAGCCCUUGUAGCAUAAAUUGUUGGAAGCUUGCAUUAGAAUGUUAUGCUCAUAGGAUGCAUACAUGACUUCAAAUAACAUUUUGUGCUUGAAAAAGAGAUUUAUGAGAAAUCCAUCAAGGGAUUUACGUAAUAAUGAUUUGAGUCCAAAAAAGGCUCAGGAAAAUACUUACUCUCUCCUUCCUAUUCUUUGAUGCCCAUAUUGGGAUUGUACAUGUGAGGAAGAGAAUUCUUUUAAAAAUAAGUACACAAUUUAAGGACUAUAUGUGACAAUGACUGAACUCAAAAAAUGCCCCAGAUAAAUACUCUUCCUCCCUCCUUGAAAUCAAUUGGAAGAGGUUAACAGUAUCUUGCUUAGAAUACCCAAUCUUUGAUUCCAAUAUUAAGAUUGUACAAGUCAGGAAGGGAAAUGUCAUCAAUUUCAGAGUUUUGGUAGAUCAAACAUUGCUUUGAUAGAUCAAGCUAGCACAGAAGAGGUAGCAACAGCAGUUUUGCUCCAAACACCCAAUCUUUAAAACCCAUAUUAAGACUGUACAAGUCAGGAAGGGAUUUGCCAUCAAAUUUAGAGUUUUGAUGGACCAAAUGAGCAAGUACAGUUUUGGUAGAUCAACCUGCACACUAGAAGAAUUGAAGGGUUUUACGUGGUAAUGAUGCAGUAUGUGAUAAAAAUGCCCCAUCCAUCCCUUAGAUCAAAGCUGCAUAAUAAAGAAGAAAUCAAUUGGCAGCUUACACUUUUGGCGGAUCAAACUUCCAUGAUAGAAGAAAAAGAGGAGGGCCUUACAUUAUCAUGAUACUUUGUACGAUAAUAAAUACUCCCUCCUUCACAUCAGUUAGAAGAUGAUCAACCAAACCCUAACUCCAUAUUAAGAUUGUAUAAGUCAACAACUUGAAAAUUGUGGAGGAUAUGGAGAAAAGUGAGAUGCUGCCCACAGGAAUUUUUGGAGGAUCUAGCUUAUGAGCUAGAUUGCAGGAGAGUUAACCUCCAUUGAUGGUACUUGGGAAUGCUGGUGGGCGCUCAAUCCAAGCCCCUUUGGUGUGGGAGUCAGUAGAAGACAAUGUUUUUAAGUACUUUGAAGGCUUAGGUGUUAACCUCAAGUACCUUCUUAAGCCUCAAUACAAUGUACUUGAGGCUUAAGCCUCAUCUUGCUGAGGUGCACAAUCCUGAGGCGCACAAUCUUGAGGCUCAAGCCUUGAAGCUGUUGAGGCUUAAGCCUUAGAUAUUUAUGGCUUUUUAUGAAUAUGGGCCUUCUUGGGCCUCAAUAUCCAAUGGAUUUUAAUGUUUUGGGCUUUUGGUAUCCUAUUUUAUAAGUUUUGGGUCCUAGGCUUGACUCUUGGGUUAAUUUUUAAAAAGUAGGGGUUAAUUGGAUUCUGUUAACCCUUCAAAAAAAGGAACAAAAAGAAAGAAAGAAAAAGAGAUUUAGAGGAAAAAAGAAGAGUUCUUGGCUAUCAGGUGUUAGGUUUUUUAUUUUGGAGGAGAGCUAAUUUGCUGCUGGAGUUGCUUAAUUAGCUGGUUUGGGGUUGCUAUACUGCCCCUUACUACCAAUGCUUUGCUUGAAGCCUGAACUUCUACCACUACAAUUGUUGGAUGAAGAAUAAGAAUGGGCAAGCAUUAAUAUUGCUAGAGAGGAUGCUAAAGAGAAUAAUAGAGCAAUAAUGUGAUGAUUCCUUAGAUUUAUCAAAAAAAAAAAGUGAUGAUUCCUUAGAUGCUCCCACUAGUGAUAACGGUGAUGUUGAAGAAUGAAGACUAAUUUGAUCGAACCAUGACUUUGGAUUUUGAAAGAUAGAGGAACUAAAUUAGAAAUUAUUACGACAAACAAAGGAAAUUCUUAUAAUAAAUUCUAUGGUUUUCUAAUUGCUCUAUUUUUAUGUGAUUUUAUUAAAAGUUUAUCCUUUUUUUUGUUUGUUUUUUACCCCUUUGAGGCUGAUGUCUCAUUACACUUUGCUUCCUUUGAGAAAAACACUUCAAGAUCACUCUUAAACUUUUAAAACACCAAUUGAAGAAAGAUUUCGGAAAAGGCUAACCUCCUAGAAAUGCCAAUAUCUCUCCAAGGGAGAAGUGCUCAUUUUGUUGAAAAACACUCUAUCUAGGCCUACCAAUCUAUUUCUUAUGGGCUUUUGUAACACCUCAUAAGUAUAGGAUAGGCUAGAAAGAAUUCAAAGAGAUUUUUUAUGUGGUGGAGGUCUUCCUAAAAGGAAAAUUCAUCUUUUACAGUGACUGAUUGUUUGUUGUGGAAAGUCCAUAGGGAGUUUGGGCAUGAGGAGCCUUUGAUCAACUUACCAAGGCAUUAUUAGGAAAGUGGUUGUGCAGAUUUGCCUAUGAGUGUGACAGCUUUUGGAGAGAGGGUGAUUGUAUAUCUUGACAGCUUUUGGUGGAUUGUUUGUUUGCAAUGUACCUUGAAAUUAAUUUUCAAAUGCAUAAUAGCAGAUCUUUUAUGAGCUUGAAGGGGUGCCAACCAAGUUUUUUUUCUGAUAGGUUUUCAAAGUGAUGCAUUGCUUAUGAAAUUCACAUGUUUUGUGUGCUCAAGAUAUUACAUAUAUGAUCUGCAUGCUGCAAAUUUGACCUAGAAGAGAAAAAAAAAAAAAAAUUAUAGACUCGGAUGAACCAAAAAUGAAAACGCCCCACAAUUACAUAUUCUUACUCAAUAAAACCAAGUGAAUUACCAAAAACUAAAAGCAUCACACCAAUUAAGCUUCAUAGAAUUGUAAACAAAUAUGUUUUCAAAGUGAUGCAUUGCUUAUGAAAUUCACAUGUUUUGUGUGCUCAAGAUAUUACAUAUAUGAUCUGCAUGCUGCAAAUUUGACCUAGAAGAGAAAAAAAAAAAAAAAAUUAUAGACUCGGAUGAACCAAAAAUGAAAACGCCCCACAAUUACAUAUUCUUACUCAAUAAAACCAAGUGAAUUACCAAAAACUAAAAGCAUCACACCAAUUAAGCUUCAUAGAAUUGUAAACAAAUAUAAAUAAGUGAUAACCUACACAGAUAGUUUGAUAUGCAGUCGAUUUUAUCAUAUACACUAGAUGGAAACAGUUACACUGAUGUUCCUGAAGUGAUAUAUUUGAUCCACAAGCAACAAGAGACAUAAGAAGCAUCCAAACAUAGUUAUCAGGUUUUACCUUGAGGCUUAUUCGCAGUGAAUUGAUAGAUGUUUCUAUCAAGCAUUUUUCAGCUUCAUUCCGACAAAUCAAAACCUGAAAUGAUAAUUUCAAAAAUAAAAAUACAAUCCUUGAAAUGCAAGUGACAUCCAUGGUUUAGAUGUAAAAGAACACAAAACAAUGUACAACAUUUAUAGGUUCAAGAAUCCAUUGCUAUCAAUUUUCAAAAGAAUAAGUGUAAUCAACCAUAAAAUUCAAAUAGCAAGUGAAAGAGAGAGAUGGAUAGAGCCAUGAACAGAAUAUUUUCUUCUUAUUCCUUCCCAAACAUGAUAUUCACUUCAUUUACCAUGGUUUCUAUAUCACUAUUCUGGAAACAAUGGGUUCAAACUUCUGAUUGCAACAGCUAUUUUCAGCUAAAAUACAAGCUUUCAGAAAAAGAGAACCAAAAAAAAAAAAAAAAAACAGCAAAAAGCUAAAGCAAAGAAGUGAUAUUAAUCAGACCAUUUAUGAAAUUGCAUGUAAUAUGGCAUGUAAAACUCUCAGAGGAAAGUGGCUGAUACAAUCAGAAGUUUGAACCCAUUGUUUCCAGAAUAAUGAUAUGGAAACCAUGGUAAACGAAGUGAAGAUCAUGUUUGGGAAGGAAUAAGAAGAAAAGAUUCACAGCCAAUGCUUAUGAGUAUGCCAAAACUUGGAUAGCUGAUACAACUUUGUAGAUUUUUAUAUUAAAUCCCUUACAAAUGGAAAAUGUUUCCAUCUAUAUGUGUCUUUUUGUGUGUGGUAAUCAACUUCCUGCAAACCUUAACAUCAAUAUAAAAUACAAAGCAACAACCAGAAAGUUAACCCAGUGUGAUUAAGAAACAACAUGAAAUGUAAUAGCAGCAGAGAUACAGAUUGGAAAAUUCUUUGACAAUUGAUGAAAAUGGUAUUAUGAAUGAUGAGAUCAAAUUGGUGGCAUUUUCAGGAAGGAUGAAAUUAAAGACAAAACUUAAAGCAAUAUUCUUAUUGAAAAAGUAAUUUCCAAUUUUCCCCAUGAGCUUAUUGACAAACUGAAACCUAGGAAACUUGGCCCUGUGAAGUUGGAAAGAGUGAUUCUAAUGCUAACAUGGUGGAGUUGACUGAUGAUCUCCAUAACAGUCCUAAGCUUAAUAUAUAUGAAUUGCUCAACUUCUAUGAGUUUAAUGAUGACUUUGUUAUCAUGUAGCAUAGACCAAGUAACUCAUUGAGAGGCCUAGAAAUGAUCUGGGGUAGUACUUGUUUGGUUUGGAAAGAAAAGAGACCAGAGUAAAGUGAAUCAAUGCAAGAAAAAAAGCUCAUUGUUUCCAAUUAUUUCAUCAGGCCUCAGCACUAGUCUUAACAGUCAAUAAGAACGCUUUUCAGUAUUCAAUUGGUGAAUGGAAACAAACAAAUCUGCAGAAGCUUAGAAACACUAAGAAUUGCAUUGAUGUUAUUACAAAACUUCAAAGAAAAAUGAAAAAAUUUUCUGUUAGAUCUGAUAUAAAGAAGAUGGUUCUUACUGGAUUUAGCAGAACUUCUGGACUUGUCCUGAAAAAUACAAAGAGGAUAAAAUAUGAAGAUUAUCCCAGUGGAACAUUUCAUGUAAAUGGAAGUGAUGCUGGAGUAAAUAAACAAAGUAUACUAAUAGGUCAUGAAACAAAUAUGGUGCAUAGAAGAAAACAUGCCUACAAUGUCCAAUAUAGGAUGAUUCUGAUGAUAAACAUGUAUGGGACAGGAAAAUAAUUGAAAUGAGAACUUAUGCACGUUCAGCGUGGUGCCUAACAGUUGCAAUUUUUAUCAAGCAUCCACAAAAUACCUUUGUGCUUUCACUUAAAGUUAUUACAAUAAAUCAUGAUACUUAUAGUUGCAAAUUUACCAGUGUAUCCAAGCAAAUGCAGUAAGGUAGUAUCACUAUACUUUACAAAUGUGUGCUCAUGCACGCACACACACAAUGGGUAUAGCUGAAGGUAAAGAUGAUAUAAGAUUGGUGAAUCAAGUAAAACUGACAAAGAUAUUUAUAGAACUCUUGGUUUGAGAAAAGGAGAAGAUGAUCUCUAAAACAGAUAUUAUGUGAAAACAUUGGAGAACAUAUAUUACAUAGAAAGAUUAGAGAUUAUAAUGAAAAGAAAUAUAUCAUGCACACACAAAAAGGAAAAGGGAACCAUCUGUGCCUACAUCUCCAAAGAAUAAAGGGAGAAUCAAUAUCUUAGAAUCUGACAAUCCCUUAGGAGGUCAAAGAAGGAGUUUUUGAAGUAGCUUAUUUUUGUCAGAUCAUCUGAUUAAAACAGAUUGCCCUGAUGACGAAAAUGUACCAGUUGGAAUCCCUAUUUUUCAAAAGCCUUCAAUGAUUGGGAGGUGGAGGAGGCAGAAAGAUUCUUGGAGUGGCUUCAUGGGAAGAGAGUGCGGAAAUGUGGAUGAUAUGGUGUUUUGGACCGAAACAAAGAGUGAGAAGUUCUUGGUCAAGUCCCUCUACCUUGCUCUAGAAGCGGGCUGCCCUUCUUUGUUUCCUUCUAGCUGCAUUUGGAAUGUGUGGGUGCAGCCCAAGAUUAGCUUUUUUGCGUGGGAGGCUACGUGGGGCAAAGCCUUAACCCCAAAUCUUAUUCAGAAAAGAGGAUGGGCCUUGGAAAAUAGAUGUUUUAUGUGCCUUGAGAAAGAGGAGAUCAUAGACCAUCUUCUUCUACAUUGUACAAAAACAAGAGUCUUAUGGGAUUUGCUUUUUUAUUUGUUUGAGGUGUCAUGGGUGCCGCCUUCAUCAAUUAGAGAGACUCUCCUUAGUUGGCAUGGUUCUUUUGUGGGCAAAAAGCGCAAGAAGGUGUGGAGAGCAACUCCUCUUUACAUUUUUUGGACGGUUUGGAAGGCGAAAAAUAGAUUGACCUUCAAGGAUGAUGUGUUGUCAAUCCAGAAACUCAAAUACUCUUUUGUUCUUUCUCUUUGGUCAAAGGCCAAGUUGUUUAUAGUCAAUUGCCCUCUAACUAUAGUUAGUUUUAUUGAUUGGUUGGGUUCUAACUAAGGUUGUUUGUUGGGCCAGCUGGGUGUUUUUCUUCUUUUUUGGCCAUUUUGGCGGUGGGUGUAUAAGUAUUGUAUACUUUGAGUCGCUUUUUUGGCACCUCUUUUUAUAGUAGAUCUUUUCUUACCUAUCAAAAAAAAAAAAAAAAAAAAAAAGAAAGGAAAAAGAAAAAAUCCUGUCAAGGUAGAUAUGUAUAUAAGACUUUAAAACUUUUCAAGGAAAACUAGAGUUUUAAAAUUUGACAGCAUGACUAUACCGUACAGGGUCAGUCUUGGUUAGACAGUAAGGUUAUGAGGAAAUGCCAUCAUCACUUGAAAAACAGACUAGAAUUAUUUAUGUAACCGUCAGUGACUUGGAUAAGCUCAAUAAAUUUAGAGAAGACGACAUUUCCCAAAUUCCCAAUCUGAAGUUAUUAGAUUUUUCCACUUCUUCCUCAUUCCAUAUUACCUUAAAUAUCCAAUGAUAAAAGAGCAUAAGCUCCAUCGUAUUUCUUGACAAUAUGUACAACUUAAAUGUGAUCAUCAGCUCACCACAUAUCUAUGAUAUAAAUAUAAAUAUAUACUAAGGUUUGCCCUUGAGGUCAGCUCAAGUGGUAAAGGAUUCAAAGGAUUUGUGAAGAUGGUUCCAGUUUCAAGUCCCAAUGGAAACAAAAAAUUUACCUAAAAAAUUCAAUUUAAUUGGCGUUUGGUUCGUAAUUCAAAAGGGUUGGACAACAAUGAAAGGAAUUGUGUUUGGUUUUGAUAAAUGGCCAUAAUUGAACUAAUUUUUGCAUAGGUGUCCUUUCAUAGUGGAGGAGCUUCAGUCAUAUUCUGAUCAGAUUAUUGUAUUUUGUGGAGAGGACCCCUCACCCUUCUCUUGUACUUUUUAUCAAUGUCUAUUAUAUCUUUGUUUCUAAUCAAAAAAAAAAAAAAUACAUAUACUAGGGUUUGUAAAGUAAAAACAAUUUUAGCAUUUUAAUAUGGUGAUACAUACUACUUUAAGGAAUAAAGUUUCCUCAGACAAAAAAAAAUCUGUGACUUUACCACUUCUAGCUAAAGAUUCAAGCUUUUAACGUGUGAUCAAAAUUUUGUGAUGAUGAUUGUUCUGGGGCUGGUAUUAUAUGUAAAUGAUAUAGAAAUGGAAUCUAUCCAGUACUCAUGGACUAAGAUUCCAACAGAGUCACUUAAUUUUCAUUGCACCAUCACCAGGAUUUAAUUAUGAUAGCACAAUCACCAGGAUUUAAUUAUCAUUGCACUAUCACACGGAACCCUUGUUGAAAGCCGAAACCAGUCAACCGCUACAGUUCAUAGCAGGUCAUACAUUUAAAAGCUACAAGUUUAAAUUAUGCAAACUGAAAAUAUGGUAAUGUCUAAAUCUAAGAGAAAAAAGAGAUGGAAAAUAAAUAAAUAAAAAGAAAAUCAAACAAAGAUGAUGUUUUCAACUAGUUUUCUAUCUACCAGAUUGUAUAAGGAAUAUAGGACACUUCCACCCAAGAAAAAUUUUAAGCAAUGCAAAAAAUAGAUACUAUAUGCAUUUUAAAAAAAAAAAUUAUCUUCUGAUGUGAGAGCAUAUUCGCUUUCUCUUUCUAUGACAUAUUCAAGAGUUAAAAAGGAAAUCAGAAUUCUAUAAUGAGCAAAAGAAGAAAGGAACACAAGCAUAAAAGGAAAAAAAUCCUUCUGGAACCAAUGAACAUACUUUAGUUCAACCUCUGGUUUGUUAUGCCUUUCAACUUCUUGACAAGGGAAGUUCUGCAACCAACACAUGGAAACAUGAUGAUUAUCUUGGCAAGUUAGAAAACAGUUAGACAUCAUAAUCAUGCUUAAGUAGAAUGGUUGAGCGAAGAAAAAAAAUCCAAGGCCUAGAACAAUAAUUCAAGGGGAAAUUCUCAUGAAGCAAGGGAAAACGGCAAGCUUGAUCAUAUUGACAAUCAUGAGCAACCACAAAUAAGAAAACUAACUAGUUGGACAUAAAGAAGAUCCACCCAGCAACACCUUGUCAAGACAUUUUGUUGCAAUCUUAAUCUUAUGUGUUGGUACCAAAAGCAAUACAGUAGAUUUUUAAGGGUUAGCAUGGUUGUGGAAAGGAACAAGAAUGGCAUUCUAUAUUCAUUAUAGAAUACUUCAAAGUUUAUGGAAUGGAAAAAAACCCAGACAGGACCAACCUCCAAACAUUAUAGAUAAGCACAAACCAAUAUAGAAAUAGACAGACAGAAAGAUAAAAUCUCAAAAUUUUGACCAACAACCCAAAUAAACCAUGAAACGGUGGUACUCAUGCAGAAUUUCAUAAGUUAACAAGCAACUGAAUGGACAGACAAAAAUCUACUACCAACUUGUACAAAUAAAAAUUUAUUCACUUUUUGAAAUUAUUAGCCAAUCAUGCACACAUUCAAUUUUAUUUUAUUUUUUGAAAAAAAUAAAAAUAAAAACACACACGCACACGCACACAAACGCCAUGAAUUGAAAAACGGAUUAUGUCAAGUCCCUGUACUCCCAAUCAACCACUAUAUUCAAUUCAAGAUAUGCAAUCAAAAUCUGAUGUCUGAUAAAAUUACAGAUACAGCAUACCUGCAGGCACAUGGCAGCUUCAAGAGUGUUCCGUAUGCAAGUGAAAUACAAUCGAGAUGUGUUUGCCUGAAAAUAUUAAAAAACUGAGUAAACUUACUGGUAAGGGGGCAGAAAUAGAACUCUACGCACUGAGCAGCCAAACCCAAAACUACAACAAAAUUGAACAUAAAAUUUUGCAACCACAAUUGAAACUUUUACAUAUUCAAAUUUAUUCAGUUCCCCAUAGCAUUUGAUGCCAAAUGAAUUGAACAAACAAACCAACCAAAAGUAAACACCAAAGUUCCUAACCCUCGGUUCAAUUGCUGAGAAAACUAAACAAAUCCUAAAUCCAAUGUUUGGUUAAUCAAUAAAAAUAAAAAUGACCUUAUUAAUGACAAAAAUUUUGUAUGAUACAUUUGUCAAUCAAUCACAUAUUUAGGAGCUUUCAUUUCUUUUCCUACAUCAUAAAAGAACUUAUCUAAAUAAACCAUGAUGAGUUCAAAGGUUUUCAUAGCUUGCAAGAUCCCGCAAAAUGACAAAUUAAGAACCCUAAAUGACAUUAAGGAGAUAAAUUGCAGGAAAAAAAAAAAACGAAGCUUUGAAACUUCAAAUUUUGAACAGAAUAUAGAUCCGGAUAACAAAAUGACGCUAGUACAUGUGAGUAGGGGAAUUGAGAUGAGUGUUGUAACUUCCGGAAACACAAGAACCAAACAGACAAAAGAAAUUUUAUUUCCGUAAUUUCUGAUCAAGCAAAGAAGAAUGAAUAGGACAUCAGGGGUUACCAUGGAUCAGGAUGGCUGCUGCGGAAAAGUGGAGGUGGUGAUGAAAAGGAACCACUUCAGGACCCAGUUCUCCUCCUAUGCCACCAUGGAUCUGGAUGGUGGAAACCUUGACGCUAUGACGCCUGCUGGGGAAACUGUAGGUGGCCCAACUGUGAUGGUGAUGGUGAUGCAGAUGAACCACUUCCCCUCCUCGCCCAACCAGGGAAUAGGCCCUGAAAAUAAACUUCAAAAUUUUAAAAUAUUUUUUUGAAAAUAAUCAAAUCAUAAAUAGGGAAGAAAAAGAAUAAAUUCGAGUCACGUUUUUCAUGUUUUUUUCCAAAUACGAUUUUUGGAAAAUUAAUAAAUAAAUAAAAAUAAUAACUUGGUGUUUAGAUAUUCAAUUGUUAGUAGUGAAUAAGUCUUUAUUUGUUCCGGUUUUUUAAAUAAUUUUAAAAAAUAAUUUUUAAGAUUUUUCAAAAUUAUUAUAUAAUGUUUUAUAAAAUAAUUUUUUUUUUAAAUCUAAAAUAUUUUUAACUUAUUUUUAAAUAUAUUUUAAAAAUAAUUUUUAUGUUUAGUGUUUUAUUUUUAAUCAUUUUACAUGUUUGUAAAAUUAUUUAUUAAUACGAAACGAUAUAAAAUAAUUAAAAUAUGUUUUUUAAAAAUAACAUGUUUUCUAUUAUUAAGAAUAGAAAAUAAAAAAUAGUUUUUGAUUGUGAAACAUGUUUCCUAAAUUGUAUGUUUUGAAUAACAAAAGAUUGUUUUUUAAAACAGUUAUCAAACAAUUCCUUAAUUUAUAGAAUUUUGUGUCAAAAUGACCUUAUACUCAAACAAAAUAUAUUGUCAUGAGGCAAAUUAAGUCAAGUUUUUAGUUUUUAAAAAUAAAAAAAAAUUAAAAUUUUUUACAUGUUUGAUGGUAGUUUUUAAGUUACAAUUUUAAAAAUAAGAUUAAAAAUAAUAUUUUUUUAGAGAACAAGCUCAAGUUGUUCUCUAUUGUUUUUUAUAAGUAAAAGAUGAUAAAAAAAAUUUUAAAAAGAAAAAAAGAAACUCACGAUAAAAAGUCAUGAUAGAGAAAGGAGAGGUUCUUGGUAUUCAAAAUGCAAAAAGAUAGAAUGAAGAAGAGACGUGUCUCUUAGGUUAGGGUUUUCCUCUCAUAUCAUGCACAUUUCUUUGGCUUCCUCAUAAAGAUUUCUUCUAGUUUUAACAUUUUCCACUUUUUUUGAGUUUAUGAACUUUUAUUCUUCGUUUUUUGUGUUUGAUUUAUACAUUUUAUAUAUUUUUAUUUGCAUUGUUAGAGAAAUCUAACUUAUGAUGAUUUGAAAGCAAGCCUUUGAUUUUUAGAUUAGAUGUGAUGUGGGUUUUGCUUGUUUGGAUGCUAUUUUUGUGAAAUGAAUUAUAUGUUUCGGCCUAAUUUUGGUAAAUGUAUUAUGUAAUUUCCUAAUAAUAAAUUUUUUUUUCCAAUUUUACUAGGUAAUUAUCAAUGAUUUUGGUUUGAUUUUUCUUAUUAUGAAGGUUUUCUAGCUAAAGUUAGAUUAUUUCAAAAGAAAAAUUAUCAUUUGAUUGUCAAAUUAAUCUAUUGUAAAUAUUGUGAUAUUAUAUUAAAUAUCAUCUAUCAUGUUAUCUAUAUUUGAAUCAUAGAAUUGAUCUUUUGUAACCUCAACUAUAUUGUCGUCCUAGACUCGAAAGCUUUGAUAUUAGUACAAAUUUUAUUUUCUAAAAGUGAUUUUUUUAAUGGCAUUGAAUCUUGUUGUAUAGACUUACAUGUUGGAAAUUGUCUUCCACUUAUACCAUUUUACAUCAAUUAUAUCAUCUCUUUUAUCUAUGUAAAACCCACAUAGAGUGGUUACAAUCCUUUUAUGUUCUAAAAGUACCAUAUAGGGUGGGUUGGGUGUGAAAAUGACCCGAAAGGGUCACUCAAUGUGAUAGGUCCUCGGAGGGUCAGGAGAAAUUUUGAAAAUUCCGCCAAAUGCCAAACUUUUUUAAAUUGCCAAAACUACCCUUAACAACCCAAAAAAAAAAAGAACAAGAAAAGGAACCUAUGUGAAGUCAAAACCCUUAAAAAGUUGUUGUCUAUGUAUAUCAAGCAAAGAAAAAAAGGAAAAUUACUGAUUCGUCCCUAGCAGCGGCAGUGGCAACGGCACCAUUUGAUUCGGGGUUCGAUCCUCGGCAACGGCGCCAUUUGAUUCGUCCUUAGCAGCGGUAGUGGCAACGGCACCAUUUGAUUCGGGGUUCGAUCCCCGGCAACGGCGCCAUUUGAUUCGUCCCUAGCAGCGGCAGUGGCAACGACACCAUUUGAUUCGAGGUUCGAUUCCCCGGCAACGACGCCAUUUGAUUCGUCCCUAGCAGCGGCAGUGGCAACGGCACCAUUUGAUUCGGGGUUCGAUCCCCGGCAACGGCGCCAUUUGAUUCGUGCCCAAUUAGUGUCUUAGCUGAUUCGUGUCCAGCUAGUGCUCCUUGAUUGAGGGAGUAAUCAACAAAAUUUAUAACCUAUUACACCAUAUACUAGGGUAGCAAAGACAAAGCUACUAUAGCAUAGUGGCUCUAGGAUCGUUCACUGGGAUGGGUUUUCACUUUGCAAAUGAUAUUAAUUCAAAGCUGAAUUGGUGUCUUUUCAUUUCAAGGUUAGCUUUAAAAGAAAACAUAAAGAUGUUUGAAUGAAAAAGGUUUAGAUUUAAACUAACCAAAAAUAGUAACUGAUUUUACUUACAAAGAAAAGUGUUUCUUGGAGUUUAGAUCACUAGGCUCAGGUUCCUCAUACAAAAAGGGAGAGUUCCGGUCACUUGUUUCUUUUCCUCACAUUAGAGAAUUAACAUAUAGUUAAUUCUCUAACCGGUGUUGUACAGAUGCUUCCCAUUAAUGGGUUCAAACACUAAAUCUCUCUCACUGAUGUACCUUGCAAUGACUCAUACCUCUCACCUAGCACUUGCCAUUCAAGAUGAUCUUUAACCUUGGACUUCCCUUCAAAAGCUCGCAAGAGAUAACUAAUGGAUGUCUCCUUGGAGUCCAAAAGCAUACCAAGUGUUGGCUAUUCCAGAAAAUCCUACCUUCAAGUCACCUCCCAAAGGCUCGCAAGAGAUAAACUAGUGAAUCUUCAUGGACGGAGAUCACUUGCCUUACCAAGUGUUGGCCCAGGUGAUUUAAAGGUGUUUUAAGUUAACUAAAAAGAUAAAAACCAUUAACGGGUCACACUUUCUCUUCAUUAAAAACUAAAAUAACAAAACUUCCAAUUUAUGCAUGUGGAAACUUACCCGGAUUUCCUCACUCCAAGAGACAAAGAAUCUAGCCUCUCAUCCUCUAAGGAAAAAUCCUCAGAGUUUGGUUGGCUAGAAAAUGAAAAUGAAAGAGAAGACAAGAAUAUAUAUGAAAAACAGAGCAAGUGCUCUGUUAGUUGAUUCUAUAUAUGAUAUAUCUAUCUAUUGAUCGAUUACAUGAUCCUAUAUGAUGGAUCUCCUGGAACAAGCUCCUCCGAGAGUCCCCCAAGAGUCCCCUUUUUUAGUGUUUACAAGAGAGUUUAUAUAGGAAGGUAAUUUACCCAUCCUUGGAUACUUCCUAGCUAAGGAAUUACAUGAGUGGUUGAAUACAAGGAGAAAAUGGAAAUUUAGACACAAAAAUCUGAAGAAAAAUAUCUCAAAGUGUCGGUCGCAAAUAUCGGGAAGCACUAAGGACCAUUUCGCAGGUGAAAACGAGGUCUGCAAGAUUUCGCAGACGCACAAAAAGGGCUGCGAAAUCACUUCGCAGCAAAAGGUUAUUCUCGCAGGGCUGCGAAGUUGGCUUUCAUCUUGAGGUGCUCAGCUUCCAACUUGCGGCAUAUAUCGGGCAACUUCAGGAGGAAUUUCAAAACACUGUACAAAAAGGCUGCGAAAUCAUCUCGCAACAAAAGGGUGAUUUCGCAACACUUUGCAAAUUUCUUCCUUCAGCUUGGAGUGAUCGACUUGUAGUGGCUGUAACUUCUUCGUUUCAACUCCAAAUUGUGCACCGUUUGAAGCAUUGGAUUCUUGACUUCCUGAGCUUUGAAAUGGUAUAUAGCAUGUACAAAAUGGACUUUGGGAAGUACUCCAAAAGUGCGCAAGAAGACUGCAGCUACUGUCCUCUGUUUUCUUCACUCUGUUUUUCCUCUCUCCAUUGUUCUUUCCUUGCAUACUUUGAACGACUAAGGCAAAGGAAUAUGAGGCUCCAAAGCUUGGUUCUUCAUGAAUUUGAGCUUCCAAAAGCUUUGCCAUAACUUGUCCAAGUAGCUCCUCCAUCAUUUGGCAUGCUUGAAUUGAUUCAUAAGCUGAUAAAAACAUGUAAACUUGCCACAAAAUGGUUAAAACCAAUUACUAAGGACCUUAAUGAAUUAAUUGGGUUAAAUGAAUAUGAUUACUACUCAAAGGUGCUUAAAACCAUUAUAAUUAGGUCUACAAAAUAACACUUUUUGGUAGUAAUCAAUUACUAUAGCCCAACCUUAGGUUUGUGAACUUCAAUUUCUGCAAAAAGUUUUUUUAUUUAUGAAUCCAAUAAAGAAUCUAUCAAGGGUAAGAAGAAAUAAUUUUUUAAAAUACUCAAAAAACACGAAAGUACCCCUGUCUAUGAAGUGAAGAAUAGAUACAUGCUUUAUUUAUUUUUUUCUAUAUGUAAUUUUUUUUUUAAAAAGGAAUAGUUUAAAACUUGCAUUAAAGAAUGAGAUGUUCACGAUUUUAACAAUAUAGAUCUAAUAAAUUAGAUCUGAUAGAUUAAAAAGGGUUUAAGAAAAAAAAUGUCCAUAUUUUUUUUAUAUAAAAUGUUGUCAAAUAUUUUUUCUAAUUGUUUGAUAUGAUUUUGGUCAUUUUGAGUGUAACGGUCAGAGCAUUUUAUAUAAAAAAAUGUCCAUAUAUUUUUUAUAUAAAAUGUUGUCAAAUAUUUUUUCUAAUUAUUUGAUAUGAUUUUGGUCAUUUUGAGUGUAAUGGUUGGAGGCCUUUUUUUUUUUUCCUAAGUGUUUGAUAUAAUUCUCAUUGAUUCUCAUUAAAAAGGUUUUCACUCUAGCUUUGUUGUUAGAGACGGUUUAAAAUGACAUAGAAAAAAAAAUCUCAUUUAUUUUAUGCUUGUUUGAGACCACUUCCUUUGUAUAAUUGUGAACUAGUUUAGAGUGUCAUUGAAAAUUGGAAUCACUUUGGCUAUGUUUUGUUUCCGAAAAAUUCGAGGGAAAAUGUGAGGGAAAGAAAAUAGAAACGAAAAGUGGAAGAAAAUAAAAAAUGAAGGAAAAUAAAAAAUAGAUUCAAAAUUAAUAAAUUAUUUUUACAUGUUUCUUCAAACCCAUUUCACUUAAUUUCCUCUAUUAUAUAAAGAUUAAAUAAUUUUAAAAUGUAUAAAUUUCUAACUAAUUUUAAUUAUAUUUAAAAAAAUUUAUAGUGAAACAAAACAUGAGAAAAUCAUUUUUUUUUUUUUUCUUUCCUUGCUACUUUCCGGGAACCAAACAUAACCUUUGUAUAUGACAACUUUGUCUUUUAUUAUGAAUUUGUUAAAGGAUUAGGAUCAUUAUAUUUUUGUUAUGAAUUUGUUACCUUUUGUACGAGUAAUAUAUUUGUAUAAUGUGUUGGAUGCCAACUAGUUUGAAGGUUUUGUAAAAUCAUUACUUUUAUUAUAAAAUACAAGUACGAUACAAAUUUGCUAUAGUUACAAUAUAAACACAUUAAUAUUACAAUACAUUAUAAUAUACCACUUCACAAAAUAUUGAAUUGAUUUUUACUCAACUAAUAUUUGUGCACUAUUAUGUUGUAUUCCUAGUAUGCUCAAUGUUGUACAACAACCUUGGAAGCCAAAUGAAGUAGUAAUAUGAAUUCACAAUGAUUUUAUGCUUUUUAUAAAAAUUAAUUAGUAAUUUCAAUACAUCGGGUUGUUAAUAGUAAUUCAAUAAUGUAUAAAUAGACAUCUAUAAAAUUAUUUUUUUUAUAAAAAAAAAUAUAUGGGUACAAUACAAAUACACUACACUUACAAUACAAAUACAAUAACAUUACGAUAAAAUAUAAUUUUGAAAAUUUAAAAUUUCUUACAAAACUAGGUAAUUGUGGGUUAGUUUGCUAUAUCUCUAGCAUGCCUUAUGAAUUACAAAUAUUGUUCUUUAUGAUACAAGAUAUUUUAAAAUUAAUUAUGAUUUUUAUUAAUUGGUUUUCUAUUUAUUAUAACAUUUACCUUGGUUGUAAUAUUGUAAAAUAAAAUGAUUUGAUUGUCAUUGAAAUAAGGCUUACUUUUCCAUUGGUAAAUGGACUUAAGAAAUUCUAUUUAUAGUUACCUUUAUGAAGGAGGAGAAAUUGUACCUAGAAUGAUAAACAAAUACAAUACAAGAGUGAACAACAAAAAGACAUACAUUGAAUUAGGAAUGUCAUAUAAUGAUUUUGUUUCAAAGGCAUGUGAAUGGUUGGAUAUUAAUCCAAGUACGCAUUUUAUUACACCCCUCAGUUUGAUCCAUCCACACUUUAGCAAUUGAAUAUCUACUAUACCAUAAUUGUAUGUGUAAAUGUACACCAAUGCAUAGGGUGACUAUUAGAAUUUCUAAAUCAAAAGAUAACCUAAAUAAGUUAUAAUUUUGUUGUCAAUAUGCUAAUAUUAUAGACAACUAUCAUAUCUUUAAAUGGGUGUCCCCUGAAGAAUUUGGUGAUAAUAACACCUACCAAGAACAACAAGAGGUUGUUGAAAGAAGAAUGUAUGCAGUGAAUAAAGAUGGCAAAAAUAUUUUAACAAAAACAGAGUUAAUGCAUAAAGCAAUUUUAGUUGGACUAUUUCUUUUAUUUUUGGUUGUAUGUUUCAAAAUUAAUUAAUUGGAUGCUUAAUGUCUAUUAUGUUUUAGACUAUAUCUAUGUAAUGUUUUAUGCUUUUAUAUUUGGAUGUAUUUGUAUUUGGAGUUGUUUGUACUUUUGAACAUUAUCUUCAUAAUAUAGAUUUGUGUUAGAUUUUUAAUGGCAAUAUGUUAAAGUACUUUUUUGGUACUCAUAUUACAUUUACAACAUAAAUUUAUUAACAUUACGAUAUAGAAGCACUAACAUUAUAAUACAUUACAACAUGUUCAAAUAAAGUGGUCUUAUGACUUAAUCAAGUCCAAAUUCUUGGUUCCACUAGCAUUUUUUAUUAUAUAUGAAGUAGUUAAAUGACAAUAGUGGUUCAACAAAUAUGAAUCAAUUAAAAGCAAAAAAGGAAAAGUUGAUUUGUCAUGUCAAAAUGAAAAAUAGUAUGCAUUUGCAAUUGGAAUAUAUUCGUAACACCCCAGUCAAGUUAUUCUUUUGGAAAAUUAAAAUACUUUUUACAUAUACAAUCGAAAUUGUAUGGUCUUUUCAACAUGACCAUAACAUAGAAGCUUCAAUUGGACAACCUUCACUUUAAUGCUCAAAAAUCAAGUACCAACUUUUUUUAAACAAAAAAAAAAUUCCUAUUUUGGAAAUAAAGUGAACCAAUAUAGCAAACAAAUAGAACAAAAUGAACUUUUAUAAAUCAAAGUUUUUAGAAUAUGAUAUAUGCAGUAGUCUAAUGAAACAAUAGUAACUCACAAUUUUUUUAUUUUCCCUUAACAAAGAUGUUUUGGCAAAUAACAUUCUUAAUAUAAAAGCAAAUUAUAGACAGAAGAUUAAACCUACAAAAUAUGAAGCCCAUGGUCCAAGUACCAAUAAUACAAAAUAUAACAAAAACUAUUGCAGUUUUAAAAAAAUAGCUCAAUGUUUUUAAAGUUUACAUCAAAUUGCUUAUCAUAUUGGAAUAAAAUUCAUCCACCCACACUGAUCAUGAACUAGCUACAUUGUCAUCUAUCGAUCAGUAGAUCAUUUCUCUAACUUAAUUUUGUUGAGACACUAUCAAUUGUACAAACACAUUUUCCCUAUACUUGUCAUCUUGUCAUGGAAAUGAGAAUAAAUAAUAGAAUAUUAAAAAAAAUCAUAGUUUUUUCAAUGAAAUUAACAUGGUUUUCAUAUUAUAGUAUGAAUGAUAUAAUAUAUUUGUAAUGGAACGAGAAAGUCCAUUACUCUAUAAUUGUAUAAACUUGAUAAUGAAUACCCACAAUCAAUCCUACAAAUAAUAAUUAAGCAAAUCUUGAAUAAUUUACAAAGUAAAUAUGUACGGUCAAAACCUCCAAGUUUUCUUGUCAAUCAUACAUAAUUUAUAAAAAUUAGGUAUGAAAUUUAAAAUAAGUUGGAACUUGAUUUAAUCCCAUUCAAAAAUUUCAAAAGUAAAAUACAUAAAAUAUCUUUAUAAUUUGUUGUACUUCUAGUGUGAUUGUGUUGUAAGUGUAGGACAUUUGUGUCAUACCCUUAUUAUUUCAUAUAGUCAUUGUUAGUAAUCUCUAUUGGAAUUCCAUUCACAUUGCUAUAAACACACCAAGUCAAUGUACUAUUGGAGAACAUGUAUAAGAUGUUUAUUCUCUAUUUACAUACAAUAGAAUUGGUUAAAAGGGUAGUGAUUUAGUUAAUUGAAAUGAUUAAUAAUAUUGGAAAUUCAAUUUUGAAAUCUAAUUUUCAAUUCAUACAUCAUAAAUGAUUAUAAGUAGGUGACCUUAUGAAUGCAAUUGAUUUAAAAAUUUACUUUUAUAAAAACAAGUAUGCAAAUCAAAUUAAGUUGGAACUUAAUUUGCCCUCUAAUGUCCAUUUAUGACAUAAACCAUGCUAGGCUUAUGGAUAGAGAGUUGAGAACAUCAAAUUUCAUUCAAAAUUUUAAAACUUCAAUACAUAAGGUGAGUUAUAAUCUAUUGUACUACUAGUAUAAUUGUGUUGUAAGUGCAUGACAUUUGUAUCAUGCCCUUAUUUAUUUCUUAUAGCUACUGUUAAUAUCCUUAUUGAAAUUCCAUUCACACAGCUAUAAAUAUACUAAGUUAUUGUAUCAUUGGAGAACAAGUUUAGAGUGUUUGUAAUCUACUUAUAAAAUAAUUGGUUAAAAAAGUGGUGAUCUAAUUGAAUAAGGUUAAUUGAAAGGAUUAGUAAUAUUGGAGAUGCAAUUUUCAAAUCCAAUUUUCGAUCCAUACAUCAUAAAUAUGUAGGAAAAGGUCACCUCAUGAAUGUACUUCAUUUAAAAAAUUACUUUUAUAAAAACUAGUGCGUAAAUUAAAUUAAGUUGAAACUUAAUUUUCCCUCUAAGUUCAUUACUAACAUAAACCAUACAAGGCCUAUGGAAGGAGAGUUGAAAACAUCUAACUGGAGUCAAAAUUUUAAAAGUACAAUAUAGAAGGUAUUGUUGUAAUCUAUUAUACUAAUAGUGAAGUUAUAUUAUAAGUGCAGGACAUUAGUGUGUGUUGUACCUUUAUUUAUUUCUUACCCUAAAAGUUUUAGAUUUUUUUUUAUGAAAAUAGUAUGACUAUGUAAUACUACAAUGUGAUGAAUAAAAGCUCACAAAGCAUCCAAGAAUUUUCCUUAAAUGAAAAGCUCACAUAACAUUACCUUUUGGAGAUGAUAAUUGUCUUUCCCAAUUAAAACCCCUAAAUCAACAAUCAAGCUCAACCAAGAAAGAGAUGUUUGGAUUGAAGGGUACACAGUUGUCUGAAUUAUAGGGAAACUAAGCAGGUAUUCAUGAUUGAAGGGUACACUAUGAUUGAAGAGUUUUUGCCUUGAUUAACAAUUAAAUUCUAUGUUUGUUUGCUUUUUGGCUUAUAGAAGCUAAGGUAAAUUGGGAAUUAAUCUAGUGUGAUUAACAUCCAUACAUCUAUUAGGCCCUGGAAAUGAUGACAUGAUGUAACAUAUAAAGAUUUAUUUAUAAAUUUAUUUAUUUAUAUUUUUUGGUUUAUCAUUAUCCCUUUUGCAUUAAUUGGUCAUUUGAGCAUACACACCUCAUACCACUUGCAUUGUACAUGACUUGGGUGCAUUAGAAAUUGCACAAAAGAUCCAAGUCAUGAGUUCCUUAUAGAUUGAUGAGUUGUCCACAAUUUUUUCAUGAAUUUGGGUAAUUCAUUUGAGACUGUAGUGUAUUACGUUCUAAUUGGAGGGAUGACUUGUUUUGACUGUCAAAAUGGUUUUCCCAUAGUGAGUGUACUAAUGCAUGUGAUGCGCACUAGAUAGAACCUUCGGUGAAUCAUGAUGCAAGAUUAUCAAUUGUCAUAAUUUACCAAACUAUUAUACCACAUGGAAUCUCAACCUUGAAAAGGUAUUAAGUCUAUGCCAAGGUCAACAAGAGGCUUUCACCUAUGGGUAAGACUCUAAAGUGGUCAUAUAUUCUUAUGGAUCAAGUCACUAUUAAUGAAGGCUAGUGACAAUAGAUACUCUUAAUAUAGGUACCAUGAUAUCUCAUGGAUUGAGAUAAUGUGUCUCCAUGGGUGAUCCAAAGGACAUGUGAUCUAAAAGACUAUGGUCAUAACAUUUCCUUUUAUAGAAAUUUGACAUAUGUUUUUUGAUAAGUGAUAAGUGACUCAAAUAUUGAAGAGGUAAUCUUGAUAGGUGAUAACACUACCUUGUUAGAUUACGGACACCCAUUCAUGGGGAGUUUGCAUAUAAUGGAUAAUAAGUCAUUGACUCGAGCUUCGUCUUGUUGUUAUUUACAUAGGGUACUAGAGUAUAGUAGAUUCUCUUUAGUGGAAUAUUGAAUCAACUUCAGAAUUGGAUUUUGAGGGAGUUAGUACUCCUAUGGGUCCUAAUGGUCCCUGCUUUGAGCUCAUAUACCAAGAUGACAUAGUUCAUGAGGGCUAGAUUGACUCUUUGGUUCACUCUUGUGCAUAAGGGUAUUUUGGUAAUUAUAUAAUAUUGCAUAAGGGAUAGUGAAUAAGUUAUAUAGAUUAGGCUAAUUGAUUAAUUAGAUGACCCUGCGUGGUUAAUUAAUCAAUUAAGACUCGUUUUAGGCUAGAUUAAGUAACUCAAGCCUUCCUUAGUGGGCUCAAAUCACUUAAACCCAGUAGGGAUUAGGGUUUCCAUCACCCUUUGAGAGAUAGUCUUCUUCCACCUCCAGAGAGAAAGAUAUUAGGAUUCCUCACUUCUAAAGCUCACACUUUGGAGUACCAAGAUUGUGAUUCGAGUCAUCGAGUGGAAGAUUUAGAGUGUACAAGAACUUCUAAUUCUUAAGGCUUCAUCUUCACCAAGUGAAAUUGACCUAGGAACAUCCAAAUUGCAUGUAUAAGUUUCAAAUAUGUAGUUAUUUAUUCUAAAAUGGUUUUGAAGUUUUUUUUUCUAUUAUAUUAGAUCUAGAGAUCCCUUGGGAUAGAUGCAUGCCUCUUACGAGAUCCAGAGUAUGAGAACAGAGUAAUUUAGGAUUCCCAACAUUUUUCUAAUAGAAAUAAUAAAAAGAUGAUGUUAUUUUAAUGGUAACUUUUUAGUUUUAUAUAAAUCUUGAAACAUUGAUGAGAAUAUGAUGAAGUAUGACGAAAAAAUGAAAAUGAAUGGAAGGAAACCAAAUAAUAGAUUUAAGGGACUUUUGUUUUUGUUUCACUUAUUUCUAAUUUAUUAAUUAAUUUAAUUAAUAUAUUUAGAGUGUGUUUGACAAUGAUUUUAGGAAAUGUUUCUACCCCUUUUAACACAUGAAUGAUAAAAAAUUUCAAGUAGUAAAAAUAUUAUAAACACUUUCUAGAAUCACUACCAAACAAGCUCUUAAUAAAAGUACAUGUAAAACGAUUUUUUUGCCAAGAUAUAAAUGGGAUAGGACAGGGUUGAGGAAGGCUUCCCCAUCCUCAUCCUUGUUUGUAAAUUUAUUCUCCAUCCUUGCCCCAUCCCAAUUUUAAACCAUGUGAGGCGGGGAUGAGAAUCCCUAUUAGGCAAAUAAAUUCCUCAUAUUUGAUGGAGAAUUAUCAUUAAUUUUUUUAGUUUUAGAAUUUUACAUUUAGCUUUUAGUUGUUAAAAAUAAAAUUAUAUAUAAACUAAACUAUUUAAUAUAAAUAUUUAUGUUUUAAAAAUAUAUAAAUAUAAAAACUAUAUGAUGUUGGUGAUAAUAAUAGUGAGAAGGUGGUUGGUUUAGGACAAAGAAUAGGGGUCCAUGUUCACACCCCUUCCCCAAUUUUUUAAAAUUUUCCUAUCCGUAACAUUUAACCUUAUUCCAUCCCAUCUAAAACCCUUAAGCCUUUACAUUCACCAUUUUCCCUUUCCUCUACCCUCUUUCCUUCUACAACAUCAUUUUCUUUGACUCAUUGAUUUUCUCUUUGUUGCUUGGAAAUUUGAAGUUUUAAGAUAUAAAAUGGUCAUGGUUACACUUCUUUCCAAAACUAUGGUUAUGAAAGGGACUGUCAAAUUCAUAUUCCAUAACAAUGUGACAAGCCCCUACCACCCAUCAUUUUGUGGGUUUCUACAAAAGUACAUGAUUUUUUUAAAAUAUUUAUUAAAAUGUCAUUGUCCCCAAAAUAUUUCUAAAACUACAACAAUUUGCCUUGAGUGGGAUUCCAUGUAGACCUUGUAUGUUGAAAAGACAAGUUCAAUGUAAAAUGUAGAACUUGUCUGUUAAGAAGACAAGUUCAAUGUAAAAUUGAAAUUGGUUUUGUCAAUAGAUGAGUUUAAUAUAAAAUUCAAAACUCGUCUGUUGAAAAAACGAGUUCAGUGUAAAAUUGGAAUUCAUUUUCUCAAUAGACAACUAAUGUAAAAACUCAGAACUCGUUUGUUGAAAAAACAAGUUUAGUGUAAAAUUGGAACUAAGAUCGAUUAAGUAAUUGAGAUCUUUGACUCAAAUCAGCAAGUGCCACACUCAAAUUGAUAAAUAAAUUUUCAUAAAUAUGCACUCUUAGCCAUUGCACAUAUCUAUGAUCUAUCUAUGAAUUUUAAACCAAUAACAAAGCUUAUCCUGAAAUUUUUCCAUUAAUUAUUACCAAUAAACUAGAUAGGAUCCAUCAAAAUGUCACUACUAGUAAAACAUCACAUUUUGGUAAAAUGUUUAGUGUAAUGAUCUCAGAUGGAAUAUUAAAUUCUGAUUUUCCUCCACCAUAAGUAACCAUCAUUUUGGCAUCAUCUUAAAGCAAAUUGAAACAUACCCUCUAACCCUUUUAUGGGAUAAUUUCCUUGCUUAGGAAGCUCAGUUGCAUCACAUUGAGGAUGAAAUAGGUAACAAACAACAACCCAAUUUAAUAUUCAUUCUUGUCAUUUACCAAAGAUUUUUCUAUCCUUACUUGUAUAACUUAUUAAAACCAAAUGGAAAAUGUACAAUUGCUAAAAUUCACUUCAAUACCCAUCAUUCAGUACUAAUCCCAUCCCCAUUCAAAUCAUUGUAACUGUAUAUUAAAUAGAAAUCCUGUUUAAUUUUAAUACAUUAAAGAACUAAUGAGAUUUGGGACCAUUAACUUUGCUUGUUUUGCAAGCUCCACUACUUGAGUAUUAAUUUAGUUUCAUUUUGCCAUCAUCUUGCAAGACGAAGCCUAAUCAUACCCUACUCUGCAUCUAACUCAAAGUGGGCUCUAGAGAAUUGAGUGCUUGAAAAUAAUGGUUUAAGAUCAUAGAUUUCAUAAUCAUGUGCCUACUAAAAAUGAAACCAAUUCCAAAGUUUAAGAUGGUCGUACGACCAUUUGGUUGAAUUAUAUGAUGAUGAUAAUGAAGAAGAGUUCUAAUUUCAUUUCCUUGCUUUGCAACUCCUCCACAUUUACAUCAAUAUGGGUAAGUCCUAAACUUGACCCAGAUACAAUUUCUUCAAAGUGUAGUGCAUUCUUGACAAGCCCUCUUAGGAGAUACAAGAGCAAUUCAUUGUAAUCCUUUUUUAUGGUCAUGUACUUUUUGAAGCUCUACAACAAAUUCCCAAUACUUUUAAACCAAUUAUCUGGGAAAUGAAUUAUUGAUAGACUUGAAAAUUUUAUGUAACAAGCUGCAAUUGAUUCUUAGAAAGGUAGAAUUUCACAUGUUUAAACAAGUCAAGUCAUCUACAUGCAUUCCCUAAGUAUGGCCAUUGUUAACUUCUCCUACUUAGCAUCUAUAGAAAUCCCAAAUUCAUGACAAAUCAAUAAACUAGAAAAUUCAACCAUCCAAACCUCACUUUAAGAAGUUUCUCAUAUUGUUGACAAAACUUGAACUUGACCAACCAAAUCGACGAUGGUUGUUUGGAACCACCACUGGUUUAGAAUGAAGUAGAGUAAACUUGCGAAACAACUCGCCUAUUUGAUAUAAACAAGCUAAAAACAAGUCAUAUUUUGAAACCUAAUAGCUUUACGACACAUGCUUCUACAUUAUGUUUUCCUAAUUCGUUACAAUAAUAAAAAAUGAAAGCAAUAGAAAAUGAUGCAACUUAUGUUUGUAUGCAAAUCUUUGAUGUGCCUCAAAAUCAAUGGUAAUUAGCUAGGCUAAAAACCUAAUUAGCAUUGGUGAGAUGCAUGAGCCACACAUAAGCCAAAACAUCAGUGAAUGUUGAGUAAUAAAAAAUGGACUACAAACUUCCCAUGGAUGAAACUCAAAAUUCGGUACAUUGUGCUUAAGGCAUUUUCUAGAAGAAUUGCCCAAAAACAAAAAAAAAACCUCCCAACACCUAUAAUAAUUGAAGAGUUAGUAUUCAAAUCAAUAUAUGUUAAACAUGGUUUAAAGUAAAUGAAAUAAUAAGAGGUAGGAAUUGAAGAAGUAGCUAUACAAAGUUGAGCAUAAGUUAAUUGACCUAGGAAAAAUAUUAAUUUUUAUGUUCUCAAUUUCAACCCAGUACUCCUCAAUUUGAUUUAAAUUAGUUGAAAAUUUUCCUUACAUCACAUUGAGAAUAAAAUUAAAAUCUUUGAAUACUUAUAUAUGAUCUUCAACUUAACACUAAAUAUCAAAAGCAAAAUGUAUUCACUAACAUCCAUACAAAAUUAAUAUGUGCUUAUAGAAUUCAAAUUAAAAAGAUGAUAGAAAUAUUUUGACAUAAGUUCAUGCAAAAUUUACUAGGUUGAAGAAAGAUGGAUCAAGAUACUAAACUUGGUUGUUUGCAGCAUCUAUAGUCUAAUUGACUAAGGCAAGACCUUCAUCAGUAACACGCUACACCAUGGAAAUUCUCAAAAGUUUUAGCAAGUGAAAAUGAUCAUAUAAUAGAUGUUUUUUUGAAUAAUAAACCAAUUGACUUGUAUAAAUAUGCUAAAAGCAAGUUCCAAGCCUUGAGGUAUUUUAUGAUAGAGCCUAUAUAUCCUAAAGAGAUCAUUCACCUAAUACAAAAAUAAGUGGACAAUUUAUAUAUGAUUUGUUUAUAAAUUGCUAGAGCACAAUUUUUUUUAAAAAAAAAUCAAUUGACGAGAUUCUACAAAAUACCUUGUCAUCUCUAAGCAAGGCAUGACAAUUAUAUUGCUACUUUCCAAGCAACUGGUUUGCAUAUACCACUAACAACUCAAUUUUCACUUUCUAUAAAAAAAAAACAUUAAUGAAAUUGAAAACAAAUAGAACCUUACUGAAACCUAAAAUAUCAAGUAUUUAAAGUAUUCAUUAAUUAUAUUUACAAGUUACUCCAUGAGCUCCUUAAGACAAGUUUUACUUCAUUGCAAGUUAGGAAUUUAAUGUCAUUAUACAUAUAACAUGAUCAAUUGUUCAUGUACUUGGUCUAGAUCUACUAGGAAUUUAUAUAAAAACACAUCUAUAUGAAUUUAUACAAAAGUACUUGUUAGCGGUGCUUGUCUUCCAAUCUCAUAAUGUCUUCACUAAUUUCUUCAUCCUUCAUAUAUGCUCUGUCAAGAUGAAAACAAAGGGAAAUGAUAUCAUAGGAACCAUUAACAGGUCUCAUACCAAAGUUGAAAAGCAGAAAGUGAAACAAAUCAUUUGAAGUACUGCAAUAAGAAAAAGAGGGAUAAAGAAAAAAAAAACCGCAACUUCAUGCCAAACCCUAUAAAUAGUCCACUUCCUAUCAAUAGUUAAACAAAAGAAAACUUGAUAAAACCUUAAGCUAUAAAAAAAUAAAAUAAAAAAUAAAAAAUUAACAUAGGAUUGUUAUGUAACCACACCUAACAAUAUCUACCACAUACCAUAUCUUAAUUACAAUACAUUCAUCAAUUGUUCAAUGACAAUCUCAAGUGUCCUUAAGCAUAAAAGAAGUUGUCAUUCCAAAUAGAAAAAAACAACACAUGUAGAGGUAAUGUGGACUUAAAAAUGCCACAUGAAAGGAUCAAGUGGCACAUGGAGAGGCUCUUCUCUUACAUCUUAGAUGUCUUUAGUAAGUCACAUUAAAAGCAUCGAUAUUAAAAGUAAUGUGGACAUUUAAAGGAACAUCACAAGCAACCUAAACAUCACAAACAACUUGAACAUCAUAAGCAUCCUAAACAUCACAAGUAGCUUAAACAUCACAAGCAAUCAAAUCAAUAGAAGCAAUCGGAACAUCACAAGCAAUCAAAUCAAUAGAAGCAAUCGGAAUGUCACAAGCAAUCUGAUUAUCAAAAGCAACCAGAACAUCACAAGCAACCUGAACAUCAAAAGCAAUGGAAUCAUCAGAAGCAACUAGAAUAGCUAAAACAAUAGGAACAUUAGAAGCAUUUACAACAUCAGAAGCACUUAGAACAUAAAAAAUGACAUCGGUAUCCUCUACAUCAUUUAUAGGGUUUACUACGACAUCAUCAAGAGGAAAAUCGAUAGCAUGAGAACUAAUCCAUCAUGCUCUGGACGUGUACUCCCUUGUUCUCAACAUCGAACUUGAUGUUGGCCUUUAUGAGGUUCUACUAGAAGUGGAAUAGAUGAGGAUGAUAUCAUGAAUGAUGUCGAUUAUUGAUGACAUGUUGCAAUUGGGGUGCUAUAAGGCUGAACAAGUGUUUGCCCUGAUGUGGAUACUCGAUCUUGUAUAGGAAUCUAUUCCUAGAUAAUAGGUGCUAUAGGAGUCUAAGAGUGUUGAUGUUGCUUCAUAACAUGUCCUCUACACCCCCCUCUUCUUCUACCUUGUCAUGAAGAUAACUAUGAGACUGUGGUAGUGGGACUAACAUGUAAUAGACUCAUCUCAUCCAUUGCUUGCAAGGUAUUGUAAGAUAAUGAAUGUAUAUCCUUCUUUGUUGUUGGUGGGGUAUUUGGCCUUGACAACUCAUUUAUUCGUUCCAAGUUGUUGGCCUACAUGUCCAAAGUAAAAUAUGUUAAUUAAAAUUGAAGAGAAACCAAAAGAGAAAGAAUGGAAAAGUGAUGUUCUUGAAAUUACCAUGAUAUCAUGGAAGGAUCCCUGCUUAAUGAUAAAUUGACAUAUGAUUGAACGAUACCACUCCAUAUAAGGGGUCAUAAUAUGAAAUAUCCCCAGAUACUAACUCAUUACUAAUUACAUGAUCACGAUAGUAGCUCCAUCUCUCUAUAUACUCUUUAUGCUCAACCCUUCAAUCAAGAUCAUGUCGACCUCGUAAGUCAAUGUUAUGUAUUUUAAUGCUAGUAUCACAUGACUUCAAUAUAUGCUGACUCAUACCAAAUUGGCAUAAAACUCGAUUUGGCCUGUCACUCAACAAUAUGGAAACAAAUAAGUGAUGAUGCAGUACGCUAAAUGUCAUCACCAAUAGUACAAUAGUCUGUCCAUGUAGACAUGAUAUCAAACGUGUAAGGCUGCCAUAUAAUGUGACUUGGCCUUUGUAUUUCAAAGGUAAAUCUAUAUUGGCCAAGGACAAACAUAGAUACCUCUAUGACAGAGAAAACAUCUCUUCACCUAAGAUUAAGUAGUAACAUGUUAGUUGAGAUCAAAUGUAAGUAAAGUUCUUAAUGAAUUUUUUAUACAAAAAAAAAAAUAUCAAUUGUUGUAUAUAUCGUGCGCCCAAUGGAAGUGGUGGGAAUGGAAGACCAUCAUCACCAAUUAUAUCAUGUGGAAAUACCUCUAAUUUCUUAUGGACAAUACAUGGAAAUCUCUCCCAUGCCCAUAGUUGCAAUAAUAUAGGUGGGCCAAUUAUAUCACACGUUUGAACUUGGGAUGCUUGACACAUCUCCCUAUAAAGCCAAGCUAAGCAAGCACUAUCCCAACUAUACCCACCAAGAACCCUAAAAUCUGAUAAAAAUUGAAGAAACAUGAGAUGCACAAAGCAACUAGACUUGUAUACAAAUAAACAUCCUCCUAUAAGUUGUAAGAUAUAUGCUUUGGCAUAAUACUAAAUAGCAAUAUCAUCAGCUUCAAAGGGUAGAGUGGGAAAUUUUUUUGUUAAUCAUGUUAUAUUAAGUUGUGAUCCAUCUAUGUCAUCCUCUUCAAGUGUGUGUCCUAACAAAGACUCGCAUAACUCAAGCCAAUAUUGUGACUUCAAACGAAUAAGAGGAAGUCUAUCAACUGGUAGUCCAAGUAUAAUGAUGACAUAUUAUGGAGUAAUCGUCAUCUCUCCAUGUGGCAUGUGGAAUGCAUGGGUCUCAAGGCUCUAUAUUUCAAUUAAGAUAAUGACCAAGUGCUAGUCCAAUGUAACAAAUCCAAGUCAUGCUAUACCAUAGAAGCCCAUUUGCUGCAAAUAUGGAAUAAUUUGUCGAUCUAGGGACAUUGUAUGAUGGAAUAUAGCCUCAUGUUGUCUACAAUGAAGAAUUUGUGUCCUAGCUACCUUUGUAUCCUAUAAAAUGCACGAUUGAUGUACAUGUUGUGAAGAUAACACUAAUGAGUCAUAAGAUUGGGGAUCCAUGAGACUUACAAAACAAGGUUUCUUAUUAUAUGUUUUUUUAUAUUUUAAAAGUUCAUACAUAUGAAGAGCUCAUACAUCAUUAAGUAAGAGUUCAUAUAUUACCAAAAGUUCAUACAUCACCAAAGUUCAUACAUCGAUUAAAGUCAAUACAUUAUGAAAAGUUCAUACAUCAAUAAGAGUUACAUUGGUAAAAGUUCAUACAUUACCAAAAGUUCAUGCAUCACCAAAAGUUCAUACAUCAUUACAUAUUUCAAAAUUUUUUAGGACCUUGUGCCGAUUAUGACUCUCUUACUUGCAUGCACCACACCUAACCUUUACACUAGGUUUUCUCCAAUCCAUCUCAUUUUGUAUGCAUGAUGAUCUAGGUCGCCCGUGUUCUCGUAACAUUGCUUGAUCGAGAUGCAAAAUUGGGAAAUCUGGUUUAGGUUUAUAGUCUUCAUGUGGUAUUGGACUAAAUUUUGGGGCAUAACAAGCUGCAUAUUUUUCUAUCCUAUAAUAAGAAUCCACAAAUUGCCAAUUGUUUAACAUUGCAUACACACAAAUAGUUAGGACAUAGGAACAAGACAACCCAAAUGAUUGCCAUUUGUUACAAGUAUAAGUACCUUCCUUAAGCUUUAUGAUUUGCUUCUUAUUGUCCUUAUCCAUAUGGAACCCAUGAACAUUAGUGGUUACGUCAAAUACCUCAUUUGCUUGAUGAAAUAUUGUAAUACUAUGUCCACUUGCCUUAACUUCCCAAAUAAUGAUUUUAUUCUUCACAUAAGAAGUAUACAUUUCAUAUUUUUUGCGUUUAGAUUGUUUUUUUGCUCUAUGCCUUCCAAUAUAGGCAACAGACAUAUAGAAAGUUAGUUGCACCAAUGCAGUAAUAGUUAACAUACAAGCUCCCUUAAACACCCCAUUAAUGCUCUCUGCAAUAUUUGUUGUCAUACAACCAUACUAAAAUCCUUCAUCAUAUGCUUGUGUCCAUCCUUUUAUCUACUUUAUCAAAGAAAUGCACUAGUCAUUCAACUUCUAUAGUUUCUCCAUGCACAAUUGAAACUUGCGAGGUUGAUGUUGGGAUCCAACCUUGUACGCUAAUUCUUUCAAGACUUUGGUUCUAUACUUCUCAUUGAAAUUGCUUGCCACAUGUUUUAGACAAUAUCUAUGAUAAGCACGAGGUGGAGUCCAUCCAACUUUAACAUUCUAUACUAUUGUCAUGAUUCCUGCAUGACAAUAAAAAAUUAAAGAUAUCUCAUCUCUUUGAGUAACAUGAAACCUUAAUGCAAAAAGGAACCAAGACCAACUGUUUGUUGUUUCCUCCUCAACAAGUGCAAAGGUAAAAUGGAAGAGAUGUCUAUUGGUCAUCAAUUUGAAUGAUUGACCUACAAUGCUUGAAUCCUUAUAUAGGAGCUCUAAAUGCCCAAAACAAUCUUUUAAAUCUUACAUUGCCAUUAAAGUUUCCUAAGGGAGUUGUUUUCCAAACAACUUUUGUACCAUGAUUAGUUGCUUGAAGAACAUUCAUCCACUUGGGUAAAAGGUAGUAAGAUGUAUCCCAAUCACCAAACACUACCAUAAGUCUUUUUCUUUUUGCUUCCCAAACUCUUCUAUUGUGAACUUCAUAUCCAUAUUUAUCUUUUAUUAUAUGAUGCAAUGUUGGUGUUGACAUAGAUGGAUCAUUCCUUACAACAUUUUGGAUCUCUCUAGCAAUUAAGAUGGACCCCAAUUGAGAGUGGUCGUAGGAGAGUUUAGGAUAUACACAAGGGUGAAAACUUGUGUACUAUGUUAUCUGAAACAAGUGGUGAGUUUUACAUCGAGAAGCAUGAAGUUCCCACUUAUAACCUUCAUCCCACCUCUCGCAUUUUAUCGACAAUAAAUGUGACUUUGAUUUAACUACAACCACAUCCUAAUUGUUGUAUAUGCAAUAUCUUUUAACAACAUACUGUAAGUCUUUCUUAUUCUCAAACUAUAAGCCUUUGUACAAUAUAUCAUGGUCUUUCCACAUUCCACUACGUGACUCUAAGUUCUUCAAAGGCAUGACAUUUAUCACAUCCUAAUUCAACUCACUCAACAUCAAGGAAGGGAUGACAUAUUCAUGAUCAAGGUGUGUAGACUCAUUUCCUAGAUACUCCAAUUUCUCAACACCUAUCUUCAACAUCAUGGUUUCCAAGGGCCUCAUAAACAUACCAUUCACUCAUGACCAUAUCAUGCACCGCAUUGGAAUCUAUAUUCAUUAGAGGAUCAUCAUCAUCUUUACUCAUUUCAAGUGCAUCAUCAACAUCUACCAUCUUUUGUGAUGGGAUAGGUGGUACAUCAAUUGACAAUUCAAUGGUGCAUUCAACAUUCUCCGUUUGUACUGAUAGGAUUUCUACAUACAACUCAAUAGUAGGAGGUGAAAGGAACUUUGUUGCUAUACUGAACUUAAACUCACAUCAUCAUUGUCAUUUAUGGAUAAUGCUACAAAGUUGAAAUUACCAUGUCCAAGAUUAAUUGAAUAAUGAUAAACCAACUUCAACUUCACUUGAGAUGAGCCUUUGCAUAAUGCAUCACAUAAACAUGUAACUAAGUCAUAGAAUGUUGUGUUGCUUUUUACUAACACAACCUUUGAUAGGGAAGAAUUGUAGCAAAUCCCGUUAAGUACAUUGAUCAUAUUACUAUUAAUGUAAUAGAACACCGUGAUUGAAUUGUCCCCCAUUUUUUAUCCUAAAGUUUUUAGAUCAACACAAGAAUUCCAUGUUGGUGUCACCAAUAAUCCAAUACACAGUAACCCCACAAUAAUUCCCAAUAACAAUAUCAAUCAAAUGAUACACAAUCAAUAGGAACAUUUGAGGCUAGAACAUGAUUCAAUCCUAAAUAUUAUUCACUUUUAGAUGUUUAUCUAAGAACCAUUGCAAUACCAUAUUGAAAUAAAUCUCAAGAAUUAAGGAAAAGCUUUAGUAUGACCUUAAUAACCUCAAUGGAAUAAAAUGUUGUCUAACCUAAAAAAACAAUACCAGAACCAUAUUUUUAAUUUUUAUUGUCAAUUCAAUAUUUAUUUGAUUUCAAUAUGGUUCAAUUAGUUCUUUUCUUGGGAGUUAUUUUUAAUUAGUAUUCAACAUUGGCAACACAUUCAUAACUCAUAAUCAUGGUUUUACAAUGAUGUUUGUAACAAUUCAAAAAGCUAAUAAAAUCUAGGUAGAAAAAUAAUUACUUUCAAACCCAAGGAGAAUUCCAUUUCAAAUGACACAAGCACAACCUCAACAAGAAAUGUAUCUCAACAUAUCAUAAGCCAUGAGAAGCCUUAAAUGGGCUUUACCUACUACUAUCAAUAGGAAGAUGAAUAAACAUUUACAACACAAUUUAUUAACUAUAUUUGCAAAAAUAUGAAACAUCUAAUGCCAAAAAUUUAUUUAUUAAUUAAUUAGCACAAUUUUAUUGCAUGCUUUACCUUAAUUUGAUUUAAAAAUAAAUAGUGGAAAAUGAAAUAAAGUUGGAAAACAACAUUUUGGAGACAAAGAAUUAACCUUCAACGAGUUUUUACCAAACAAUGGAUGAAAUUGUUUGUGUCAUCCUACCCUCAUUUGCACAUAUUUGGGACCCUCCACCUGUAUAACAAGAAACCUUAAAUCUAAAAUUUUUCUAAAAUAAAUAUAGAACUAAUUACAAAAAGAUGAGGAAAAAUUCAAAAAGAUGAUUUUCAAGCUUACCUUGUUGACAGUUGAAAAUGGUGAAAAGUUUUGUGGUUCUCCAACAACUUCUGUGCGAAAUGGAGUUAGAAUAUGAAAGCGUAGAAAAUGGAUUAGGAUUUUUAGAAAAUGGGAGAAAGGAACCACUUUACAAAUAAAGUUAUUAGAGAAAAAAAGGUGAUAAAAAGCAAAAGUGAAGAGAAAAUCAAUGGUCUACAGUAACAAGAUCCAGAGAAUGAUAAGUAAGAUGAGCAGAUAACUUGAUUGAAUAAGGAAAAAAAGAUGAUAACUUGACAACUCCUCCUCAACAACCCAUAAUCAUAGAAAUCAGGUGAAUCAAGUGAGGAAUAUUAGGGUGAAGAAAAGGGAAUAAGGUUUCAGAAAAUGAGAAAAA
RNAcentral lists this long non-coding RNA (106856 nucleotides) under Vitis vinifera (wine grape). Its description in RNAcentral is "long non-coding RNA (VVIN_LNC001524)". Lineage: Eukaryota; Viridiplantae; Streptophyta; Magnoliopsida; Vitales; Vitaceae. The record is from RNAcentral.